Molecule: long non-coding RNA, 96630 nt
Filed under: Triticum aestivum (bread wheat)
Lineage: Eukaryota; Viridiplantae; Streptophyta; Magnoliopsida; Poales; Poaceae
Description: long non-coding RNA (TAES_LNC016314)
Source: RNAcentral
UUUUGCCACGUGGCAGACGUCAGCGAAACUUCGAUGAGCUCGCUUGUGCCUAUUAUUUGAGGGGAAAGUCUCGAAGACCGUUAGUACCGCACUGUUGUCUUCGACGGGAUGUUGCUCUGCCUUAUGGUUUACAAGAAGAUCCUCGCCGCUUUUUACUACCUGCCGGGGUAUCCAACAUGCUCUAAGGCUAUGCGUCGGCGUGGUAUCCGGCGUGCUAUGAAUUUUGCAUGGCCCAUUGAGCCAUUCUUCCAAUACGGUUCCAUGCCCUGGAGUGGGCUUUGGUUUUUUGGGAAUUGGAUCGGGUAACUUAUGAGAGUUUGCCCUUUUAGCUCGGACGAAGGGUUUAGUGAGAGCCGGAUUAUCCCAAAAUUCUGUUUGGGUUUUCCAGGCGCUUUCCAUCGCACAGUACUUCUGUACUAUGGCUGCUAAGUCAGCAAAGUGUACUAUGUCACGGCGACUUAUAGCAUUAAGGAUCCCUUUGUUCGUGCAAUUUUUGCAGAAAAGUGAGAUUGCGUCCUCCUCAUGACAGUCCUUGACCAUGUUUAUCACAAGGAGGAAUCUGACCCAGUAGCGAUGUACUGUCUCUUAGGGCUCUUGUCUGAUAUGGGAAAGAUGGCAUAAGUCUGGGUGGGUGGGCGUAGUUAAGCCCGAAUUCUGACCCGAUUUGACAUCCAGGGGCAGAGGAGCUUCCGGGCUUGGCAGCUCGGACUCCGGGAUGUUACCCAAUUUUUCUGGCCCGUUACCCGAUUCUAAGUCCGGGGUCUAGGUCAUGUCCUCCUGCGAGCGGGUAUCCGGCUUAGAGAGCUCGGUAAUCCUGACAUAGUUCGUCCUCAAAGUAGAGGGAUAAUCCAUGUGUGGCUCUUUCGCUACCGCUAUCUCAUGGGUGACCGGUGAGGAUUUGAUAUCCCUUUGGUCGGGUUUAAAUCCAAUCUGAUCGUAGUCUGUAGCAACUCCCAAAGCGGCGAUGCAAUCCAAUAGCUCAUUAAGGGAUGAGAGCUCCAUUGGAUCCAUCUAUUCGGCGAGUUCCGAAUUGACACGGAGGCUGUUUUUGAUAACCCGAGAGGUCAUCGUCGGCACGGCAGCCGAUCGGGCGAUCAUGACGAAGCCGCCUAGUUGGAAAGUUUGGCCUACCGCCAGGGCUCCCCCAGAGGUGAUGUUGUCAUUGACAACGAGACGAGCCAUCGAGCCUUGCAGCAACGACACAGAGGAACUCCCAAUGAAAGCACCAAUGUCGGUGUCAAAACCGGCGGAUCUCGGGUAGGGGGUCCCGAUUUGUGCGUCUAAGGCUAAUGGUAAUAGGAGGCAGGGGACACGAUGUUUUACCCAGGUUUGGGCCCUCUUGAUGGAGGUAAAACCCUACUUCCUGCUUGAUUGAUCUUGAUGAUAUGAGUAUUACAAGAGUUGAUCUACCACGAGAUCGUAGAGGCUAAACCCUAGGAGCUAGCCUAUGAUGAUUAUGAUUGUUCUUGUCCUACGGACUAAACCCUCCGGUUUAUAUAGACACCGGAGGGGGCUAGGGUUACACAGAGUCGGUUACAAAAAAGGAGAUCUAACAUCCGAAUCGCCAAGCUUGUCUUCCACGCAAAGGAGAGUCCCAUCCGUACACGUGACGAAGUCUUGAGUCUUGUAUCUCCACGGUCCAACAGUCCGUCCAAAGUAUAUAGUCCGGCUGUCCGGAUACCCCCUAAUCCAGGACUCCCUCAGCAGGGGCUCAACAUUGUCACCUUGAAAAUCAAAUCCUUGGUCGAAGAUACUGUCAUCACGCUCGUCCUCGACGAUCAUGUUGUGCAUGAUCCACAAGCAGUCAUCACCUCCCAAUGCUUCCUUUCAUCCCAUGACAGUGCAGGGUAUCGAACGAUGCCCCAUCGGGAUUGAAGCACACCAAAAGCACCUUCCACAUUCUUUCUAGCACCCUCUUGCAUUUAGGCAAAUCUCUUUCUCUUCUCACCUUGGGGCUUCGAGAUUGUCACAAAAGUUAGAUAGUAUCGUUUGUUAUACUGGUGGCCAUUGAUCUCAAAGUUGACAGGUGGGGAGCGGCCUUCUGCAAGCCUCGCGAAGACUGGAGAACAUUGCAGCAUGUUGAUAUCAUUGUGAGAACCUGCCAUGCCGAAGAAAGAAUGCCAUAUCCAGAGAUCCUGCGAUGCCACCGCUUCUAAUAUGACAGUGCACUCGCUGACAUGCCUCUUGUACUAGCCCUGCCAAGCAAAUGGACAGUUCUUCCACUCCCAGUGCAUACAAUCUAUGCUGCCAAGCAUGCCUGGAAAGCCUCUAGCUGUGUUGGUCGCCAACAAUCUCUCUGUAUCAGCGACAGUUGGCUGCCUCAAGUACUCUGGGCCAAACACCUCGAUCACAGCUUGGUAGAACUUCUACAUUGACAUUAGACAUGUUGUCUCGCUCAUACGCACGUACUCAUCCACCAGAUCGCCUGGAAUUCCAUAGGCAAGCAUGCGGACGGCCGCGGUGCAUUUUUGGUAAGAGGAGAACCCAAGCUUGCCAAGGGCAUCCGUCUUGCACUCGAAGUAUGGGUCAUGAGAAACCACUCCUUCUCGGAUACGAUUGAACACAUGCCUUGCCAUUCGAAAACAGCAACGGAAUUUAUCCGGCUUGAAGAGCGGUUUGUUGGAAAAGUAAUCGGCAUAGAGCAGGGCGUGGCCUCUCUCCCUGUUGCGGUUCAGGUUGGGAGCACGGCCAGGGACUGACCCCUUGUAUCGAGGAAGCUGCCGUUGAAUGUGGUCGUGAACGACGAGUGCAGCCACCACAAGAUCUUCAUCAUCCGACGACGAAUCGUCCGACGAACAAAGGAAGUGGUGGAAGAAGAACUCGUCUCCACUGUCCAUUCCUUUGUGGGCAAAAUGUCGAACACCUUGCGGUCGUGGUGGCGAAGAGGCCGCGAUGAUCACCUCGACGCAACAGGGGUGGUUGCUGGCCAGCUACUGGCCGCUCUGGAGCCGUCGAAAGCUGCCGCGGCCGCCGUGGUACGUCGCCGGCGGUCGUGUCUCCUCUGCCACCGGCAAAGACGGCGACAGCCAAACCUCCUCCGAUCGACGGCCAAAACUACGGCGAAAGCGCGGGCGUGGUGGUGGCCAUGUCUACACGUGGUUUGGUAUGGAUGGCCGGGGGCUGCGCGGUGAGGAGGCGGCCGGAGAAUAGCGGCGGCGUCGGCGGCGGGGCGGGGCGGGAGAGAGAGGGUCGAAGCGUUGGGAGGGAGGGACUGCUAGUGUCCCCGGCAGGCGGGCCACNNNNNNNNNNNNNNNNNNNNNNNNNNNNNNNNNNNNNNNNNNNNNNNNNNNNNNNNNNNNNNNNNNNNNNNNNNNNNNNNNNNNNNNNNNNNNNNNNNNNNNNNNNNNNNNNNNNNNNNNNNNNNNNNNNNNNNNNNNNNNNNNNNNNNNNNNNNNNNNNNNNNNNNNNNNNNNNNNNNNNNNNNNNNNNNNNNNNNNNNNNNNNNNNNAAGGGCGUGCGUCGCGGCCGUCCGCGCGCGUCCGUUUCACCCCAAACCGAGCGCAACUUUGGGCCGGGGAUGGGUCAAAAGCGGAUGGAUUCUGGACAUUUGUCCGUUUGAGGCCGUGCGUUGGGCCGCGUCAUUCGUCCGUUUUACCCCAAAUGGACGCACCCGGACAAGAUGGGGUCGCGCGGUAGAGUUGCCCUAACCGCUCAUGCAAAUACGGUUCAGUCGAGCGCCUCAAAUGAUCCUUAAAUGUCUGAGCUGACACCCCUCAUAUCCAGCCCAAAUAUAGGGCGGAUAUGGGGUGCACCCGACCGCGUCCGACACGUCAGCCCGACGGCCUACCCUGACCCCACUCCGUCCCCACAAAUACCUCCAAUUCGAAAACUCUACCUCACUCCACUCUUGAUCCAUCUCUUUUCUUCCCACCGAAUUCUUUAAUUUGAUCCUCUCCGACGACUCCGGUGACCAUGUCAAGCGCCGGCAGCCGCUCCUCCUCCUCCUCCUCCUCCUCCUCCUUCGACUCCGACGAGGAGCUGGCCCUCCGCAUUGCCCUUGAGAUGUCCAAGGUGGACUUAGGUGGCAGUUCCGGAUCUGCCACCUCGCCUCUUCCCGCUGGCACUGGCUCCUCUCGGCCUGCGUAGUCCGCGCCUCCCCCAGGCCGUCCUCUGCCCCCGGCGGCGGUUGCUCCCCAACACGGGUAGCGAUGGGUGUGUGCCCGCUCAGCCGGUCCGGACGCGCACGUCGGAGUCCAAGGCGCGCGCUGCCCGUCACAAGAGGCAACAAGCAAGGGAAAGGGACGCGGCGGAGAGCUCUGUCGGCCGUCGCCGCGGGUUACCGGCGGAGCCCGACGGCUACCACCGGUCGCUUACGACGGCGAGGACGGACACUCGGUGGCUCCGCUAGAAGAGCGCGAAGGCUCUCCGCGGCUUGCCAUCGAGUAGUCCGAGCGCGAGGCCAACGAUAAGGCGACGAAGGCGACUCAGCCGGUGAAGCUCAAGCGCCAGCAGGACCGGUCCGUCUAGUGCCUCAAGGGCCUCAUCAUCGGCUCCUCCUCCUCUGACGACAACAGCUCCUCGUCCGACGAAUCAGACGACCCUCCACCAGCCCCCGACGGCUACAGUUGCGCCAGGGACCGAAAGGGGAAAGGGCCGACCUGGAAGUGGCGAAGAUCCGCUUUCUUCAAUUUAAUUUCAAGUAUUAGAUGUAGUUCAAGGUUGUCCGUCGUUUAUGUGAACUUUGGUGGUCUUUUGAACAUCCGUUCGUGAUCUUUUGGUGAAUACAUUGUGCUUGCCUAUGUCCGUUUCUAUAUCUGACUGUUGAUCUACGUAGUUUGAUCGACGUUGCAUAGUUUAAUAUGAAUAUAGAGGAUCGGAUAUGAGAUACACGGAUGUGGACGGCGCGAUUUAAGGAAUGCCCGGUCAGUGCCCGCGGAUGCGUCCGGGCGCGUCCGCGGGUGUUUGAGGGGGCGGGGCUAAUGGACCUAAUGGUAGUGUAUUAUUCGUUCUCUGGAUCAAGCGUGCGAAGUUUCAGACAAGUUGCGGAUGAAAGCGACGGUCAGAGCCGGGAAUUUCCUCUGUAACCAUGGGCCUGGACCGGCUGGUCAACCCAUCGGUGUGUAGUAUGAACGCAAGACAUUAACUGCACAGCACACACAGUUAACAGGUUGUAAGGUAUCACUUGUCCUCUGCACCUUCUAAUCUCACAAGUCGCUAUGCUAUACGUUGAAGAUUUGACCCGAUUGGUGUGUAGUUUGUGUGGAGUGGAGACCUCAUUAACAUGACAAGCCACUAUUCCGUUGGUAUGUGAUAUAGCAGUAUAAAUCAUGGCAGAUGGAGUCGCCAAGUGUUGCAGUUCACACCGGCACGAUGGCUCUCACUGCUGGCCGCAACCAUCCUGUUCGAUUUUCCAGGGAACGACUCGAGAUCAUGGCCCUUGUUUUGAUGAUGUUUAGCAAGUUUUGGCAUGUCCAUGGCUCUCUUUGGUCAUCUGCCAGGCAUCCGAAGAAAGAGCCAAAACAUUAGCUUAGCUGAUGAACUUUGGGCUUGGCUUAACGAACAAAACACCAAAUUAAAAAGAAAAACGUGCUAUGUUGACUUGCCAAACGAAAGACGCAAAAUCGAACUGAAAAAGAAUGACUCUGGCGAUCAGGCAAGGUAAAAAAGGAGAAGCAGGUCAUGUCGUCGGCGUAGACUUUGAAAAAUGCCACGUUGUCCGAUCGAAACACGGACGCCGGGCAGGUCAGGAUAUCGGCGGAGAAGAAUUUUUAAAAUUGAUUCUCUUGCUUUUCGGCCGUGGCCUUGUGCCGCUUUGGCCGACUUUUCUCUCUCAUAUCAUGCCGCAGAGAGAAUCAAAAUUUUCUCAUGUAAAACCAAACCAUGCCUACUACUCCCUCCAUCCCAAAAUAAGUGACUCAAUUGAGACGGAGGGAGUACUUACUUAUUCGAGCUUUGCUUUGGCACUGAAGAAUCGAUAAUCACAUGAGUUAUGUCCAUGAUCGGGGUAUGAUUUAUAAGCAUGAGCAGCGUGGUCGUUAUCAGGACUUGAGGACAUGAUCGUGUAAGAUUGACCGAGUUAUGUACGUACGGGGAUACUUACUUCAGGCCCAAUUUUGCAGCUAUCAAACACGCACAAAACAACAACACUUUGAUACGAAGUGAUGGAAGCCUGUGUGGUGGCGAGCGGUCACAACUCACAUGUCGCAUGCAGGAGUUGCCGUGGGUCAUAUGGAUAGAUGAUGGCCCCAUUGAGGUGCAGAGGGAAGUACAGCAGGCGUGAACGGAACGAGUCGUCGUUGACCUGGACGGUUCGCGCCAAGAAAAGGAGAUGGAGAUCCUACAGCGACAUCGACGUCCAUCCACGGGACGCGGCUGCUUCUUGGAAACUUCCGCUCGUUUUCCUACUUAGCGGCGCGUGCGAGCGCAAAACAUAAUCAAAGAUGGAAGAAGCCAGGAAAGGAACCAUGGGCCACCGUGGUCACAAAUGUGGAGCUCACAACCACACACACAGAAUCACCAGCGAGCAGGCCGCCUCAAGGCCCACAAGCGUGUAGCGACAUCCCCCUUCGUCACUGAACCAACCUUUUUCUCAACAACUAAACGCCGAACCUGUCUUUUUUUCUUCAUUAGGGUUUUUGUUCUCUCAGAGGCGCUGCGCCGCCGUGGAGCUAUAUUUUCCAUUCCGCCGUCUUCCUCUUGGUUCCCUCAGACUCGGACUGAUAUGGGGUGAUCACUGCCCGGUCUUGGUCGGCCUUUUCUAGGGGCAGACGGAAAUCUAGGGUUCACACAAAAAACCCGAUCUUGCUUGCUCAGUUUAGGGCACCUGAUGGAGAAGGACAUGUCUUCGGGAUCAGCAUCGGGCUCCAUGUCGAGAUCAGCGACAGUCCGUGAGGUGGAGUUGACGAUGAAGGAACUUGGGCUUCGUGAGGAAGACCUAGAUGGUAUGUGCUGUAGGGUGAAACCCUAAGAUUGAUCUUUUCACACUUGGAGGGGAAAAGAGGAAGAACACCAAGAACACAAAGAGGAAUUCACUCCAACAAUACCAAACUACACAUCCACUAGAAUAGCAACACAAGAUCCACAAGUCACAAACACAAUCAAAGGAAAGAUACAAUGGUAGAGUUCUUCCCACUCCUAGGAGAUGAGGUCUUGAUGAUGGUAGUCUUCUCCAAGAUGGAGGUCUUGAAAUCCACAAGUGGAUCCUCUCCAAAGAGGCCUUAAUCUCCAAUGGAGGUGGUAGAAGGAGCAAAGCUCACAAAUAUCUCAUCUAAUCUUUGGUAACCCUAAACAUAACCCUAGGUACAGAAUAUAUAGGCUUGGGGUCGAAGUGGAAGAAGGGGGGAUCCAAAACAGCAUCGCAGCCGCCCAUCCUGUAGGGCCCGUGCGCACGGGGUAAGUUGGUCCCGUGCGCAUGGUACACGCCCGUGCGCACUGGUGCUACUGCCCUAGCUCCAUGUGUAGCCCGUGGGCAUGGGGUCGCCUGGGACUUCCUAUCCAGCUCCUGUUUGGCUCGGUCUUCCUCCUUGGUGACUUGGGUCGCUUCUCCUUGGACUUGGUGGUGCUCCUCAGCUUCUUGGAAGGGCUCCUCUUCGUACCUAAUGAGGCAUAGAGUAUUUUGGUGAGGUAGCAACCAAGUUCCACUUGUAUUCAUAUGCAUGUCAACUAGGAAGGAGUUCACCUCGGUUUCCAUUGUACGUGCUCUAGCUCUUGUCAUUGGUCCAUGUGGUGCUUGAGGUGUCGGUGUAGAGUCCAUGGGGAUGGUGGAAGGAUGCUCCACAUCAUCUCCCCCCCCCAGAGAGAUUCGUCCAUGGAUCGUGAUCUUCAUCACCAUGGUACUUGGCCAAAUCUUGGACGUUGCAGAUGCCGCUUACGUUGUACUUGUCGCGUGGGAUGUCAAUCUUGUAAGUGUUGUUGUUGUAGCGUGCUAGCACCUUGAAAGGUCCGUCGGCUCGUGGAAGUAUCUUUGACUUGCGCUCGUUGGGGAAGCGCUCCUUUCGAAGAUGAAGCCAUACGAGGUCUCCCGGUUGGAACACCAUUGGUGUCUUGUUAAUGUUGAGCUUGUUGGAGAUGCGAUGUACUUGACGCUCGAUCGUUGCCCUUGUAUCUUCAUGCAUCUUCUUGAGAAAACUUGCCCUUGCACUUGCAUCCAUGUUUGCGCGUUCUUGGAGCGGAAGAGGUAGAAUGUCCAAUGGGGACAAUGGGUUGAAGCCGUAGACAACCUCGAAGGGGGACCUACCGGUAGUGGUGUGUCAGGCUCGAUUGUAGGCGUACUCGGCGAUGGGUAAGCACUCCUCCCACUCCUUGAUGUUCUUCUUUAUCAACACGCGAAGUAGAGUGGACGUCCGGUUGGUGAAUUUGGUUUGACCAUCGGUUUGUGGGUGAUAUGCCGUGGCGAAUAGAAGCUUGAUGCCGAGCUUGGCGCAAAUUGUCUUCCAAAAGUAGCUUAAGAACAUGACGUCCCGGUCCGACACUAUGGUCCUUGGCACUCCAUGCAACCUCAAGAUUUCCCUACAAAAAAGAUUUGCAACAUGUGAAGCAUUGUCUAUCUUAUUACAUGGGAUGAAAUGUGCCAUUUUUGAGAAUCGCUCCACAACAACAAAGAAUGAAUCCUUUCCAUUGCGAGCUCUACGCAAACCAAGCACGAAAUCCAUGCUAAUAUCUUCCCAUGGUUGAUAUCGAAUUGGAAGUGGCAUAUGUAAACCAUGAUAUUGAGCUUUGGACUUAGCUUUGCGGCAUGUAGAGCAUUUAUUGGUGAAGCGUGCCACGUCGCGAAACAUCUUUGGCCAAAAGUACUUGAAGGAGAGUGUGGUGAAGGUCUUGUCACAAUCGAAAUGUCCCAUGAGUCCACCUCCGUGAGCCUCUUGAAAAAGCAACAAACGAAGAGAAGACUCGGGUAUACAGUCUUUGUUACUGAUGUCUACUACACAACCUUCUUCUUGUAGACGUUGUUGGGCCUCCAAGUGCGGAGGUUUGUAGGACAGUAGCAAAUUUCCCUCAAGUGGAUGACCUAAGGUUUAUCAAUCCGUGGGAGGCGUAGGAUGAAGAUGAUCUCUCUCAAACAACCCUGCAACCAAAUAACAAAGAGUCUCUUGUGUCCCCAACACACCCAAUACAAUGGUAAAUUGUAUAAGUGCACUAGUUCGGCGAAGAGAUGGUGAUACAAGUGCAAUAUGGAUGGUAGAUAUAGGUUUUUGUAAUAUGAAAAUAUAAAAACAGCAAGGUAACUAAUGAUAAAAGUGAGCAUAAACGCUAUUGAAAUGCUAGGAAACAAGGCCUAAGGUUCAUACUUUCACUAGUGCAAGUUCUCUCAACAAUAAUAACAUAAUUGGAUCAUAUAACUAUCCCUCAACAUGCAACAAAGAGUCACUCCAAAGCCACUAAUAGCGGAGAACAAACGAAGAGAUUAUGGCAGGGUAUGAAACCACCUCAAAGUUAUCCUUUCUGCUCGAUCUAUUCAAGAGUCCGUAGUAAAAUAACACGAAGCUAUUCUUUCCGUUCGAUCUAUCAUAGAGUUCGUACUAGAAUAACACCUUAAGACACAAAUCAACCAAAACCCUAAUGUCACCUAGAUACUCCAAUGUCACCUCAAGUAUCCGUGGGCAUGAUUAUACGAUAUGCAUCACACAAUCUCAGAUUCAUCUAUUCAACCAACACAAAGUACUUCAAAGAGUGCCCCAAAGCUUCUACCGGAGAGUCAAGACGAAAACCUGUGCCAACCCCUAUGCAUAGAUUCAUUGAACCGGCAAGUUGAUCACCAAAACAUACAUCAAGUGGAUCACGCGAAUAUCCCAUUGUCACCACAGAUAAGCACGACAAGACAUACAUCAAGUGUUCUCAAAUACUUAAAUACUCACUCCAGACAACUUCAAAGGGAAAACUCAAUUCAUCAUAAGAGAGUAGAGGGGGAGAAACAUCAUAAGAUCCAACUAUAAUAGCAAAGCUCGUGAUACAUCAAGAUCGUGCGAAGUCAAGAACACGAGAGAGAGAGAGAGAGAGAGAGAGAGAGAGAGAUCAAACACAUAGCUACUGGUACAUACCCUCAACCCCGAGGGUGAACUACUCCCUCCUCGUCAUGGAGAGUGCCGGGAUGAUGAAGAUGGCCACCGGUGAUGGGUUCCCCCUCCGGCAGGGUGCCGGAACGGGCUCCCGAGAGGUUUUUGGUGGCUACAGAGGCUUGCGGCGGUGGAACUCCUGAUCUAUUCUGUUCCCCGAAGGUUUUAGGGUAUAUGAACUUAUAUAGGCGAAAGAAGUGGGCCGGGGGAGCCAUGAGGGGCCCACGAGUGUGGAGGGCGCGCCCAGGAGGGUGGGCGCGCACCCCUGCCUCGUGGCCUCCUUGAAGCUUCCCUGACUUCAGCUCCACGUCUCAUGGAUCAUGUUCAUUCCAAAAAUCACGCUCCCGAAGGUUUCAUUCCGUUUGGACUCCGUUUGAUAUUCCUUUUCUUCGAAACACUGAAAUAUGCAAGAAAACAUCAAUAUGGGUUGGGCCUCCAGUUAAUAGGUUAGUCUCAAAGUAAUAUAAAAGUGCUUAGUAAAGCCCAUAAACAUCCAAAACAGAUAAUAUAAUAGCAUGAAUGCUUCAUAAAUUAUAGAUACGUUGGAGACGUAUCAACAUCCCCAAGCUUAAUUCCUGCUCGUCCUCGAGUAGGUAAAUGAUAAAAGAAAGAAUUUAUGAAGUGUGAAUGCUAUUAGGUGCACAAGUUUGAUCAAUGAUAAUUUCAAUCACCUUUUCUAGCAUGAUUAUAUGUCAUAACAGUAGUUCAUCUCAUAAAACUUCUCAAGAUCAAGUAACAAGCUAUUCACAUGUUAAAGCAUAGACCAUAAACUUUCUUGAAAACUAGCAAACUUCAUUCUCGGUCAUCAAACAAUUACAAUUCAUCUUAUUUUCAGGAAGGGUCUAUGUCAGAGCUUUGAUUUAGCAAACUCCACAUACUCAACUAUCAUAUAGUCUUCCAUGAAUGCUACCACUCAAAAAUUAUUCUUAGAACAAAUAGCAUCCAUCGAACACAGAGAAAGAUAGAGGCUUAGUGUUUUGCCUCCCAACUCACUUAUCAUGUAGAUAAUUGUCAACAAUAAUAAUUCGUGAUCAAAUAUAUUUGCAUGGCCAUAGAUGCUUAGAUAUUUCCCCAACACACGAUGCUUGCCAACUAAAGAGUAGGUAGGAAAGAGAAGGAAUACUACUGCUCUUGCAUAAAAGUAAAAGAUAGGCCCUUCGCAGAGGGAAGUAGGGAUUUGCAGAGGUGCCAGAGCUCGAUUUUGAAAUAGAGAUAAAUAAUUUUGAGAGGCAUGCUUUCAUUGUCAACAUAACAACCAAGAGUUCCCAAUAUCUUCCAUACUACAUACAUUAUAGGCGGUUCCCAAACAGAAUGGUAAAGUUUUUACUCCCCCUCCACCAACAAUCAUCAAUCCAUGGCUUGCCCGAAACAACGGGUGCCUCCAACAAACAUCAAUCCUGGGGGAGUUUUGUUUGCAAUUAUUUUUGAUUUGAUUUUGAUCUUUUGAUCAUGGGACUGGGCAUCCCAGUUACCAGCCAUUUUUCUCGUGAAUGAUGAGCGGAGUCCACUCAUCUUGAGAAUAACCCACCUAGCAUGGAAGAUACUGACAACCCCUGGUCGCUACAUGAGCGAUUCGGGCAUACAAAACAGAUUAUUAUUUGAAGGGUUAGAGUUUGGCACAUGCAAAUUUACUUGGAACGGCAGGUAAAUACCGCAUAUAGGUAGGUAUGGUGGACACUCAUGGAAGAAACUUGGUUCAAAGGAUUUGGAUGCACAAGCAGUAUUCCCACUUAGUACAAAUAUUUUGGCUAGCAAAGGAUUCUAAAAAGCAAGCACCACAUGUUGGAGGAUCUAUAACAAUAUAAUUUCUAUACAAAUACACCCAAGCAUAACUCAUUACGUUGUCUUCCUUGUCCAACUUCAACUAAUUUGCUCAGGUUUGAAAAUAAUUAAUGGGGCUCACAAUCAUAGAAGAUGUCUAAGAUAGUAUAUUUAUAUGUGAAAUCUCUCUUCCUUCAAUAUUCUUUCAUGAAUUGUUCAAGUGACCAAUACAAUGCUUGCUAACCUUCAAUAAAUUUACUACCUCUACUUCUUAGAUGUGAAGUCAUUAAUCCCAACGGGGUAAGCAUACGAAACAUAUAUAAUUUCAGAUUUAUGACAUUUAACUCAUUCAACCAUUUACUCAUAGGAUAUAAGUGAAGCACAUGAGUAAAUGACAAACUACUCCAAAAAGAUAUAAGUGAAGAUCAAUGAGUAGUUAAAUAAUUAUGUAGCUAUGUGAAGACUCUCUAUCAUUUAAGAAUUUCAGAUCUUGGUAUUUUAUUCAAAUAGCAAGCAAAGCAAAAUAAAAUUACAUUGCAAGGAUAGCACAACUCAUGUGAAGAAGCAAAAACUUAGGCUCAACCGAUACUAACCGAUAAUUGUUGAAGAAGAAAGGUGGGAUGCCUACCGGGGCAUCCCCAAGCUUGGAUGCUUGAUACUUAUUGAAAUAUUAUCUUGGGGUGCCUUGGUCAUCCCCAAGCUUGAGCUUUUGUGUCUCCUUAAUUCCUUUUAUAUCUCGGUUUCCUAAAUCUCGUAAGCUUCAUCCACACUAAACUCAACAGGAACUUGUGAGAUAAGUUAGUAUAAACCAAUGCAAAAACCUUAUCAUUUUCUACUGUAACAAAUCACUAAGAUUGUUAUUCAACAUUGAAUACUAAAUGUCUCUGCAUAUUUAAUACUCCUAUCCUCAAAUAGAAUCAUUAAACAAGCAAACAUAUGCAAACAAUGCAAACAUAACAGCAAUCUACCAAAACAGUAUAGUCUGUAAAGAAUGCAAUAUUCAUCAUACUUACCUAACUCCAAAAAUUAUGAGAAACAUACUACGCUGUAGAAGAUUUAUCAUAGCUCAAUAUUCAAAAAGUUCCAACAUUAUAUCAUUCUCUGACUUUUCUAGGGAAUUUUUGCAACAGCGGUAAACUUUCUGUUUUCAAACAGCAACAUGUAUACUAGCUAAGUAAGCAUGGUAAAGGCUAUCCUUGACGUUUUUAUUGAAAGUAUAGAAGCAAAACAUUAUUCUAAAUAACAGCAAGCAAAUACUAACAAAAGAAAAUGACGCUCCAAGCAAAACACAUAUCAUGUGGUGAAUAAAAAUAUAGCUCCAAGUAAAGUUACCGAUGAAUGAAGACGAAAGAGGGGAUGCCAUCCGGGACAUCCCCAAGCUUAGGCUCUUGGUUGUCCUUGAAUAUUACCUUGGGGUGCCUUGGGCAUCCCCAAUCUUAGGCUCUUGACAUUCCUUAUUCCAUAGUCCAUCGAAUCUUUACCCAAAACUUGAAAACUUCACAACACAAAACUCAACAGAAAACUCGUAAGCUCCGUUAGUAUAAGAAAAUAAAACCACCACUUAGGUACUGUAAUGAACUCAUUCUAAAUUCAUAUUGGUGUAAUAUAUACUGUAUUCCAACUUCUCUAUGGUUCAUACCCUCCGAUACUACUCAUAGAUUCAUCAAAAUAAGCAAACAACACAUAGAAAACAAAAUCUGUCAAAAACAGAACAGACUGUAGUAAUAUGUAUCAAACGUAUACUUCUGGAACUCCAAAAUUCCUACCAAAUUAGGAAGUACUAAGAAAUUUGUGUACCAAUGCAAAGAAAAAAUAAUCAGAUCCAAAGCACGUUUCUGUGAAUUAUCAAAACAAAUUUACUGAGUGCAAAAGUUUCUGAUUCUCAGCAGAAUCAACACAACUAUCACCGUGAGCUAUCCUAGAGGUCUUACUUGGCACUUUAUUGAAACAAAAGCUAUAAAACAUGAUUACUACAGUAGCAUAAUCAUGUGAACACACAAAAACAGUAAGGAUAAAUAUUGGGUUGUCUCCCAACAAGCGCUUUUCUUUAAUGCCUUUCUAGCUAGGCAUGAUGAUUUCAAUGAUGCUCGCAUAAAAGAUAAGAAUUGAAACAUAAAGAGAGCAUCAUGAAGAAUAUUACUAACACAUUUAAGUCUAACCCACUUCCUAUGCAUAGGGAUUUUGUGAGCAAACAAGUUAUGGGAACAAUAAUCAACUGGCAUAGGAAGGCAAAACAAGCAUAACUUCAAAAUUUUAAGCACAUAAAGAGGAAACUUGAUAUUAUUGCAAUUCCUACAAGCAUAUGUUCCUCCCUCAUAAUAAUUUCCAGUAGCAUCAUGAAUGAAUUCAACAAUAUAACCAGCACAUAAAGCAUUCUUUUCAUGAUCUACUUGCAUAGAAAAUUUACUACUCUCCACAUAAGCAAAUUCUUCUUUUAUGGCAUACGUAUCAUCACAAUAAUCAUCAUAAAUAGGAGGCAUGCUUUCAUCAUAAUAAAUUUGCUCAUCAAAACUUGGGGGACAAAAAAUAUCAUCUUCAUCAAACAUAGCUUCCCCAAGCUUGUGGCUUUGCAUAUCAUUAGCAUCAUGGAUAUUCAAGGAAUUCAUACUAACAACAUUGCAAUCAUGCUCAUCAUACAAAGAUCUAGUACCAAACAUUUUAAUGCAUUCUUCUUCUAGCAAUUGAGCACAAUUUUCCUUUCCAUCAUUCUCACGAAAGAUAUUACAAAGAUGAAGCGUAUGAGGAAAACUCAAUUCCAUUUUUUGGUAGUUUUCUUUUAUAGACUAAAUUAAUGAUAAAACAAGAAACAAAAAGAUUCGAUUGCAAGAUCUAAAGAUAUACCUUCAAGCACUCACCUCCCCGGAAACGGCCCCAGAAAAGAGCUUGAUGUCUACUACACAAACUUCUUCUUGUAGACGUUCUUGGGCCUCCAAGUGCAGAGGUUUGUAGGACAGUAGCAAAUUUCCCUCAAGUGGAUGACCUAAGGUUUAUCAAUCUGUGGGAGGCGUGGGAUGAAGAUGGUCUCUCUCAAACAACCCUGCAACCAAAUAACAAAGAGUCUCUUGUGUCCCCAACACACCCAAUACAAUGGUAAAUUGUAUAGGUGCACUAGUUCGGCAAAGAGAUGGUGAUACAAGUGCAAUAUGGAUGGUAGAUAUAGGUUUUUGUAAUCUGAAAAUAUAAAAACAGCAAGGUAACUAAUGAUAAAAGUGAGCAUAAACGGUAUUGCAAUGCUAGGAAACAAGGCCUAAGGUUCAUACUUUCACUACUGCAAGUUCUAUCAACAAUAAUAACAUAAUUGGAUCAUAUAACUAUCCCUCAACAUGCAACGAAGAGUCACUCGAAAGCCACUAAUAGUGGAGAACAAACGAAGAGAUUAUGGUAGGGUACGAAACCACCUCAAAGUUAUCCUUUCUGCUCGAUCUAUUCAAGAGUCUGUAGUAAAAUAACACGAAGCUAUUCUUUCUGUUCGAUCUAUCAUAGAGUUCGUACUAGAAUAACACCUUAAGACACAAAUCAACCAAAACCCUAAUGUCACCUAGAUACUCCAAUGUCACCUCAAGUAUCCAUGGGCAUGAUUAUAUGAUAUGCAUCACACAAUCUCAUAUUCAUCUAUUCAACCAACACAAAGUACUUCAAAGAUUGCCCCAAUGUUUCUACCGGAGAGUUAAGACGAAAAUGUGUGCCAACCCCUAUGCAUAGAUUCAUUGAACCCGCAAGUUGAUCACCAAAACAUACAUCAAGUGGAUCACGUGAAUAUCCCAUUGUCACCACAGAUAAGCACGGCAAGACAUACAUCAAGUGUUCUCAAAUCCUUAAAGACUCAAUCCGAUAAGAUAACUUCAAAGGGAAAACUCAAUUCAUUACAAGAGAGUAGAGGGGGAGAAACAUCAUAAGAUCCAACUAUAAUAGCAAAGCUCGCGAUACAUCAAGAUCGUGCGAAGUCAAGAACACGAGAGAGAGAGAGAGAGAGAGAGAGAGAGAGAGAGAUCAAACACAUAGCUACUGGUACAUACCCUGAGCCCCGAGGGUGAACUACUCCCUCCUCGUCAUGGAGAGCGCCGGGAUGAUGAAGAUGGCUACGGGUGAUGGGUUCCCCCUCCGGCAAGGUUCCGGAACGGGCUCCCGAGAGGUUUUUGUUGGCUACAGAGGCUUGCGGUGGCGGAACUCCCGAUCUAUUUUGUUCCCCGAAGGUUUUAGGGUAUAUGGACUUAUAUAGGCGAAAGAAGUCGGUCGGGGGAGCCACGAGGGGCCCACGAGGGUGGAGGGCAUGCCCAGGGGGGUGGGCGCGCCACCUGCCUCGUGGCCUCCUUGAAGCUUCCCUGACUUCAGCUCCACGUCUCCUGGAUCAGGUUUGUUCCAAAAAUCAUGCUCCCGAAGGUUUCAUUCCGUUUGGACUCCGUUUGAUAUUCCUUUUCUUCGAGACACUGAAAUAGGCAAGAAAACAACAAUAUUGGCUGGGCCUCUGGUUAAUAUGUUAGUCCCAAAAAUAAUAUAAAAGUGCUUAGGAAAGCCCAUAAACAUCCAAAACAGAUAAUAUAAUAGCAUGAAUGCUUCAUAAAUUAUAGAUACGUUGGAGACGUAUCAGUUACCACGCAUAAGGUAGCCAUCCUUGAGAUAAAAUUUCUCCCAACAAGUGUGAGUAAGGCAUUUGGCAUAAUGUAGUGCAAAGGAAGGAUCAUUCACAUAAAGAUCUUUAAUAUGCUCAAAGCCAAUAAUAUUUAACUCAAGUUGAGUAACAAGCAUGCAUAUGCGGGAAAGAGCAUCCGCCACUACAUUUUCUUUGCCUUUAAUGUACUUGAUCACAUAAGGGAAACACUAAAUAAAUUCACUCCAUCUAGCAUGUCAUUUAUUCAACUUAGUUUGACCUUUAAGGUACUUUAGUGUCUCAUGAUCGGUAUGUAUGACAAAUUCAUGUGGGCGAAGAUAAUGUUCCCAAACAUGUAAUACUCGCACUAAUGCAUACAAUUAUUUGUCAUAUAUAGGAUAGUUAAGUUGAGCACCAGAGAGUUUUUCACUAAAAUAUGCAAUGGGUCACUUUUCUGCAUCAAAACUCUACCAAUUCCAUGACUGCUAGCAUCACAAUGGACCUCCAAAGUUCUGGUGAAAUCGGGUAAUGCAAGAAUUGGAGCAUGUGUAAGCAAAGAUUUGAGCUCAUCAAAUGUGGUAGAUUGGGAUGUUCCCCAAACAAAAGGUGUGUUUUUCUUACUCAAAGCAUGCAACGGUGCAGCAAUAGUGCUAAAGUAUUUCGCACAGCAACGAUAGAAACCCGCUAGACCAAGGAAACUAUGCACUUGUUGCAAAUUAGUGGGUUGGGGCCAAAUUUUAAUUGCUUCAAUUUUAGACUCGUUUACAUGAACUCCCUUGGAAGACACAACAAAGCCCAAGAAAACUAUCUUGUCAACACCAAAAGUGCAUUUCUCCAUAUUGGCAUAGAGACGCUCUUUUCUAAGUGUUUGCAAAACGGCCCUAAUAUGAUUCACAUGCUCUUUGAGGGAUUUUCUAAACAUAAGAAUGUCAUCAAAGUAUACUACAAUGAACACACCAAUGUAAGGAUGAAGCACAUAUGCAUAAGUCACAUGAAAGUACCAGGUGCUUCCAAUAAGCCCAUAGGCAUCACUAACCACUCAUACAAACCAAACUUUUUUGAAAACGGUUUUCCAUGCAUCACCCUCUUGUAUGCGGAUUUGAUAGUAACCACUUUUGAGAUCAAUUUUUGAGAAAAUAGGGGCACCGCUAAGCUCAUCUAACAUCUCAUCGAGGUGUGGAAUGGGAUGCCUCUAGCGAACGGUGAUAGCAUUGAUAGGUCUACAAUCGGAACACAUGUGAAAGCUACCAUCACGUUUUGGCACAAGAAUGACCGGAACGGCACAAGGACUCAAACUUUCACGCACAUGUCCAUGGUCUAUGAGAUGUUGAACUUGCCUUUGUAUUUAUUUGGUCUCAUCGAGGUUGACGCAGUAUGGAGCCUUGUUAGGAAGAGGUGCUCCGGGGAUGAGGCCGAUCCGAUGUUCAAUGCCACGUAGAGGAGGAAGACCGGGAGGUAGCUCAUCGGGAAAGACAUAGGCGAAUUCCUGCAACAAGUUAUACAACACUAGAGGAAGAGUAUUAGAAGUGUUAGUCUUUGCCACCUCAUCUUUGCACACUAGGACAUAGUGGAUGACACUCGAUGGGUUCUCACACACUUCUCUCAUCUCUCUUUUUGUGGCUAGGAGGAUUAAGUUUUUCUCUCUUGGCAAAGAGUCGCUCAAUUUGGGCUUAUGGCGCUCACUCUCUUUGUGGUGGUUCAUUCUCUCACUAGUAUCUCCAUGAUUGGUGGAUGCUUGCUUGUUGGCGAUCACUUGGCUUGGAGACAUAGGUCGUAGCACGUAAUCUGUUCCCUUCAUCUUGAAGCUAUAGUGGCUUGUUCUCCCGUUGUGGAUGACACUGAUACGUCUCCAAUGUAUCUAUAAUUUUUGAUUGCUCCAUGCUAUAUUAUCUACUGUUUUGGGCAAUAUUGGGCUUUAUUAUCCACUUUUAUAUUAUUUUUGGGACUAACCUAUUAACCGGAGGCCCAACCUAGAUUUGCUGUUUUAUGCCUACUUCAGUGUUGCGAGGAAAAGUAAUAUCAGACGGAGUCAAAACGGAACGAAAUCAACUGGAAAAGUUAUUUUUGGAAGGAAAGCCACCGGAUAGACUUGGACUCUACGUCAGAAGAUACGGGAGCUGGUCACGAGGGUGGGGGGCGCACCCACCCCCCUAGGGCGCGCCCCUGCCUCGUGGGCCCCCCGAAGCUCCACCGACGUACCCCUUGCACCCAUAUAUAUCUACGUACCCUAAAACUUCCAGAACAGAAGAUAGAUCGGGAGUUCCGCCGCCGCAAGCCUCUGUAGCCACCAAAAACCUCUCAGGAGCCCGUUCCGGCACCCUGCCGGAGGGGGAUCCCAUCACCGGUGGCCAUCUUCAUCAUCCUGGCGCUCUCCAUGACGAGGAGGGAGUAGUUCACCCUCGGGGCUGAGGGUAUGUACCAGUAGCUAUGUGUUUGAUCUCUCUCUCAUGUUCUUGAUUUGGCACGAUCUUGAUGUAUCUCGAGCUUUUCUAUUAUAGUUGGAUCUUAUGUUUCUUCUCCCCCUCUACUCUCUUGUAAUGGAUUGAGUUUUCCCCUUGAAGUAAUCUUAUCGAAUUGAGUCUUUAAAGAUUUGAGAACACUUGAUGUAUGUCUUGCCGUGCGUAUCUGUGGUGACAAUGGGAUAUCACGUGCCACUUGAUGUAUGUUUUGGUGACCAACUUGCGGGUUCCGCCCAUGAACCUAUGCAUAGGGGUUGGCACACGCUUUCGUCGUGAUUCUCCGGUAGAAACUUUGGGGCACUCUUUGAGGUUCUAUGUGUUGGUUUGAAUAGAUGAAUUGAGAUUGUGUGAUGCAUAUCGUAUAAUCAUGACCACGGAUACUUGAGGUGACAUUGGAGUAUCUGGGUGACAUUAGGGUUUUGGUUGAUUUUUAUCUUAAGGUGUUAUUCUAGUACGAACUCUAGGGCUGUUUGUGACACUUAUAGGAAUAGCCCAACGGAUUGAUUGGAAAGAAUAACUUUGAGGUGGUUUCGUACCCUACCAUAAUCUCUUCGUUUGUUCUCCGCUAUUAGUGACUUUGGAGUGACUCUUUGUUGCAUGUUGAGGGAUAGUUAUAUGAUAUAAUUAUGUUAUUAUUAUUGAGAUAACUUGCACUAGUGAAAGUAUGAACCCUAGGCCUUGUUUCAACGCAUUGCAAUACCGUUUACGCUCACUUUUAUCAUUAGUUACCUUGCUGUUUCUAUAUUUUCAGAUUACAAAAACCUAUAUCUACCAUCCAUAUUGCACUUGUAUCACCAUCUCUUCGCCGAACUAGUGCACCUAUACAAUUUACCAUUGUAUUGGGUGUGUUGGGGACACAAGAGACUCUUUGUUAUUUGGUUGCAGGGUUGUUUGAGAGAGACCAUCUUCAUCCUACGCCUCCUACGGAUUGAUAAACCUUAGGUCAUCCACUUGAGGGAAAUUUGCUACUGUCCUACAAACCUGUGCACUUGCAGGCCCAACAACGUCUACAAGAAGAAGGUUGUGUAGUAGACAUCAAGCUCUUUUCUGGCGUCGUUGCCGGUGAGUUGAGUGCUUGAAGGUAUAUCUUUAGAUCUUGCAAUCGAAUCUUUUUGUUUCUUGUUUUAUCACUAGUUUAGUUUAUAAAAGAAAACUACAAAAAAAUGGAGUUAAGUUUGUCUCUUACGCUUCGUCUUUUUAAUAUCUUUCGUGAGAAUGAUGGAAAGGAAAGUUGUGCUCAAGUACUAGAAGAAGAAUGCAUUAAAAUGCUUGGUACUAGAUCUUUGUAUGAUGAGCAUGAUUGCAAUGUUGUUAGUAUGAAUUCCUUGAAUAUCCAUGAUGCUAAUGAUAUGCAAAGCCACAAGCUUGGGGAAGCUAUGUUUGAUGAGAAUGAAAUAUUUGAGAAUAUAUUUGCUGAAAUUAAUGUUUGUCCCAAGCUUGGGGAUGCUAUGUUUAAUGAAGAUGAUAUUUUUAGCAUCCCAAGUUUUGAUAUGCAAGGUUGUUAUGAUGAUAGUAUGCCUCCUACCUAUGAUGAUUAUAUUGAUGAAAGUGGGUUUGGAAGAGUGUCAACUUUAGGAAGUAGUGAUCCCACUAUUUUGGAGGAUGUUGAAUUUUAUUGUGAUGAAUAUGAAAGUGGAUUUGGAAGAGUGUCAACUUUAUUUAGCGAUUCCACUAUCUUGGGAGAGGUUUCAAUCGAUUAUGAUGAGAACGAAGUUGCUACUUAUGAUGAUUAUUGUGAUGAAACUUAUGCUAUAAAAAGUAGUGAUGAUUAUAUUUACAAAUCUUGUCAUGAUUAUGAUUACCCUUUUUUUGAACAUUACUCUUUUAAUGUGGAAACAAUUUUUAGUGUUCAAGUCUCUUAUGAUACUCCCACUAUUUCGAAUGAGAAGAAUUUUGUUUAUGUGGAGAGUAGUAAAAAGUCUAUGCUUGUAGAUAAUGAAAAGAAUGCUUUAGGUGCUGGUUAUAUUGUUGAAUUCAUUCAUGAUGCUACUGAAAAUUAUUAUGAGGGAAGAAUAUAUGCUAGUAGGAAUUGCAAUUAUAUCAAGUUUCCUCCCUAUGUGUUGAAAGUCUUGAAGUUAUGCUUGUUUUACUUUCCUAUGCUAGUUGAUUAUUGUUCCCAUAAGUUGUUUGCUCACAAAAUCCCUAUGCAUAGGAAGUGUGUUAGGCUUAAAUGUUCUAGUCAUAUGCUUCAUGAUGCUCCCGUUAUGUUUCAAUUACUAUCUUUUAUGUGAGCAUCAUUGUCAUCAUCAUGCCUAGCUAGAAAGGCAUUAAAGAAAAGCGCUUGUUGGGAGACAACCCAAUAUUUAUCCUUACUAUUUUUGUGUGUCCACAUUAUUAUGCUACUGUAGUAAUCAUGUUUUAUAGGUUUUGUUUCAAUAAAGUUCCAAGUAAGACCUUUAGGAUAGCUUACGGUGAUAGUUGUGUUGAUCCUGCUGAAAAUCAGAAACUUUUGCACCCAGUAAAUUAUUUUUUUAAUUCACAUAAACGUGCUAUUUAUCUGAUUCUUUUUGCUCUGGAUUGGUACACAAAUUUCUUAGGACCUCCUAAUUUGGUAGAAUUUUUGUAGUUCCAUAAGUAUACGUUUGAUACAGAUUACUACAGACUGUUCUGUUUUUGACAGAUUCUGUUUUCUAUGUGUUGCUUACUUAUAUUGAUGAAUCUAUGAGUAGUAUGUUAGGGUAUGAACCAUAGAUAAGUUGGAGUACAGUAGAUAUUACACCAAUAUGAAUUUAGAAUGAGUUCAUUACAGUACCUAAGUGGUGGUUUUCUUUUCUUUUGCUAACGGAGCUUACGAUUUUUCUAUUAAGUUUUGUGUUGUGAAGUUUUCAAGUUUUGGGUAAAGAUUCGAUGGACUAUGGAAUAAAGAGUGGCAAGAGCCUAAGCUUGGGGAUGCCCAAGGCACCCCCAAUGUAAUAUUAAAGUACAAUCAAGAGCAUAAGGUUGGGGAUGCUCCCGAAGGCAUCCCCUCUUUCGUCUUCGUUCAUUGGUAACUUUACUUGGAGCUAUAUUUUUAUUCACCACAUGAUAUGUGUUUUGCUUGGAGCAUCAUUUUCUUUUGUUAGUAUUUUCUUGCUGCUUUUUAGAAUAAUGUUUUGCAUCUUUAGUUUCAAUAAAAAUGUCAAGGAUAGCCUUUGCCAUGAUUAUUUUGCUAGUAUACAUGUUGCUGUUUGAAAACAGAAGGUUUACCGCUGUUGCAAAAAAUUCCCUAGAAAAGUAAGUGAGUGGUAUAAUGUUGAAACUUUUUGAAUAUUGAGCUCUGAUAAAUUUACUACUGUGGGAAUUUUAUUUCAUAAUUUUUUGAGUUUGGGAAGUAUGAUGAAUCUUGCAUUCUUUACAGACUGUACUGUUUUGGCAGAUUGCUGUUAUGUUUGCAUAUGUUUGCUUGUUUAAUGAUUCUAUUUGAGGAUAGGAGUAUUAAAUAUGCAGAGGCAUUUAGUAUUAAAUGUGGAAUAAUAAUUUUAGUGAUUUGUUACAGUAGAAAAUGAUAAGGUUUUGCAUUGGUUUAUACUAACCUAUCUCACGAGUUCUAGUUGAGUUUGUUGUGGAUGAAGCUUUUGAUAAAAAGAGAAACCAUGAUAUGAGAGGAAUUAAGGAGACACAAAAGUUCAAGCUUGGGGAUGCCCAAGGCACCCCAAGAUAAUAUUUCAAGAAGUCUCAAGCAUCUAAGCUUGAGGAUGCUCCGAUAGGCAUCCCACCUUUCUUCUUCAACAACUAUCGGUUAGUAUCGGUUGAGCCUAAGUUUUUGCUUCUUCACAUGAGUUGUGCUAUCCUUGCAAUGUCAUUUUAUUUUGUUUUGCUUGCUGCUUGAUUAGAAUACCAAGAUCUGAAAUUCCUUAAUGUUAGAGAGUCUUCACAUAGUUGCACAAUUAUUCGACUACUCAUUGAUCUUUACUUAUAUCUUUCCGAGUAGUUUGUCAUUUGCUCUAGUGCAUCACUUAUAUCUUUUAGAGCACGGUGGUAGUUUUAUUUUUAAGAAAUAGAUGAACUCUCAUUCUUCACUUGUAUUAUUUUGAGAGUCUUAAACAGCAUGGUAAUUUGAAUAAAAACUAUCAUAGAAAGUGAGUUGGAUGCUAUGAUCAAUUUGAUACUUGAUAAUUGUUUUGAGAUAUGGAGGUAGUGAUAUUAAAGUCAUGCUAGUUGGGUGAUUAUGAAUUUAAAGAAUGCUUGUGUUGAAGUUAGCAAGUCCCUUAGCAUGCACGUAUGGUUAAAAUUGUGUAACAAAUUUGAAACAUGAAGUGUACCUGGCUUGUGCAUCCUUAUGAGUGGCGGUCGGGGACGAGCGAUGGUCUUUUCCUACCAAUCUAACCCCCUAGGAGCAUGCGCAUAGUGUCGUGGUUCUAAGUCUGACAGUAGAGUGGGGGUAGGUAUGGAGAGGCAAGGUCCUAGCUAUGGAGCAGUUGUAAACACAAGGGAUGUAUGAGUUCAGGCCCUUCUCGGAGGAAGUAAUAGCCCUACGUCUCGGAGCCCGGAGGCGGUCGACUGGAUUAUGUGUGUAUGGAUUACAGGGGUGCGAACCCUUUACACUAAGGAGGGGGUGGCUUAUAUAGUGCCUGCCAGACCCCUCCGACCCUCAGUAAUGCGGGGUUUAAAGUACAUUAAGUCUAGGUGUUACUGGUAACGCCUCACAUAAAGUGUCCUAAAUGCCAUAAAGUCUACUUAAUUACAGACCAUUGCGAUGCAGAGUCUCUCUUGUCCUUCUGGUGGUCGAGUGAGUCUUCAUGGUCGAGUCCUUUGAGUCCGUCGAGUGAAGUCUCUCUUGGUCGACUGGAGGGUAGUUUCUUCUAAGGGUGUCCUUGGGUAGGGUACUUAGAUCAGGUCUAUGACCCUACCCUAGGUACAUGACUUCAUCAUUAGCCCCCGAAUGGAUUGAGGUUUGAGUGAGGAAGGAGUUGAUAUUAUUUCCGACCUGCUUUUACGUUAUGGAUGUGUAUCGUCUUGGACCAAUAAUCUCUUCGUUGAUAAUCAGCAACCUUUCUUCAGUCGCCUUGAUCCAUUCUUUUCUCUCGUCGAGUGAACUUUUGAACUUAGCAAUCUCCGAGCGACGGAUCGCAGGAAAUCUCUCGUCGGACAGAUCGAUCUGCCGUUCGCGGAUUUUGUGGGAUCCGAAUUUUGGGGAAGCGCGCGAAGCAGGGCGGACCGCGGCGCUCGGAUGGGAUAGAGCAUAGAUGCCUCGAUUCUCGCGCCACCUUUUUCGCCACGUAUCGCGUACGCGCGACUGUUUUGGGAUGUGAUUGGACUGCCUGGGCCCACCUGUCAUCCACUCGGAAGUGUUCUUAUAAAGGCGUCCGGCGAGGGUUUUUGAACAGUGUCUCUCCAUUCUCCCUCCUCUGUCCUCUCCGCCUCCGCCCGCAUCGCCUGCCCUCACCUCUGCCCAACCACUCCUCGUGCGCCUCGACGGCAACAAUGGUGAAGGAGAGGACGGCGGCUCUGGAGCGCGCAAAGAAGGCGACGGCGAAGGGGAAGGCGAAAGGAAGAGCGACCAGUCGGGGCGGAUCUUCGUCCAGGUCCUGUCUGCCGCACGGCUGGGUCCAAGGAGAUUGGAUCCGGUCGUCCAUCACCGAGAGGGAUCUGACGGAGAUGGCCAAUGAGGGUUUGAUUCCCCACGGGGCAGCGAGGCUCCCGGGGGACGAGUGGCAACCGCAACCGGAAGAGGGUGAGUGCGUUCUUCUGGCUACCCAUGUCGACCGCGGGUUCUCUCUGCCUCCGAGUGUAUUUUUCCGUGGUUUCUUGAAUUUCUUCGGGGCGCAACUCCACCACUUCAAUCCAAACUCCAUCGCCUACCUUGCUGCCUUUGUGUCCAUGUGUGAGAACUUCCUGGGCUGCCGACCGCACUGGGGUCUGUUCAAGCACAUAUUCACUUGUCGUUCUCAGACAGUGAAAAAGGCAAGUCCAGAUGACGACAAGACCAAGUUUAUUCAGAUGUGUGGAGGUCUGGGGAUCCAGAUGAGAAACAAGAGCACUUUUCCGACCAUGACUCUCCCUGAGUCGGUCAGGGGAUGGCAGUCGACUUGGUUUUACUGCCAAAACGAGUCGACGCCGGGAAUGUCGAGUGGUCUCCCUCCGUUUACCAUGGACCGAGCAAGCAAACCCUCUUCUUUGAAGGUGCUCCCUGAGGAGAAGGCUCAAGUGAAGACGUUGAUGGAGUGGGUAGUCCAGCUAGUCAGGGAAGGAGUGACGGGUAUGGACCUUCUGGAGGUCUUCCUUAGGCGACGCAUCCAGCCUCUUCAGUACCAAGGCCAUUGCAUGUGGCUGUACUGUGGAACCGAGGAUGAAACUAGGGUCCACCCAGAAUCAGUCGACGAUGCCACACUGGAGAGGUGGAUGGCCGCGGUCACUGGGAACAAGGACAACCCUCGAGGAGCCAGGAGGAUUCCGCCACUCGACCACUCUAGCAUUCCAGACAAGGUACGCCCACUUUGUUUCCAAUUGUAAUCUUGCCACACUCAUUCUGCUUUCACUGUAAAUUGGUCUAUUGAUAUUUAUUUUGUUGUCUGUCAGGCCUUCACUGAACUAUACUCGAUGCCCAAUGGAGCGCAGACUCCGACUGAAGAGGGGGAAGCAAGUGGGGGCGAAAGCCAGGAGGAGUGGGACUCGGAUGCUGCUGAAGAUGAUGAUGAUGACAACUCCGAUGGGGAGGAAGAAGAGGAGGAGGAGGAGGAAACUUCACCGCCUCGCACGGAGAGGCGAUCGAAGCUCAUCCAUGAUCCUGCGACUGAACGUGGUAAGGGGGUCGCGACUGUCGCGCAGUCGACCAAGCGCCCUCGGACCACUUCUCCGGCGCCGACUGAGAAGGCUCCGAAGCAAUCUCGAACGGUGCCGAUGAAACCAGCGAAGGUCUUGCCAAAGAUGAAGGUGUCAAUUCCCACCAUAUCAGGGUAAAAAAUGCUAUCUGAGUCUUCUUGCUCUACACGAGUUUAUUUUUGGUCGACUCAUGAGUUAACCAACUGAUUUUUGGAAUUGCAGUGCUGCUACUUCUGAUACCUCAGCCAGGGCUGACGAUCAUGAGAUGGAAGAUGCUGCAACCUCAAAACCUGGUACCACUCUCUUAAUUCCGUUUUUUAGUCGAUUGACUCUUGGUCUCUAAUUUUGAUCCUUUUCUGCAGCUCCAUCCAAUGUCGUUAUCACUCUUCCUGACGACGACGACGACGAUGAGGAACCGCUGAAGCACCGGAGGAGCAGGAAGGCGUCUGCCGGCAGGGUGGCUCAGGACGUGACAGCGCCCGAGACACUGGUCGCAGAGGAGGAGAACACCACUCGGCACACCGUAUCUUUCACGGUGCCGCUGACGAGUGCUCACCCCGCUUCGUCGAGUGCUGCACAGCCUUCGCUCUUCUCGACCCACUACGUCCCAGAGGACUAAGCCAGUGCUGCAAAAGAAGCGAUACGCCAGGCGGGAGUCAUGAUGGAGCAGGUGAAGGCCAUCCGGGAGGCUAGCCAGGCAGCCUAUGACGCUAGUUCCGCUUUUCAAAGCAAUGUUCAGGUCAGUCGGUCAUCGCCUGUUCUGUUAGGAUAUGAUCUCUGAAAAUUCUUCUUUCUGAAAUCCGUAGUGGUCCUACACCCACUAGGUGUGUCGAUUGAAAUUCCGGGUUAGUGGGGGCACGCUGAGUGCACCCACUGGGUGUAGUCCCCAAGGCUAUGGUGGACUGUUGGCAGUCGACCAUAGGAUUUUUAAAAUUUUCCUUUAUUCGACCGGGUCGGAUAGAUUUCUCAAACCGGUGGGGGCACGCUGAGUGCACCCACUGGGUGUAGUCCCCGAGACUGCGGUCGACUGCUGGCAGUGGACUACAGUCUGAAGAGCAACUCCUGUUUUUUUUGGUGGUCGACUGGUUGACUCUUUCUUGAUAGAACUGGUGGGGGCACGCUGAGUGCACCCACUGGGUGUAGUCCCCGAGACUUCGGUUGAAUGUUUGAAUUCGGCUGAAGUCUUAGAAACGUGUGAUUUUUCCUCAGUCACUCGGAAGUGAAUUAUCUUUGACAUUUUGUCGAUUGGUUCCUCGUAGAAAUCCCGCGACCUGGUGGCUCGUUACACGGAGUUGGAGAACAAACAUAUCCAACUUGAGCUUGAUCUGAAGCUGGUCCAGGAGAACUUGGCGAAGGCAAAGGAGGAGAGCAAAGGUAUGUUUGGUGAGGACUCGACGACUGUUUUUGCCCCUUAUUUGUUUCAAAAUCUGACCUUGUUGUAACUUUGCAGGCAAAGUGAAGGAGGCCCAGAAGAAGAAAGAUCUUGAGCUAGCUAAGAUGCAGAAGAUAGCCUUAGAGAAGACCAAGCUCGCGGACGAGAAGUUGGCUUCGGUCACCAGGCUUGAAGAAGAAAACACCAAUCUAAAAGCUGAUCUUGAUAUUGCCAACAAAGAAGUGAGUCGACUGAAAAGCGACAAGAUUGCCCUGAAUGACAAAGCCAGUGAACUGGUUCGGAAGAAGAAAGAUCUGGAGGCUUAUCUGGGUGGACUCGCCAAGAAGCUGUUCCUCAUGCUCGAAGGUAAACCUUUGCAUUAAGCAAGUAUUUUUACAGUGUUCUUUCCAUUCGACUGUUGUCUUGACUCGGUGGUUGUGCUUGCAGAAUUUUGCCAAAACUUUGAAGAGGAGACCAGUCGACUAGAACCAAACCUGGACCCCAUCAACUCUCCGGUGAAUGAUGAAGUCGCCAUGAAUGUGUUCCGGCUCGAGUCUCAUGUUGCUGCUGUCACUGACUAUCUCGCAAGGCUGAAGGUCGUCACUUCCCGCAUUGACACUACGCUCUGGCCCAGGGAGACGCUCCAGAACGACCUCGAGUCUCUGAUGGCUCGACUAAACAUAGUUCCUGGUCGAGUGCAGGAGUGGAAAAAGUCCUCUGCUAGGUGUGGUGCAGAUGUUGCUCUGUGUCUGGCUCGAGUCCAUUGCAAGGAUGCACGAGAAGACAAGCUGGCGGCCCUUCGGGUGGCCAACACCAAGAAACACGACUUCCGGUCCUUCAUGGAGACCUUCAUCGCCACUGCCACUCGGAUUGCUGACGGAAUCGACCUCGAUGAAUUUGUCGCACCUUCCAGCCCUCCACAGGAGGGGUAAAAAACUUCUUGAGCUCAACACUUUAAAUUUGCCUCGGUAUGCCGAGUGAUUUUGUAACCGAUAAACCUUAACAGGCUUAGCGCCUGAGCACUUUCGGUUCCGUUAGGUUUUUAUCUGAACUUGGAUUCGACGUUUUGAAUGUGCUUGCCUUUGGUCUGAAAUGUCUUUUGCAGGUUUAAAACGAGAUGCUUACUGCAGUCGACUUAUUCUUCAAAUCACUUAGGCAGGCACUGGGCUGCGGCUAAGCCUCCAAGUGGGAAACAUGCUCUCCACUCGGUAGGAUUUUCAAAAACUUAGGCGAGCACUGGGCUGCAGCUAAGCCUCCGAGUGGGAGGUCUGCCCUCCACUCGGUAGGAUUUUUUAUAACUUAGGCGAGCACUGGGCUGCAGCUAAGCCCCCGAGUGGGAGGUUUGCUCCUCACUCGGUAGGAUUUUUUAUAACUUAGGCUAGCACUGGGCUGCAGCUAAGCCCUCGAGUGGGAGGUUUUCUCCUCACUCGGUAGGAUUUUUUAUAACUUAGGCGAGUACUGGGCUGCAACUAAGCCCCCGAGUGGGAGGUUUGCUCCUCACUCGGUAGGAUUUUUAUAACUUAGGCGAGCACUGUGCUGCAGCUAAGCCUCCGAGUGGGAGGUUUGCUCCUCACUCGGUAGGAUUUUCACAUUGUACUUGUGGCGUAGCUUGAAGGAGAGGGUCGCAGUCGACCUGUACCUCGUCCUCCUUGCGACCGCACAUUGUACUUGUGGCGUAGCUCAGAGGAGAGGGUCGCAGUCAACCUGCACCUCGUCCUCCUUGCGAGCGCACGUUGUAUUUGUGGCGUAGCUCAGAGGAGAGGGUCGCAGUCGACCUGCACCUCGUCCUCCUUGCGACCGCACAUUGUACUUGUGGCGUAGCUCAGAGGAGAGGGUCGCAGUCGACCUGCACCUCGUCCUCCUUGCGAGCGCAUGUUGUAUUUGAACUUAGGCGAGUACUUAGACUGCAGCUAAGCCUCCGAGUGGGAGUUUGGCUCUCCACUCGGUAGGAUUUUAUUCAAACUUAGGCGAGUACUUGGACUGUAGCUAAGCCUCCGAGUGGAAUUCUGGCUCACCACUCGGUAGGAUUUUAUUCAAACUUAGGCGAAACGGAUUCGCAGCUAAGCCCCCGAGUGAGAGUCUGGCCCGUCACUCGGUAAGGAUUUUUUACAAACUUAGGCGAAACGGAUUCGCAACUAAGUCACCCACUGAGGGGGAAAUUUUACUGAACAAAUAAAAGUGACAAAAAUCAUCGGGGAAAUUAUGACACUAUUAUCUUGCAAGCCGUGAACUACAGAAGUAUUUUUAUUACAACUCAUCCGAGUGAAAACUUAAGUGUAAAAUGGGCGGAGUAGCUCCGCGUUCCAAGCUCGGGGCUCGUCGAUAUUAUGCUUGACGUUGUAGAGACGGUACGCUCCGUUGUGGAGAACCUUGGUGACGAUGAAGGGUCCUUCCCAAGAAGGAGCAAGCUUGUGUUGUUUCUGCUGGUCCACUCGAACAACCAAAUCUCCUUCCUGGAAGGCUCGACUCUUCACGUUUCUGGCAUGGAAGCGACGCAAGUCCUGUUGAUAGAUGGUCGAUCGGAUCAGAGCCAUCUCUCUUUCCUCCUCUAAAAGGUCGACUGUGUCCUGCCGCGCUUGUUCCGCUUCAGCUUCGUUGUAGAGCUCAACUCGAGGAGCAUUGUGGAGCAGAUCACUCGGCAAGACCGCUUCAGCUCCAUAGACCAAGAAGAAUGGAGUUCUUCCGGUCGACCGAUUAGGUGUGGUCCUCAGACCCCAAAGCACCGAGGGAAGUUCAUCGACCCAUGCUCCAGCCGCAUGCUUAAGGUCACGCAUCAGUCGGGGUUUCAACCCUUUGAGGAUCAAGCCAUUGGCUCGUUCCGCCUGCCCAUUCGACUGCGGAUGGGCGACCAAAGCGUAGUCGACUCGUGUGCCUUGAGAAGUGCAGAAAUCCCUGAAUUCCUCCGAGUCGAAGUUUGACCCAUUUUCUGUGAUGAUGCUAUGCGGGACUCCAUAUCUGAAUGUCAGUUCUCUGAUGAAGCUAACAGCAGUACCGGCGUCAAGGUUCUUGAUAGGUUUAGCCUCAAUCCACUUGGUGAACUUGUCAACUGCCACUAGCACAUGCGUGAAACCGCUUCGACCUGUCCUCAAGGGACCCACCAUAUCCAAUCCCCAUACUGCGAAGGGCCAGACGAGUGGUAUAGUCUUCAGAGCUGACGCAGGCUUGUGUGACAUGUUGGAGUAAAAUUGGCAUCCUUCGCACUUGUCCACUAUUUCCUUUGCCAUCUCGUUUGCUCUUGGCCAGUAAAAUCCGGCUCGGUAUGCUUUGGCCACGAUGGUCCGAGAGGACGCAUGAUGGCCACAGGUCCCCGAGUGGAUAUCAUCAAGGAUGAUUCGACCUUCCUCUGGCGUUAUACACUUCUGACCAACUCCAGUCGCGCUCUCCCUGUACAGCUGUCCUUUGAUCACGGUAAAGGCCUUGGAUCGACGGACGAUCUGUCGAGCCUCUUCCUCGUCCUCCGGGAGCCCUUUUCUUAGGAUAUACGCGAUGUAAGGAACUGUCCAGUCGGGAGUGAUCACUAAAACCUCCAUGACCAAGUCGAACACUGCUAGGACUUCUACUUCAGUCGGAUCUGUGGCACUCUUGGGUCGCGGAGCUUCUUCGAUGAAAGGAUCUUCUUUGACUGAUGGGGUAUGGAUAUUCUCCAAGAACACACCACUCGAAAUGGCUUCUCUCUUGGAACCUAUCUUUGCCAGAUCAUCAGCCGCUUGAUUCUUCGGUCGGGGUAUAUGAUGGAGCUCUAACCCCUCAAACUUCUUUUCCAGAUUCCUCACUGCAUUGCAGUAUCCAGUCAUGGCUGGGCUUCUCACGUCCCACUCCUUCAUCACUUGGUUGACCACCAAAUCUAAGUCUCCAUAGAUCAUAAGGCGACGGACGCCGAGUGAAAUGGCCAUGCGCAACCCAUACAAAAGGGCCUCAUACUCUGCCUCAUUGUUGGAGGAAUCAAAGUGAAUCUGGAGCACAUAUCUGAGCUUAUCUCCUCUGGGGGAAACCAAGACAACCCCAGCACCGGAACCAUUCAACAUCUUAGAGCCAUCAAAAAACAUGGUCCAAUGCUCCGAGUGAACUUGAGCUGGCUGCUGUUGUUCAAUCCACUCGGCUAGGAAAUCUGCUAUUGCUUGGGACUUAAUGGUUUUCUUUGCCUCAAACUUGAUAUCAAGGGGAAGAAGUUCAAUCGCCCAUUUCGCCACUCGACCAGUCGCAUCUCUGUUGUGAAAAAUCUCUGAAAGUGGAGCGUCACUGACGACUGUGAUGGAAUGAUCAGAGAAAUAAUGAGCAACCUUCUUCGUGGUCAUGUAAAUCCCAUACACAAGCUUCUGAUAAUGAGGGUAUCUUUGCUUGGAUGGAGUCAAAACUUCAGACAGAUAAUACACUGGGCGCUGAACUUUGAAGGCUUUCCCUUCUUCUUCCCGCUCGACCGUAAGUACUGUACUAACGACUUGUCCUGUGGCUGCGAUAUAAAGAAACAGAGGCUCUUUGCUGAUUGGAGCAGCAAGCACCGGCUGGGUGGAGAUCAGAGCUUUUAGCUCGGCAAACGAUGCAUCAGCUUCUGGAGUCCACUCGAACUUGUCUGCCUUCUUCAUCAGUCGGUAAAGAGGCAGUGCCUUUUCACCGAGUCGUGAGAUGAAUCGACUUAAUGCGGCCAAGCAUCCAGUAAGCUUCUGGACAUCGUGCACCCGCACAGGGCGUUUCAUUCGGAGUAUAGUGCCAAUUUUUUCUGGGUUAGCGUCGAUUCCUCGUUCGGAAACGAGAAAACCGAGUAACUUUCCACCAGGAACUCCGAACGUGCACUUUGAUGGAUUGAGCUUGAUAUCAUACCUUCUGAGGUUGGCAAAUGUUUCGGCAAGGUCAGUCAGCAGGUCGGAACCCUUUCGCGACUUGACCAUGAUAUCAUCCAUAUACGCUUCCACAUUCCGACUGAUUUGAGUGAGCAAACACUUCUGAAUCAUUCGCAUGAACGUGGCUCCGGCAUUCUUGAGGCCGAAUGGCAUGGUGAUAUAGCAGAAGCACCCGAAUGGAGUGAUGAAAGCUGUUUUUAUCUCAUCGGGUCCAUACAGACGGAUCUAAUGGUACCAGGAAUAGGCGUCUAGAAAAGACAGUCUCUCGCAUCCCGCGGUCGAGUCAACAAUUUGAUCGAUGCGAGGGAGAGGAAAAUGAUCUUUCGGGCAGGCCCGAUUGAUGUGCUUGAAAUCGAUGCACAUUCGGAGUGAGUUGUCCUUCUUAGGAACCAUGACGACAUUGGCGAGCCACUCGGAGUGGUAUAUCUCUCGGAUAAAUCCUGCAGCCAAUAGUCGAGCCACUUCCUCACCAAUAGCUUUUCUCUUCUGGAUGGCGGACCGCCGCAGAUGUUCUUUGACCGGCUUCGCAGUUGAAUCGACUCUAAGGCGAUGCUCAGCCAGUCCCCUGGGCACACCCGGCAUGUCAGUUGGCUUCCAUGCAAAGAUGUCCCAGUUCUCACGGAGGAACUGAAUGAGCGCUUCUUCCUAUUUCGGGUCGAGUGUUGUGGAGAUAUGGGUUGGAGCUGCAUUGGGGUCGGCCGGGUGAAUGUGGACGGGCUUCGUCUCACGGGACGAUUGAAAUGCUGACUCCGUGGCUGGCUUCUUGGCUCGCAGCAAAUCACUCGGAUCUGCAUUCUGCUUAUAUUCUUCAAACUCGACCGCUGUCACCUGGGAAUCGGCAAUCUUUGAGCCUUUCUGGAAACACUCUUCUGCCUUUUUUCAAUCACCAGUGAUAGUGAUCACUCCUUUGGGGCCGGGCAUCUUCAGUUUGAGGUACACAUAACAUGGUCGCGCCAUGAAUCGUGCGUAAGCUGGCCUCCACAAAAUAGCGUGGUAAGCGCUCUGAAAAUCCACGACCUCAAACGUCAGCUUCUCUUUAUGAAAAUGCUUCGAAUCACCGAACACCACGUCCAGAGCUAUUUGGCCGAGUGACUCGGCUUUCUUUCCUGGUAUGACUCCGUGAAAACUCAUGUUACUGGUGCUCAGUCGGGACAUCGGAAUGCCCAUUCCUUUAAGCGUGUCCGCAUACAAUAAGUUCAGUCCGCUACCACCGUCCAUCGGCACCUUCGUGAGUCGAGUGCCUUCGACCACCGGGUCGACCACCAAAGCUUGCCUCCCGGGGGUGGCUAUAUGAGUCGGGUAAUCAGACUGGUCGAAUGUAAUGGGAGUUUGGGACCAUCUCAGAUAACUUGGUUUCGCCGGGGCGACCAUGUUCACCUCACGGUUAAUAACCUUCAGUCGGCUCUUGCUUUCCACAUCCGCAAAAAUCAUCAGAGUGGAGUUAACAUGAGGAUAUCCUCCCUCACUGUCCUCCUUGUCUUCGGCUUUGUCCGACUCCUUUUCUUUGUCCUUGGACUGUUUUCCUUGGAACUGCUGGAUCAGGAGUCGACACUGGCGAGUGGUAUGCUUCGGGUAGAUGAUAUUACCCUCUUCGUCUUUCUUCGUGUGGAUGUGACACGGCAUAUCCAUCACGUCAUUUCCUUCUUUAUCCUUCACCUUCUUGGGGUUCCAGGAUCCUUUGGGUUUCCCUUUGAACUUGCCCUGAGUCACGGCCAGAGCCUCUCCAGGAGCUGCUGGUUCGGCCUUCCGCUUCUGCUUCCGACUGGUGUUUCCCUUCUCCAACUGACUAGGCUUGUACUUGCCGCUUCGGAGUCGGUCUUCCUCUUCGCCGUUGGCAUACUUGGUGGCAAUCUCCAUCAUUCGACUCAGGAUCAUGUCUCCGGUCCGACCAAACUUCAAACUCAAUUCUCUGUUCUUAACACCGUCCUUGAAGGCGUAGACUGCCUGAUGAUCAAACACAUUCUCCACGGUAUGAUGCAAAGUGAUCCAUCUCUGAAUAUACUCUCUUAGAGUCUCAUUCGUCUUCUGCACACAAACUUGCAGCUCUGUCAAUCCAGCUGGUCGCUUGCAAGUUCCCUCAAAUGUUCUGACGAACACUCGGGAAAGAUCUUCCCAAGUGUAAAUGCUGCUUGGAGGUAACUGAUUCAACCAUGCUCUGGCAGAACCUUCCAACAUGAGUGGCAAAUGCUUCAUGGCCACUUCGUCAUUCCCGCCGCCAAUCUGUACCGCCACUCGGUAGUUUUCAAGCCAGGUUUCAGGCUUAGACUCACCGGUGAACUUGCUCACUCUAGUUGCCAACCUGAAGUUGGGGGAAUCACCGCGGCUCUGAUAGCCCUGCUGAAACAUUCCGGACCAGAAACAUGCACUCGACUGCUAGUGGGAGCAUCUCUGUUAGGGCCACCUCGAUGAGCUCUGUUCCGAUCGACCAAGCCUUGCACGAUGAUGGAUCGCACGUCAAAGCCUGGUUCCCUGGGGUCGACCGGAGCUCUUCGCCCCACACUGAGUUGACGCCUGUCAUCCUGCUGCCGAGGAGCGUAAGACCCACCUCUCGGAGGGGGAGUGGGCACUCGACGCCUAUCAUCACGAUCAUGUCGGUCACCAUACUGGUCUCGCCGAUUCUUGCGUCCUUCACGCCGCGGAGGCGAUCUGGGACUGUGAGCCGACUGAACCGUAUUCGCAGAGACGGAUCGACUGUGAAUUCUGUUGCGUGACUGCGACACGGCUGAAUUCUGAUCUCCUGCUACCCGAAGCAAAUCCCUGAUCUGCAUCAAGCCUCUGCCAGCCUCCGACUGAGAGGGCUGGAUGGACUCUGCGAUACGGGUUGCAGCUGCUAAAUUCUGAAUCGGGGUUCGAUAUACCUGAGUCGGCGGGAAGAGUUGACGUUGAUUGGAGUCGGGUACUCGUUGCCGCGUGCGCUCGUCGAGUGCUCGCUGAAAGUUCUCCAGUCGAGCGCGUUCAGCCAAGUUGGCCAAACAUGCUUCCUCCAAGGCGCGAGCCUCGGGGGUUUCUCCCGCGAUGGGAGUAUGCAGGGCAUCCAUGUUCCUGCGGCGAAGUUCUUCCCUCUGCAGGGAAUUAAGUGGCUCGGGCUGGUACUCUUCAUGGACUUGAGCGGGGUCGCCUCCACCGUCUACCCCGUCCUCGCGAGGGAAACCGGGAGGGCUGCGAGGCCCGUUAACCAUCAAGACCUCUGCCGCUGGAUCACUGCUAUCACACUCGGAUGCAGUCUCUAUGGAGCCAGUCGACAGAUCGAACAGGCCGUAGAGAGAUUCGUCGGGCUCGAUUGCCGCAACUUGGGUGGUGGCCGUCUGGCGAGCCAUCGCGUGCCUCACCCACCGCUGGAGCCUCGACCGACCAGAGCGCUUGCGCUGGUAGGAGACUGGGAGGGUGACCGAUAGGGGAGUCGACCGAUAUGGAGUCGACGGUUGCCGCAGCAGAACACCGCGGACACAUGCGCGAAAAUGCGUCGCACCGCAGACGGGGAGCGCAUCAACGUCGAGUGGAGCCUCCUGGAGCCAAGCGGAGUCGUCGGCGAUGAAGGUGAGAGCGCCGAGACAGAUCUCGCGGCCCUCGACCAAAACUCCACCAGCAACCAUGCUGAUAGUACUCGGAAGAAUCGCAACUUCUCCAAAAAUCGCUAAGACACCUGCCCCACGGUGGGCGCCAACUGUCGUGGUUCUAAGUCUGACAGUAGAGUGGGGGUAGGUAUGGAGAGGCAAGGUCCUAGCUAUGGAGCAGUUGUAAACACAAGGGAUGUACGAGUUCAGGCCCUUCUCGGAGGAAGUAACAGCCCUACGUCUCGGAGCCCGGAGGCGGUCGACUGGAUUAUGUGGGUAUGGAUUACAGGGGUGCGAACCCUUUACACUGAGGAGGGGGUGGCUUAUAUAGUGCCUGCCAGACCCCUCCGGCCCUCAGUAAUGCGGGGUUUAAAGUACAUUAAGUCUAGGUGUUACUGGUAACGCCUCACAUAAAGUGUCCUAAAUGCCAUAAAGUCUACUUAAUUACAGACCAUUGCGAUGCAGAGUGUCUCUUGUCCUUCUGGUGGUCGAGUGAGUCUUCAUGGUUGAGUCCUUCGAGUCCGUCGAGUGAAGUCUCUCUUGGUCCACUGGAGGGUAGUCUCUUCUGAGGGUGUCCUUGGGUAGGGUACUUAGAUCAGGUCUAUGACCCUACCCUAGGUACAUGACUUCAUCACGUAGUACUUGGUUUUUGAUGACUUCUAAAUUUUUGCAAUAAGUAUAUGAGUUCUUUUGAGUAAUGUUGAGUCCAUGGAUUAUACGCACUUUUACCUUUCCACCUUUGCUAGCCUCUUCGGUAUCGUGCAUUGCCCUUUCUCACCUUGAGAGUUGGUGCAAACUUUGCCGGUGCAUCCAAACCCCGUGAUACGAUACGCUCUAUCACACAUAAACCUCCCUAUAUCUUCCUCAAAACAGCCACCAUACCUACCUAUUAUGGCAUUUCCAUAGCCAUUCCGAGAUAUAUUGCCAUGCAACUUUCCACAGUUCCGUUUAUCAUCAUCAUGACAUACUUUACUUUUGUCAUAUUGCCAUUGCAUGAUCAUGUAGUUGACAUCGUAUUUGUGGCAUAGCCACCAUGCAUAAUUCAUACAUGUCACUCUUGAUUCAUUGCACCAUCCCGGUACACCGCCGGAGGCAUUCAUAUAGAGUCAUAUCUUGUUCUAGUUUCGAGUUGUAAUUCAUAUGUUGUAAUCAAUGAAAGUGUGAUGAUCAUCAUUAUUAGAGCAUUGCCCAAAAAGAAAAAAAAAGGAAAAAAAAGAAGAAAGGGCAAAAAAAGGCCCAAAAAAGAAAAAAAAAAGAAAAAAAAGAAAAAAAAGAAAAAGGGGCAAUGUUACUAUCUCUUUUUCCACACUUGUGCUUCAAAGUAGCACCACGUUUUUCAUAUAGUGAGUCUCAUAAGUUGUCUUUUUCAUACUAGUGGGAAUUUUUCAUUAUAGAACUUGGCUUGUAUAUUCCUACGAUGGGCUUCCUCAAAUGCCCUAGGUCUUCAUGAGCAAGCAAGUUGGAUGCACACCCACUAGUUUUCUUUUGUUGAGCAUUCAUUUAUAGCACUAGUGCAUCCGUUGCAUGGCAAUCCCUACUCCUCAUGUUGACAUCAAUUGAUGGGCAUCUCCAUAGCCCGUUGAUUAUCCUCGUCAAUGUGAGACUUUCUCCUUUUUUUGUCUUCUCCACACAAUCCCCAUCAUCAUAUUCUAUUCCACCCAUAGUGCUAUCCAUGGCUCACGCUCAUGUAUUGCGUGAAGGUUGAAAAAGUUUGAGAUUAUUUAAGUAUGAAACAAUUGCUUGGCUUGUCAUCGGGGGUAUAGAAGUUGGGAACAUCUUUGUGUGACGAAAAUGAAGCAUAGCCUAACUAUAUGAUUUUGUAGGGAUGAACUUUCUUAUGCCAUGUUAUUUUGAGAAGACAUGAUUACUUUGAUUAGUAUGCUUGAAGUGUUACUGUUUCUUUUAUCAAUAUGAACUUUUAUUUUGAAUCAUUUGGAUCUGAACAUUCAUGCCACAAUAAAGAAAAUUUCAUUGAGAAUUAUGCUAGGUAGCAUUCCACAUCAAAAAUUCUUUUUUAUCAUUUACCUACUCGAGGACGAGCAGGAUUUAAGCUUGGGGAUGCUUGAUGCGUCUCCAACAUAUCUAUAAUUUUUGAUUGCUCCAUGCUAUAUUAUCUACUGUUUUGGGCAAUAUUGGGCUUUAUUAUCCACUUUUAUAUUAUUUUUGGGACUAACCUAUUAACCGGACGGCCAGCCCAGAUUUGCUGUUUUAUGCCUACUUCAGUGUUUCAAGGAAAAGGAAUAUCAGACGGAGUCAAAACGGAACGAACUCAACUGGAGAAGUUAUUUUUGGAAGGAAAGCCACCGGAUAGACUUGGACUCUACGUCAGAAGAUACGGGAGCUGGUCACGAGGGUGGGGGGCGCGCCCACCCCCCUAGGGCGUGCCCCUGCCUCGUGGGGCCCCCGAAGCUCCACCGACGUACCCCUUGCAGCCAUAUAUACCUACGUACCCUAAAACUUCCAGAACAGAAGAUAGAUCGGGAGUUCCGCCGCCGCAAGCCUGUGUAGCCACCAAAAACCUCUCGGGAGCCCGUUCCGGCGCCCUGCCGGAGGGGGAUCCCAUCGCCGGUGGCCAUCUUCAUCAUCCCGGUGCUCUCCAUGACCAAGAGGGAGUAGUUCACCCUCGGGGCUGAGGGUAUGUACCAGUAGAUGUGUGUUUGAUCUCUCUCUCUCGUGUUCUUGAUUUGGCACGAUCUUGAUGUAUCGCUAGCUUUGCUAUUAUAGUUGGAUCUUAUGUUUCUUCUCCCCCUCUACUCUCUUGUAAUGGAUUGAUUUUUCCACUUGAAGUAAUCUUAUCGGAUUGAGUCUUUAAAGAUUUGAGAACACUUGAUGUAUGUCUUGCCGUGCGUAUAUGUGGUGACAAUGGGAUAUCACGUGCCACUUGAUGUAUGUUUUGGUGACCAACUUGCGGGUUCUCCCCAUGAACCUAUGCAUAGGGGUUGGCACACGUUUUCAUCGUGAUUCUCCGGUAGAAACUUUGGGGCACUCUUUGAGGUUCUAUGUGUUGGUUUGAAUAGAUUAAUUGAGAUUGUGUGAUGCAUAUCGUAUAAUCAUGCCCACGGAUACUUGAGGUGACAUUGGAGUAUCUAGGUGACAUUAGGGUUUUGGUUGAUUUGUAUCUUAAGGUGUUAUUCUAGUACGAACUCUAGGGCUGUUUGUGACACUUAUAUGAAUAGCCCAACGGAUUGAUUGGAAAGAAUAACUUUGAGGUGGUUUCGUACCCUACCAUAAUCUCUUCGUUUGUUCUCCGCUAUUAGUGACUUUGGAGUGACUCUUUAUUGCAUGUUGAGGGAUAGUUAUAUGAUCUAAUUAUGUUAUUAUUGUUGAGAGAACUUGCACUAGUGAAAGUAUGAACCCUAGGCCUUGUUUCAACGCAUUGCAAUACCGUUUACGCUCACUUUUAUCAUUACUUACCUUGCUGUUUUUAUAUUUUCAGAUUACAAAAACCUAUAUCUACCAUCCAUAUUGCACUUGUAUCACCAUCUCUUCGCCGAACUAGUGCACCUAUACAAUUUACCAUUGUAUUGGGUGUGUUGCGGACACAAGAGAGUCUUUGUUACUUGGUUGUAGGGUUGUUUGAGGGAGACCAUCUUCAUCCUACGCCUCCUACGGAUUGAUAAACCUUAGGUCAUCCACUUGAGGGAAAUUUACUACUGUCCUACAAACCUGUGCACUUGCAGGCCCAACAACGUCUACAAGAAUAAGGUUGUGUAGUAGACAUCAGACACCACGGUCAAAUUGUCAAGGUCUCCCCAAGAGGAGAUGGCACACGGACAUGUAACCACGUCACACUCGAUGGUGUCCUCGUAGGCGCCAAUCUUGGAAGAAACAUGCAUGGUGUGCUCCACUUGAAUUGUGUCUGGGUCGCUAAGCCAUUGGACCUUGUAGAGGCGAGGAUGCUUCUUAUUGACCAAUUGCAGCUUGCAGCAUAGCUCUCCACUUGCCAAGUUGUGGCAGCUUCCUCCAUCGAUGAUGACUUUCACGGAGUGCCCGUUGAUGUCGGCCUUGGUGUAGAAGAUGUGACACCUUUGGUCUUCGUCUUGGUGGUGUUGGAGCGUCAAAACCUUGGAGACCACGAGAGCGGGACUUGAAUCAUUGUCACAAUAGACUUGAGCAUCUUCUUCUUUGUUCACUUGACGGUGCAUGGCGGCGUGCUCUAUAGCUUCCAUCUCUUCUUAACUCAUGGAGUCGUAUGAGCCAUCAUCAUUGGCAAUCAUGGUUCGCUUGUUGAUGCAUUGGAAAGACUUGUGUCCAUGGCCACCACAUGUGAAGCACUUGAUAGAACUUGUCUUGACAGGAUCGUCCGAUGGUGCCGAAUAAAAGGUCUUGUUCUUGUAGGUGCUUGCCAGAGGACGAGUCGAGGAAGGCGUUGCUUGCUUGAACGUUGGCUUGUCACCGGUACUUGGUGCUGCUCUCGUCGAAGUAGGAGGUGUCUAAGUCGUAGUAGGGGUAGCUUGAGUGUAUGAGCCGUAGGUCUUGGAUGAGUACUUGGCGAACUUGAAGUCUUCUUAUACUUGACGUUCCGCCUUGGUCACUUGGUGAACUAGCUCGAGGAGGUUGGAGUAGGGUUGGAAGUCGGUAAUCUUCCGUAUUGGGUGGUUGAGGCCGUUCAAAAAGCGUGCCAUUGUUUUCCCGUCAUCUUCUUUGACAUUGGCUCAUAUCAUGGCAAUAUCCAUUUCUUGAUAGUAUUCUUCCACCGUCUUCGUGCCUUGCUUGAGGAGUUGCAACUUCUUGAAGAGAUCUCGAGUGUAGUACAUAGGCACGAAGAGAGCUCUCAUGACUUCCUUAAUUUGUGCCCAAGUCGUGAUGGGUGGCUCGUCCUUCUCACGACGUCGCUCGAUGACUUGCUCCCACCAAAUUAGGACAUAGUCUUGAAACUCGAGAGAUGCCAUGGCGAUCUUAUUUUCCUCGUCUUAGUUGUGGGGACGGAAUUCUUGUCAACAUUCAAUUCCCAUGAUAGGUAUUCCUCGGGAUCGUUGCUUCCGGAGAACUUGGGCAUGGUGAACUUGAGCUUGCCAUAUCGAAGUUCUUCAUCAUAGUGAUGAUGGUGAUAUCGGUCUUGUCGAGGAGGAGGAUCAUCAAGCAUUCGAUCCGCUUGAUGUCGCUCUUGGUGUGGAGGAGGGUCAUGGAUCACUCUAUCCGGUUGCCGAGGAGGAUGUCAAGGCAUAUGUUCCCGGUUUCGCCUUUCUUGUUGUUCUUCACGUCGAGUGGCUUCUUCUUGUAUUUCCUGCCGAAGAGCUUCUUCUUGCUCACGUACUUGACGACUUCGUUGGGCGAUGGCUCGAGUGGAAUCUCGGAGUGCGUCUUGAGCCGCUUGAGCUUGAGCUUCACGGUCUUGUUGCUCUUGUCGGGUUGCCUCGCCGUCUUGAGAUGCUCUACGUGGGCGAUGUAGCGGUGGUUGUUAUUCUUGAUCCAUGGCAUCUUGUUCAUGGCGUCGCGCCUUCUCACGUGCUCAAACUCGGUCUUGUAGGCCAUUGCCAUGGAAUGGAUUUUCUUGCGCUUGGUGGUCUUGAGUGUUGUCGCGUCGAGGAGGACUCGCAUCGGAAGACGAGUAGGAAGACGAGUGGCGACUUGAGGGACACCGUCUUGGUGAACAAGUUGAGGAAGAUGCGCGGCUCACGAUCUUGUUGCGGAAUUCAUCCAUUUGUUUGGAGAGCUUGGUGUCCAAAUAGUCCCGUUGCCGUGCUUCCGAUUGUCGUAGGUCGGUGGCGAGUUGUUCGAUGCGUUCACCCAAAGCUUCGCUCUCUUGAUGUAGAGCUCGUUGUGCGAUGAAGAAGUGAUUCUUGGUGACGUAGUCGCGUUCGCCAUCUUGCUCCUCAAAGAAAGGGUUCACCAAAGAAGAAGGCCUAUCCAUCAUGUGGAAGUGGUGGUGAGUAGGAAAAUGAGAGAACAAAACCAAAGCUACCUUUUCCAAAGAUUGUGGAUGUAACAAGUACGAUCCCACGUGAUGCUAUAAUGGAGAAUUGGUACUUGGUAUUGUUUCUCACACCUACAACUAAAAGGCUUAUGGAGGAGCUCGGUUAGGAAGUGGCACAAAUAAUUCAAGCAAAUGUUAGUCAAGAUGUUGACAAAGUUGAGAAGAUUCACAAAUGGCAAGUAAGACAAAUAGAUCAAACCCAAGGAUAUCACUAGGAACACACACAUGGAAGAUAAAUGGGAUCUGCACAACCAAGGAGUGAGCUCUAAGAUGUGAAACCACGGAAAUGCUCGAGUUGUACGGAUACUAGAGAGACGCUAGCUCGAUUGCUCUAAUGGGCUAGAUACGCUAGUGCCCCAACCUAGAAGAGAAACGAGUCUUGCUAUCCCAAGUAUGCUUAUGUAUGUAAUGACCAAGAUGAUGUAGCUAUGCUAUAAGGCUCAAUGCUAUUGCUUAUAAGCUCUUUGCUUAUCUUCUCUUUUUCUUAAAAGCUUUUCUUCUCUUUUUUUGACUAUGCCACAAUGCUUGAUAUGCGAGCCACAACACGACAUAACAAGUAGUAUUUGCACGGGAGAGACGUAACACUAAUGGUGCACUAAAGCGUGACCCGGUAAUACUCGACAAGCUAGUCUCGAUGGGUAAGCUAUGCAAAAGAGGCUCGGAGUUAUCAAGGUAAUGGCAAGGGUAAUACAAUGGUGUCGUCGAGGUUACCGUCCUUGCUUACGGUUUUUAUGAAGAUGGAGUGGUCGGAGCCAAUGUGGAGUCCGAGUCGAUGGUCGAGUGGCGAUGAUGAUGACGUCAAAUCGCACCUAAGUAGCCAAAAUACCUUAGGACACAAGAGAAACCGCAACCCAAAACUCAAACAACCACGAGAAAUAUUGAAGAAGAACACAAGUGGUGGUGGGGUGUCAAAAAGAUGGAAAAACAAAACUGGCUGAAUGUCCCUGGAUGGUCCAUACGCACGGGGUAAGUGAGAUCCGUGUGCACGGGGUCCCAUGUGCAUGGGGUCCCGAUGGCCCGUGUGCACGGGGUCCUCAGCGAGCGAAUGAACAGCUCUGGAUCCAUGAGUAUUUGCAAACUGGAGGCCAAUUUUGAGGGUUUGGAGGGUUUGGAGGGUGGGGAAGAUGGUAGGGGGUAGAUCCACUUGCCAAGCACCAAAUUCGUGGAUCAAAUCAACCAAAUCUGACAAGAUCAACAAAUUGCAAGAAAAUUUUUGGUGGGGAUUUUCGGAUUAGGACUAAAAACAACAAAUCAAGCUAGAAAGUGGAGGGUAUGGACUCGAUGUGAAUCAACCUUGCUCAUGAUACCAAGAUGUUGUAGGGUGAAGCUCUAAGAUGGAUCUUUUCACACUUGGAAGGGAAAAGAGGAAGAAACCCAAGAACACAAAGAUGAAUUCACUCCAACAAUACCAAAUUACACAUCCACUAGAAUAGCAACACAAGAUCCACAAGUCACAAACACAAUCAAAGGAAAGAUACAAUGGUAGAGUUCUUCCCACUCCUAGGAGAUGAGGUCUUGAUGAUGGUAGUUUUCUGCAAGAUGGAGGUCUUGAAAUCCACAAGUGGAUCCUCUCCAAGGAGGCCUUGAUCUCCAAUAGAGGUGGUAGAAGGAGCAAAGCUCACAAAUAUCUCAUCUAAUUUUUGCUAACCCUAAACAUAACCCUAGGUACGUAAUAUAUAGGCUUGGGUCGAAGUGGAAGAAGGGGGGAUCCAAAACAGCAUCUCAGCCGCCCAUCCUGUAGGGUUCGUGCGCACGGGGUAAGUUGGGCCCGUACGCAUGGGGUGCUACAGUCGGAGCUCCCUGUGUAGCCCGUGGGCGUGGGUCUCGGGGGCCCGUGCGCACGGGGUCGCCUGGGACUUCCAGUCCAACUCCUGUUUGGCUCGGUCUUCCUCCUUGGUGACUUGGGUCACUUCUCCUUGGACUUGGUGGUGCUCCUCAGCUGCUUGGAAGGGUUCCUCUAUAUACCUAAUGAGGCAUAGAGUAUUUUGGUGACGUACCAACCAAGUUCCACUUGUAUUCAUAUGCAUGUCAACUAGGAAGGAGUUCACCUCGGUUUCCAUUGCACGUGCUCUAGCUCUUGUCAUUGGUCCAUGUGGUGCUUGAGGUGUCAGUGUAGAGUCCAUGGGGAUGGUGGAAGGAUGCUCUGCAUCAGUAUGUUUUUUAUGAGGAGGCACUGCCAGAAGCCACCAAAUGGAUGGCGAUCGCAAAAGUUUGCAUAGAUAAACCAUACAGCCAAUUCUGGUUCUUCAAGAACAUACGUCAGGGUGGGAUCCAGCUCAACACGUGAAGUUUAGGCCAUUGAAAGAUAGUAUGUAUACUCUCCGGUUCUUUUUCCUUGGGGAUUGGGUGCAAGUGAUACAAGAGGGGCUUUGAAAUUCCGAAGUAAUGUUGUAUUCAUAGCUCCAUACGACAGUAUGACGAAGCCCUCGACGAUCAAACUUGACACACUAGACAUCUGGAUACAUAUAGAUGAUUUUCCUAAUGGUUGUGCUCAUUUAGUCACACCUUCGGCAGCCAAGAUUGGAGAGGUCUUGUAUGCUGAAACACGAUCCCACGACUUUACAUGCAACUUCUUUCGUGUUUGGGUAAGAAUAAAUGUUGUGAAACCGCUCAAGAGCACUGUCACUAUGGUUCGUGAUCUUAAGCGUCAGAUCUACAAAAAGUUAAGUAUGAAAAUUUGUCAGAUAGGUGUUCUGUGUGCGGUCUGGGUAUGCAAAACCGAACCGAAAACCAAAAAACCGACAAAAUACACCAUACGGAACCAAUUUUUUGGUUUUUCAGGUUUUGGUUUUUGUUUGGGUUUUGCUAUAGAAAAACCAUUUGCAUUUUGGUUUUUUUGGUUAGAAGCUGAAAACAAUUUGGUUAAACCGAGUUAACCGGAUUGUCUUUUUUGGGUUCAAAAGCAUAAUGGGCUGGUACAGUACAAUACUUUCUAGCCCACUUAGUGCUUCAGUUUACGUGAUCAGUUUGACUGCUUAUUCAAUAUCUCUUUUUUAUCCUUUUCUUAUUGGUUUUUCCUCAUUACGAUAUAUAUUGUGUAUUUACAUGUGAAAAAGUUAUGUGUUGGCUCCAAAAAUUUGCAUCAACUUUGGUUAAUUUGGUUAUUACAGAAAGUGAAACAAAAGUAAAUGGUAUUAUCGAAAAUGAACCAUAUCUAUGUAUAAAACAGUUAAACCAAAAAAUAGAAAUCGUAUAAACUGAACCGAAUCAAAACAAAAAAUGAGUGCACACUCUAAGUGUGCGGCUACCUAGGACACGUCUUCGGAGAACACAGUAACGGUAUCCAUCCUCCCAGUGCAUUGGUCUUUUAAGGAUCUCGAGGCAUCUCCAACGUGGACUCUAAAACCGCCCGUAUACAUCCGGAUCGCGUGGUCUGGACGUGUUGGGCCAUCCAAAGCAAGCCUGUGUCAGUCUGUUUGACGGUCCGUAUGCACUUUCUCUUGCAAACCGGAGACAAACUAAGGGGGGCUUUGCGGGCGUCCGGACCAAUGUCAUGCCCGCGUCUGGUCACCCUGGCCCACCCAACCCCCCUCUGCCUCGCCCACGCGCACUUCCUGCCCGAAACGGUCAGCGCCGCUCCAGAGCGUUAGUGCCACCUUCAUGCCCGGCCAGAGCGGACGCAACCUCUCACUAGGGUCGUCACUAAAGUGCCACGCCGGCCAAGAGAGCGCCGUCCGCGGCACUUCCGGAUGCACGCGACUACUACACGUUCAAAAGACACCACAUUCGUUCGCCCAUCUGUCUGUCGCCCACAUUAAUGACACGCGGUUGCCAAGGAACCUACUCCGACGCCACCCAUCCAUCCAUCUGCCGCCCACCAUUGCCAUUCAGCACUAUAUAAACUGUUGCCCCGGCGAUAGCUACAUUCAUCCUCCUCCGGUCCUAUCUCCUCUCUGCACCACUCCCACCAUGGUCUCCUUGCGCUCCAAAGCUCUCUGGGGUGGACUGUCGCUGGAGCAGAGGAAGAAGAUGGCCGCCAUUGCUUCUGGCUGGCAGGCCAGCAGGUAGCCAGAGGCCGACGGCAUCCCAAUGGAGGACGGGGCCGAGGACGAGCUGAUGCAUUGCACCAUGACCAUCGGUGAGGCCCGUGCCCAUUACAUGGACAUGGUGCGGGAGGAGAGGGAUGAGCAGUUCCAGGAGGCGCAGGCCAACAUGGCCUACAACCUUCACCUCCUCCAGGAGCACCAGUAGGCGGACGAGCAGCUCAACGCCGGCAGGGAGACCACGCCGGACGCGGACAUCAUCAAGCAUGCUGCUAUGCUCGAGUCCUAUCGCUCAGCCCAUGAGAUCUGCCUCGCCCGCUGGUGGUACCGCUAGUGUCAGGCAAAACUGGAGGCCGCCUACAUGGAGUUCGAUGAGGCCGCGACGAGGUGUGAGGCAAGACCGACGAGGAGGAGGACAUUUCUGGCUCUGCCGAUGCCGCGCCCCGCCGCCACGACCACAAAACCGGCAUGUCCGCGGGCGCCGUCGUCAUGCUAGGUUGCCGCCGCUUGGGUCUCGGGAAGGCCACUGCUCUUCUCCUCCUCCUGAAGCCAAGCUUGGUGGGUUGAUAAUCGGUGGCCGAUUAAUCGGUCAAGUUGCGGUGGUGGAGGGUGCGGAGGCAGAGCUAGAGAGCUCCGAGGCUGAACUGGAGGAGGCGAAGGCAAGUGCUGGAGCUUUAGUUCUCGGGGCUCAUGACCAAACACGGGGAACGGGUGCCACCGAUCAUUUAGAUUAGGUUUAGAAUAGAAGUAUGUUCAAAAUUAUACCUCUAGAGUCGGACGAGCUCCGCUUUUAGUUGAAGCAUGUCUGAAAUGUAAUGAGUUUCGUCAUGUUUAUAUGAAAUAUGUUGUGUUCGCAUGAAUCUCUUCCGGUUUAUAUCAAAAUUUGGCUGGUUUGCGUGAAUUUCAUCCAUUUAGUUCAAAAUGUGGUUGAACUUUAUGCGGCCAGCGUUGGAUGGCGGCCUCUGGCAUCAAUGUCCGUAGACUGAUCCUUCUGUUUUUGGCGUGAUGUCAGAGCAAAUUUAUGGGUUAGUGUUGGAGAUGGGACAUCAUGUAUAUGCGAGCGGGCGGAGGCACAGGAGGUGGACGUGGCAGCCGUGGUGGUCGGGCCAAUGACGAGUUCGUAUUGUAAUGUCGCGAGAGUAAUUUUCCUUCGUCUGCCGCUUGCGGCUUCUGUCUAAAACCUUCUCCCUUAAUUAAUGAAAUGGCAAGUCUUUUCCCUUGUUUCUAAAACUUGCUUGAUGCCACACCACGCAGUCCCACUCUAGCACCUGCGUGCAUCAGGCAAUUCGACGGUGCAGUGCAGUUCUCGCCGGAGGAGAUGGCGACAGAGAAAAGCAAAAGAUUUUGCGGGAUUGGAUUUUUGGAACACGAGAUAUGACGGUUUGACAGAGGAAACACGAAAUUACCGAUACCCUAGCGUACAACGGGAGAAAGGCUGUCGAUACUAGCGAUUUUUUCCGAAUAUCCAUUUCUGAGCCCAGACUCAUCUGCAUCCGAUCAAGAAAAAAAUCACAAAAAUUCAAAAAAUCCAUUUUUUUUCUGGUGCUAGAUAAUUUGGUGUGUGAUGUGGGUUCCAAAUUUUAGAUCAUUUGGACAUACGACUAGCUCUCAGAAAAAAGACAAAUUGGGAUCAGAAUAGUAUAUUUACUUACAAACACCAAUUUAUCUUUUUGCUGAGAGCUGCUCAGAUGUUCAAACGAUCUGAAAUUUGGGGCGCACCUCACACACAAAAUUAUCUACCACCAAAAAAAUUGGAAAUUUUUGAAUUUUUCUAGUUUUUGUUUUGAAUUUUUUGUUCAACGCAGGUGCAGAUGAGCCUGGGCAUCAAAUCGCUACACUCGAUUUUCUUGGGCUAUCGACUGUCUGCCUACUCUCUCCUCCAUCUAGAUAAGUUUCCUACGUGUAUACCUUAUAGACGGCUGACAAAGCGUUGUUGUACAUGCCCUAAAAGAAACUAACUGUCAGAUUUCGGGUUCCGCAAACCCUUGAGAGGUUCAAACUCUAGGGUGCCUGCGAAGAUCUCACUCUCCCCAGUCUGUCGACUCGCCAAUCUCACAGCCUAGCGCGUCGAGCUCAAAGGAAAUGGGACACGGCAAUUUACCCAGGUUCAGGCCACCUUGCGGUGUAAAAUCCUACUCCUGCUUUGUGGUGGAUUUGCCUCGAGGGGCUGAGGGUGAACUAGUACAGUGGAGAACAACCUCAGGAGGUGUGUUCUUGGGCUCAAGUGAGCUGGUGAGGGUGGAGUGGAUGUCGUUUCAUCUCCCUCCUUUGGUGGUGGCUAGGUCCUAUUUAUAGUGGCCUUGGUCCUCUUCCCGAAUGGAGGCAGAAAGGGAUCCCACAACGGCCAAUUUUGAAGGGAGGCAACAAGUACAUCUUAUCCUAACUAAAGAGGUCUUCACCUACAAAAGCCUCUGGUAGUGACGCUGCGGUGGGCUCGGCGAUGACCUCCAUCUUGCCGUCCUGGCGGUCUUGGUCUUGUUGCACGGGAAUGGAAACCUUUGGAUGCUUCCUCGGGACUCCGUGCCUGCUGCUUGCCUCCUUUGCACCAAAGAGAAAACUAGUACACUACACCCGCUGGCGCCCGCCGGCCUUAAUCGUCAUGGCUCACGUCACCCGAACCUCGCGAGGCGAGCCUUGCAUAGAAAUAUCCGCUCCUUGGGAGCCGGCCUGAGGAGGCUGAUCCCCUUGGAGGUCUUGGUGUCGUCCGCCUCACGAGGCUUGGCCCCUCGCGAGGGUCUUGGGUUGUCGAUGUCAAAACUGGGUCGUACCAGGCCGUCGGUGGAGCCACGUCGCGGGCCGCAGGCAGGCAAGUCUGGGUACCCCCGUAUCCAAAACGCAGACAGUAGCCCCCGGGCCCAAGGCGUGCUCGGACUUGGCUUCUAGGCGAAGCCAAAGGGCAAGUGCGGAGCGCUGUGGUCCCUAACCGCCUGCGGCCUUGGUCGAUGCAUGGCGAUUGAUGGGACGUGGGCAUCUCCGCUUCCCCAUGCUGCCUCAGCAACUGCCCGACUUGACGAGUCGUUGCUGCAUGCAGAGAAAACCAUCAUUGUGCGGGAUCGUGGAGGCCAGCGGUUGGCCUUCCUCUGGCUAUAAAUGAGGGGGGAGGGGCGGAGCCCCCCCUCGUUCAUCUCCAUCUCCGUCUUCUCACUGCCCGUUCCUUCUUCUUCUUCACCUCGUCGUAGCAUUCAUGGUGCCAGUCAGGAGAUUCUCUGCGGCGGAGAAGGGAAAAGCCCCUCAGGAGGAGCCAGAACCGCUUCCGCCGAAGAAAAGGUUUUGUCGUCCUUGCGAUGCCCGCGCGGGGCAGGAGGUGACCCGGCCUUGGCACGAACGGCCUCCGCCCGUCUUCCUUCUUCCCUUAUACGCCCGUGCGCAGGACAGCAAUGCCCACCGCUGAGCGAUUCGGGGCCAUGAACCCACGCUGAGGGCAGCUCGCGUGAGUUCGUGGUGUGGACGGUGGUGCCGCCUCGCUCGCGGAUCCGAUUCCCGAGGUUCUUCGCCGACGAGAUGCCGCCGAGGGGCCACUCGAGUUGUGGCUGCAGCACGCCGGGUGCUGCAGCCUGGCCACCGGAGUUAAGGUCGAGGUAGUGCCUCCUAGUGAUAUCUUCAUGACCCGUGGAUGGGGCGAGGUCGCCCUCACCUGUCGCUUUGAAGGGGCUCUCGCCAUCCACUUCGAGUAUGACGGCGCCUCCAUGUUGCUCUUCAAGGUCUUCGACGAGGAGCUGAGCAAGGUCAUGCACUCCUUGCUCGGGAAGGACCAGGGCGGCCCCCCGGACGACCACCUCCCGAUGUACUUCCGAGAUGGCAGGAAGGAGAUAGCCACUGCCAUGCUUGUCUUCAACGAGCGCGGGCUUGUGUCGCUGGAGCCUUCCCAUCCGGCAGGCUCCCUGGUGGACGUGUCCUCUGGCGACCACUCCUCCGAAGCCACCUUGGAGGGGGAGGGGGAGACCUCCCCACCACGGCAAAGCGACCUCCUCCGUGCCUUCUCUGAUGAUGAUGACGCUGGUGCGCACCCGGUCAGGGAGUCAGCACGCUCUGCCGGGGUCACCACGAGAUCUGGGGGGACCCCUCCAAAGAAGCCGAAGCGAGGGGUACCGAAGAGGGACAGGUUAACGCUGCUUCCCCUAAGCAGCGCUCCUGCUUCGCCGCCAUCAUCUAGCGUGGGGCCGGCCAUGCACUCGUCCGCUCCUGAGAGCGCAGCGCUGCCCGCGCCCGGGAAGUUCGCGCUUGUGGGCGUGAAGAGGAACUACGUCGCCAUGGAUCAGUAAGUGCACCUCCUCGCCCUUUCUUUGGAUUUCGAUGUAGUGCUUGUUGGGGAACGUAGCAUGCAAUUUCAGAAAAAUUCCUACGAUCACACAAGAUCUAUCUAGGAGAUGCAUAGCAACGAGAGGGGGAGAGUGUGUCCACGUACCCUCGUAGACCGAAAGCGGAAGCGUUAGUUAACUCGGUUGAUGUAGUCGAACGUCUUCACGAUCCAACCGAUCCAAUUACCGAACGUACGACACCUCCGUGUUCAGCACACGUUCAGCUCGAUGACGUCCCUUGAACUCUUGAUCCAGUAGAGGGUCAAGGGAGAGUUCCGUUAGCACGACGGCGUGGUGACGGUGUUGAUGAUGUGGUCCGCGCAGGGCUUUGCCUAAGCACUACGACGCUAUGACCGGAGGAGUAAAUUAUGGAGGGGGGCACCAAACAUGGCUAAGAGAAUUCUUGGUGUGCCUUUGGGGUGCCUGAUAACCCACAAGUGUAGGGGAUCGCAACAGUUUUCGAGGGUAGAGUAUUCAACCCAAAUUUAUUGAUUCCACACAAGGGGAGCCAAAGAAUAUUCUCAAGUAUUAGCAGUUGAGUUGUCAAUUCAACCACACCUGAAAGACUUAAUAUAUGUAGCAAAGUAUUUAGUAGCAAAGUAAUACGGAAAUAACGGUAACAGUGGCAAAAGUAAGAGUAGCAGUUUUAUAGUAAUCGUAAUAGUGGCAACGGAGAAGUAACUAAACAAAGAUCAAUAUGUGAAAAGCUCGUAGGCAAUGGAUCAGUGAUGGAUAAUUAUGCCGGAUGCGAUUCCUCAUGCAACAGUUAUAACAUAGGGUGACACAGAACUAGCUCCAGUUCCUCAAUGUAAUAUAUGCAUGUAUUCCGAAUAUAGUCACACGUGCUUAUGGAAAAGAACUUGCAUGACAUCUUUUGUCCUACCCUCCCAUGGCAGCGGGGUCCUAUUGGAAACUAAGGGAUAUUAAGGCCUCCUUUUAAUAGAGUGCCGGACCAAAGCAUUAACACUUAGUGAAUACAUGAACUCCUCAAAGUACGGUCAUCAUCAGGAGUGGUCCCAAUUAUUGUCACUUCGGGGUUGCCGGAUCAUAACACAUAGUAGGUGACUAUUGACUUGCAAGAUAGGAUCAAGAACUCACAUAUAUUGAUGAAAACAUAAUAGGUUCAGAUCUGAAAUCAUGGCACUCGGGCCCUAGUGACAAGCAUUAAGCAUAGCAAAGUCAUAGCAACAUCAAUCUUAGAACAUAAUGGAUACUAGGGAUCAAACCCUAACAAAACUAACUCGGUUACAUGGUAAAUCUCAUCCAACCCAUCACCGUCUAGCAAGCCUAUGAUGGGAUUACUCACGCACGGUGGUGAGCAUCAUGAUAUUGGUGAUGGAGGAUGGUUGAUGAUGACAAUCGUGUUGGAUUCCCCUCUCCGGAGCCCCGAACGGACUCCAGAUCUGCCCUCCCGAGGAAGAUUAGGGCUUGGCGGCGGCUCCAUAUCAUAAAACGCGAUGAAUCCUUCUCCCCGAUUUUUUCUCCUGGUGAAUAUAUGGAGUUGGGGUUGAGGUCGGUGGAGUCCUAGGGGGCCCACGAGGCAGGGGGCGCGCCCUGCACCCUCAUGGCAAGGGUGCGGGCCCCCUGAUGCUGAUUCCUUCACCAAUAUUUUUUAUUAAUUCCAAAACGUGUCUCCGUGGAUUUUUUGGUCAUUCCGAGAACUUUUAUUUCUGCACAAAAAUAACACCAUGGCAACUCUGCUAAAAACAGCGUCCGUCUGGGUUAGUUCCAUUCAAAUCAUGCAAGUUAGAGUCACCAUGAACAUGAAUAUCGUGGAGGCUAUGUUGCUUUUGUUUCAACUACAUGUUUGAACAUGUGCCAAGUCAAGCCACUCGAAUCAUUCAAAGGAGAAUACCACCCUAUCAUACCACAUCACAAUCAUUUUAAUAGCAUGUUGGCACGCAAGGUAAACCAUUAUAAACUCCUAGCUAAUUAAGCAUGGCAUGAGCAACUAUAAUCUCUAAUUGUCAUUGCAAACAUGUUUCAUUCAUAAUAGGCUGAAUUAGGAACAAUGAACUAAUCAUAUUUACAAAAACAAGAUAGGUCGAGUUCAUACCAGCUUCUCUCAUCUCAAUCAGUCCGUCAUAUAUCGUCAUUAUUACCUUUUCACUUGCACGACCGAACGGUGUGGAUAAUAAUAAUAGGGCACGUGCAUUGGACUAAGCUGGAAUCCGUGAGCAUUUAAUUCAAAGGAGAAGACAAGGUAAUAUGGGCCCCUGGUUAGAUCAAAAAUAAUGCAUAUGAGAGCCACUCAACAUUUUCAUCGUGGUCUUCUCCUCUCGACCCCCAAAGUAAAGAAAAGAAACAAAACUAUUUACACAGGAAAGCUCCCAACAAGCAAAGAAGAACGAGAAAUCUUUUUGGGUUUUCUUUUAAUUACUACUACUACAGGCAUGGAAAGUAAACUAGCUAAAAGAUACAACUAAUUAUUUUUUUUGGUUUUUCUUAAGGUUUUUCAAACACACAAGAAGAAAGCAAGAAAAGAAAAUAAACUAGCAUGGAUAGUACAAUGAAAAAGUAUGAGCACCGACAACUAGCAUGAGUGUGUGAACAUGAAUGUAAUGUUGAUGAGAAAUACGUACUCCCGCAAGCUUAGGAUUUUGGCCUAAGUUGGUCUAUGGCCACUGGUCGAAGCUACUCUCUCUGAUGUGCUGGGGAGGGUCCUCAGGGUGCCACUGGUUAGCGAUCUCCUCCGGAUCCCACUGAUAAACAGACUGUCGAUAUGGGUCAAGUGGUGGCUCAGGCUCACGCUCUGGGACUUGUGUCAGCCUCCAGUAUGCAUAAAUGGCCUCGGGCAAGAUGAGGUACGUGCCUGAAAGUAUGUUAAACAAAGAGGGUGCAGGCAAGGUAAUAGUUUCAUAGUGAGUUUUAUCAAAUAUCAAAUUAUACUUAAGCAUCUUCUUCUUAUUUUUAACAAUAAGUUCAUGUGCUACCAUACUCUUAUAAUCUAGAAAAAUAGUGGGAAGCAACUUUUCCUCUUUCUCAUGAUGCCUAAUAGGUAUCUCAAAAUGUUUAGCAAGGCGUGAGGUAAAGAUGCCUCUGAAGAUGGGGCCCUUUGUACGGUUCAGACUUAACCAUUUAGCAACAAUAGUGCCUAAACUGAAUGUUGUAUCACGAAACAAAGCAUGGCGCAAAAUAACAAUAUCAGGAGCACUAAAAUUUCCACUGUUCCCGCGACCAAUUAAGCAUCUACUAACAAAUAUCGCAAAGUAAAGUAGAACAAGAAAAUGUAUACUAGUAAUUCUUGCAUCGGAAACUUUCCUUGUUUCCCCUACAGCAAUUCUAUCAAUAAACUCAUCCACAUCACUAUGAUGUGGUUCCUCAAUGCUGCCCACAAAGGGUAUCUUGCAGACCCGACAAAAAUCAUGGAGUGACAUCUCCUUAACCUCAUCAUAUAAGUGAAACUCCACUGAAGGUGGUGAUUUCUUAGCAUGGAAACAAAUUUUGCACAAAAAUAUUAGUGAGUAGGAGAUAUAGUUCGCGCUGGUCAUGGAGGAAGUCGGUGAGGCCUGCAUUCUCAGCCAAGUAAUAAAAGUCAUCGUAAAUUCCGGUGGCCCUCAAGAACGUAUCACAAGGCCAUUCACUCGGCCGGACCUCCGCGGUGCGAGGAAGAUUGUAUUAGGGCUUUUUAUUCUCCUCAUUCUGCUUAUCCUUCGAGCUUCGGCUCGAGGAGCCCCUCAACAAUCUCUUCAUCAUUUUCUUUCUCUUAAAAAUUUCUGAAAUUUUUAGUGACUCAAAAUAAAAGUGAACCAAACUCAACAAGAUUGAUAGCAACUACUCCCACAAGUGCCCAGAGUUUGUAUCAUGCAUUAAAACUACUUUGGACCAUAUAAAUUUGGCAUGCAAGCUCAAGAACAGGGUCACCUUAGCAGCAACAAUUUGCAAUAAAUAAAGCACUAGAACAAAAACUAAUUGGACCAUUAGAGGAGUCACAUACCGAAGAACAAUCCCCCAAAGCAGUUUUGUGAAUGGAGCUUUGAGCAAGGAGAUAAAAAAUGGCAGCAAAACGAGCUAGAACAUGGGUUUGAGCUAUGGGAGGAUUUUUUUUGGAAGAAGACGAAGUGUGUGGGUGCUGGAAUAAGUGGGGGUCCAUGUGGGGCCCACGAGGUAGGGGGCGCCCCAGGGGCGCGCCCUGUGCCCUCGUGGCCAAAUGGUGGGUCCCCCUGGUGUGUUCUAAGUGCCAGAAAUUCUUAAAUAUUCUACAAAAAAUCAUACUUCAUUUUCAGGGCAUUUGGAGAACUUUUAUUUUCGGGGUAUUUUUUAUUGCAUGGAUAACUCAGAAAACAGAUAGAAAAUACCAAUUUUGCUUUAUUUAAUCUAAAUAACAGAAAGUAAAAGGAGGGUACAGAGGGUUGCGCUUUCUAGCUUCAUCCAUAUCAUGCUUAUCAAAAUGAAUCCACUAACAAGGUUGAUCAAAUCUUGUUAACUUCUUCCGAAUAACAUAAAAUCAGAGAAUAUUUGAAUAACACCUGGUUACCUCAACGGGGAUUUGCAUGUCCCCAACAAUAAGAAUAUCAUAUUUCCUUUUGACAGUAGGAAGAGGGAAUUCAAAACCUCCAAUAGUAAUCAUUGAAAUUGUUCCAAUAGAAUUGAUAAGAUGAACUUGAGGUUGUUUCCUCGGAAAGUGUAUUGUAUGCUCAUUACCAUUAACAUGAAAAGUGACAUUGCUUUUGUUGCAAUCAAUAACAGCCCCUGCAGUAUUCAAAAAGGGUCUACCAAGGAUGAUCGACAUACUAUUGUCCUUGGGAAUAUCAAAAGUCCGUUAAGAUAGUAACGUUUACAACCACAACAAGCACAUCCGGUAUAGCUGUUGAUUUAUCGGACAUUUGCAAAGAGAUUUCAGUAGGUGUCAACUUAUUAAAAUCAAGUCUAGGAUAUAAAGAGAGAGGCAUAACACUAACACCAGCUCCAAGAUCACAUAAAGCAGUUUUAACAUAGUUUCUUUAAUGGAGCAUGGUAUAGUUGGUACUCCUGGAUCUCCUAUUUCUUUGGUAUUCCACCUUUAAAAGUAUAAUUAGCAAGCAUGGUGGAAAUUUCAGCUUCCGGUAUCUUUCUUUUAUUUGUAACAAUAGCAUAAGGAUUCAUUUUAAGCAUAUCAAUCAAACGCAUAUGCAAAAAGAUAGGUCUAAUCAUUUCAGGAAAGCGCUCAAAAUCCUCAUCAUCCUUUUUCUUGGAUGGCUUAGGAGGAAAAGGCAUGGGUUUCUGAACCCAUGGUUCUUUUUCUUUACCAUGCUUCCUAGCAAUGAAGUCCCUCUUAUCAUAACCUUGAUUCUUUGAUUGUAGGUUAUCAAGAUCAACAGCAAGUUCAAUUUCUACAUCAUUUUUAUUACUGGGUUGAGCAUCAACAUGAACAUCAUUAUUAACAUUAUCACUAGAUUCAUGUUCAUUACCAGAUUGUGUUUCAGCAUUAGAAAUAGAAAUAUCAUUGGGAUUCUCAGGUGUGUAUAUAGCAGGUUCACUAGAAGCAUGCAAAGUCCUAUCAUUUUUCUUUUUCUCCUUCUUAGAAGGACUAGGUGCUUGAACAUUAGUUCUCUGAGAAUCUUACUCAACUCUCGUAGGAUGGCCCUCAGGAUACAAAGAUUCCUGAGUCACUCUACCACCUCUAGUCAUAACUCUAACAACAUUAUCAUUUUUCUUAUUAUUUAACUCACUGAGCAAAUCAUCUUGUGCCUUAAGUACUUGUUCUACUUGAGUGGUAACCAUAGAUGCAUGUUUACUGAUAAGCUUAAGGUCACCUUUAACUCUAGACAUAUAAUCACUCAAGUGUUCAAUCAUAUAAGCAUUACGUUUCAAUUGUCUUCCAACAUAAGCAUUGAAGUUUUCUUGUUUAACAAUAAAGUUAUAAAACUCAUCCAAGCAUUGACUAGCAGACUUAUAACGAGGAAUAUCACCUUCAUCAAAAUCUAUAGAGAGAAUUUACCUUUACUACCUGUGUCGGGUUAUCAAGACCAUGUAUUUGUUCAAUAGGUGGUAAAUUCUUAACAUCUUCAGCUUUAAUACCUUUUUCUUUCAUAGAUUUCUUUGCUUCUUGCAUAUCUUCAGGACUGAGAAAUAAAAUACCCCUUUUCUUUGGAGUUAGUUCAGGAAGUGUCCAAUCAUUAUCAUUGCUCAAUAUAUUAUUCAAUAGCAAUUCAGCUUGCUCAACAGUUCUUUCUCUGAAAACACAACCAGCACAACUAUCCAGGUGGUCUCUGGAAGCAUCGGUUAGUCCAUUGUAAAAGAUAUCAAGUAUUUCAUUUUUCUUGAGAGGAUGAUCAGGCAAAGCAUUAAGUAACUGGAGAAGCCUCCCCCAAGCUUGUGGGAGACUCUCUUCUUCAAUUUGCACAAAAUUAUAUAUUUCCCUUAAGGCAUCUUGUUUCUUAUGAGCGCUGAAAUAGUUAGUAGAGAAGUAAUAAAUCAUAUCCUGGGGACUACACACACAACCAGGAGCAAGAGAAUUAAACCAUAUUUUAGCUUCACCCUUUAAUGAGAACAGAAAUAACUUAAGGAUAUAAUAAUAACGAAUUUUUUCCUCAUGAGUGAAUAGGGUGGCUAUAUCAUUCAAUUUAGUGAGAUGUGCCACAAUAGUUUCAGAUUCAUAGCCAUAAAAAGGAUCGGAUUCAAAUAAAGUAAUUAACUCAGGAUCGAUAGACAAAUCAUAAUCCUUAUCAGAAAUACAGAUAGGUGAAGUAGAAAAAGCAGGGUCAUAUUUCAUUCUAGCAUUCAAAGACUUUUCUUUCAGCUUAGAUAACAGUUUCUUAAGAUCAUAUCUAUCUUUGCAAGCAAAAAGGUCUCUAGCAGUUUCUUCAUCCAUAACAUAACCCUCAGGCACAUCAGGCAAUUCAUAUCUAGGGGGAGAAUCUUCAUCAUCACUUUCAUCGAUAUUAUCAGUUUCAAUAAUUUAAUUCUCUCUAACCCUAGCAAGUUGUUCAUCAUGAAAUUCACCUAAUGGCACAGUAUUAUCAAGCAUAGAAGUAGUGUCAUCAUAAGCAUCAUGCAUAGCAGAAGUGGCAUCAUCAAUAACAUGUGACAUAUAAGAAUCAAUAGCAGGUGUAGGUGUUGCAAGCUUACUCAAACCAGAAGGUGAAUCAAGUGUAGAGCUAGAUGGUAGUUCCUUACCUCCCAUCGUAGUUGAGGGAAAAAUCUUGGUUCUUUCAUCUUUCAAGUUCCUCAUAGUGAUCAGUAGAUAUAAAUCCCAAGUGACUCAAAGAAUAGAGCUAUGCUCCCUGGCAACAGCGCCAGAAAAUAGUCUUCGUAACCCACAAGUAUAGGCGAUCGCAACAGUUUUCGAGGGUAGAGUAUUCAACCCAAAUUUAUUGAUUCUACACAAGGGGAGCCAAAGAAUAUUCUCAAGUAUUAGCAGUUGAGUUGUCAAUUCAACCACAACUGAAAGACUUAAUAUCUGCAGCAAAGUAUUUAGUAGCAGAGUGAUAUGGAAAUAACGGCAAUGGUGGCAAAAGUAAUAGUAGCAGUUUUGUAGUAAUCAUAACAGUGGCAAUGGAGAAGUAACUAAACAAAGAUCAAUAUGUGAAAAGCUCGUAGGCAAUGGAAUAGUGAUGGAUAAUUAUGUCGGAUGCGAUUCCUCAUGUAAUAGUUAUAACAUAGGGUCAGAACUAGCUCCAGUUCCUCAAUGUAAUGUAGGCAUGUAUUCCGAAUAUAGUCAUACGUGCUUAUGGAAAAGAACUUGCAUGAAAUCUUUUGUCCUACCCUUCCGUGGCAGCGGGGUCCUAUUGGAAACUAAGGGAUAUUAAGGCCUCCUUUUAAUAGGGUACCGGAGCAAAGCAUUAACACUUAGUGAAUACAUGAACUCCUCAAACUACGAUCAUCACCGGGAGUGGUCCCGAUUAUUGUCACUUCGGGGUUGUCGGAUCAUAACACAUAUUAGGUGACUAUUGACUUGAAAGAUAGGAUCAAGAACUCACAUAUAUUCAUGAAAACAUAAUAGGUUCAGAUCUGAAAUCAUGGCACUCGGGCCCUAGUGACAAGCAUUAAACAUAGCAAAGUCAUAGCAACAUCAAUCUUAGAACAUAAUGGAUACUAGGGAUCAAACCCUAACAAAACUAACUUGAUUACAUGGUAAAUAUCAUCGAACCCAUCACCGUCCAACAAGCCUACGAUGGGAUUACUCACGCACGGCGGUGAGCACCAUAAAAUUGGUGAUGGAGGAUGGUUGAUGAUGACGAUGGCGACGGAUUCCCCUCUCCAGUGCCCCGAAUGGACUCCAGAUCAGCCCUCCCGAGGAAGAUUAGGGCUUGGCGGCGGCUCCGUAUUGUAAAACACGAUGAAUCCUUCUCCUCGAUUUUUUUCUCUCCCCGAAAGUGAAUAUAUGGAGUUGGGAUUGAGGUCACUGGAGUCCCAGGGGGCCCACGAGGCAGUGGCGCGCCCCAGGGGGGAGGGGGCGCGCCCUGCACCCUCGUGGCCAGGGUGCGGCCCACCCUGAUGCUGAUUCUUUCGCCAAUAUUUUUUAUUAAUUCCAAAACGUGUCUCCGUGGAUUUUUCAGGUCAUUCCGAGAACUUUUAUUUCUGCACAAAAAUAACACCAUGGCAAUUCUCGUGAAAAUAGCGUUAGUCCGGGUUAGUUCCAUUCAAAUCAUGCAAGUUAGAGUCCAAAACAAGGGCAAAAGUGUUUGGAAAAGUAGAUACGUUGGAGACGUAUCAGUGCCCCCUGCCCACGUAUAUAAAGGAGGAGAGGAAGGAGGCUGGCAGCCUAGAGGGGCGUGCCAAGGGGGAAUCAAACUAGGAUUCCCUAUCCUAGUUGGUCUCCCUUUCCUGGCUAUUCCAAGAAGGGGAAAGAGGGAAGGAGAGGGAGAGGGAGAGGGAAAGAGGGGGCCGCGCCCCCUCCCCCUUGUCCAAUUCGGCCCCCCUUGGGGGGGUGGCGCGCCACCCUGCGGGCUGCCCUCUCCUACUCCCUUAUGGCCCAUUAAGGCCCAUAACUUCCACGGGGGGGGGGGGGUCCGGUAACCCCUCGGUUCCCCGAUAAAUAUCCAAAAUGUCUCGAAACCAUUUCGGUAUCCGAAUACCUUCAUCCAAUAUAUCAAUCUUUACCUCUCGACCAUUUCGAGACUCCUCGUCAUGUCCGCGAUCUCAUCCAGGACUCCGAACAAAAUUUGGUCAUCCAAAACACAUAACUCAUAAUACAAAUUGUCAUCGAACGUUAAGCAUGCGGACCCUACGGGUUCGAGAACUAUGUAGACAUGACCGAGACACAUCUCCGGUCAAUAACCAAUAGCGAAACCUGGAUGCUCAUAUAUGCUCCUACAUAUUCUACGAAGGUCUUUAUCAGUCAAAGCGCACAAGAACAUAUGUUGUUCCCUUUAUCAUCGGUAUGUUACUUGCCCGAGAUUCGAUCGUCGAUAUCAUCAUACCUAUUUCAAUCUCGUUACCGGCAAGUCUCUUUACUCAUUCCGUAAUGCUUCAUCCCAUAACUAACUCAUUAGUCACAUUUCUUGCAAGGCUUAUAGUGAUGAGCAUUACCGAGAGGGCCCAGAGAUACCUCUCCGAUACACGGAGUGACAAAUCCUAAUCUCGAUCUAUGCCAACCCAACAAACACCUUCAGAGACACCUGUAGAGCAUCUUUAUAAUCACCUAGUUAUGUAGUGACAUUUGAUAGCACACAAGGUGUUCCUACGGUAUUCAGGAGUUGCAUAAUCUCAUAGUCAGAGGAACAUGUAUAAGUCAUGAAGAAAGCAAUAGCAAUAAAACUUAACAAUCAUAAUGCUAAGCUAACGGUGGGGUCUUGUCCAUCACAUCAUUCUCUAAUGAUGUGAUCCCAUUCAAAUGACAACACAUGUCUAUGGUCAGGAAACAUAACCAUCUUUGAUUAACGAGCUAGUCAAGUAGAGGCAUACUAGGGACACUUUGUUUUGUCUAUGUAUUCACACAUGUACUAAGUUUCCGGUUAAUACAAUUCUAGCAUGAAUAAUAAACAUUUAUCAUGAUAUAAGGAAAUAUGAAUAACAACUUUAUUAUUGCCUCUAGGCCAUAUUUCCUUCAGUGCUCAAUAUCUUCAUUUGAUGUCAGGCCGUCGCCGGCGGUGAACAGGAAGAAGGGGGACGCUUGAGCCGCCGAGGCCAAGCGUGCCAUUACGGUUGCCGCGGCUCCGGCUCAGAGGGACGUAGCAGCUCCUGACGCUCCUGCAGCGACGCUGCCCUCCCGAAGCUUCGGAACCCAGCCUCAGGAGGAGAUGACUCCCGCGGUCGAGCUGACCCUGGAGGCGCUUGUCCCUGACUCACUUGCCAGGGGACCAAAAUCUCCGGAGCCCCCGGUCCUAUCUAUUGUUGCUGCUCCACUAGUCUUGGUGCCGACAAUGCCUCCUCUUCCAUCCACCACGCCGUCAGGCCGUGGUGCUUCUGCCGCGUCUAGAGCUCUGGAGGAGGCCCGCUCCAUGGUGGACCAGCUCUGGGAUGGUCUUCAGGGUCCAGACCGGCGCCGGGCGUUAGGGCUGCUAGAGCUGGUCUCGGGGUGCUCCAAGCCGAUGCGUUUGUCAGGACGACCUGGGGCCAAGACGUGGCAUCCGCGGAGGAGGUCUAGAGGGUGGAUGGCUUAGCCGCAGCCGCCCGUGACGUGGCACUGAAGGAAGCCAAGGACGCGCAGGAGUGCUACCGCGUGGUGGAGGCCGAACUGAAGACCCUUCAAGAUUAGUAGGACACCCAGACCCAUCAGCUCAAAGUGCAGGAGGAGGAGCUAAAGGCCCAGGAGGCUGCAGUUGCCGAUCGCGAUGCCGAGCUGGCGCAGGCAGCCCAAGAACAAGCCACAGAGCGCGGCCGCCUGGACAAGUUGAAGGCGGAGGUGGAGGCGGCCCAGGCGGCCCACACCAAGCUUGUUUCUGACGAGAAGUCUCGGCUGGACGCCAGGGAGAAGCUCCUCGCAAAGACCGAGGAGGCAGGCACCAUGAAGCGUGACGCUUUCAUCGCUCUUGAGGCGAGGUCCCGCAAGGUGCUGCAGGAUCUCUUCGGGGGCGAGCGCCAGGAGCCAGCGGUGACUCCGGAGCAGGGCCCCGACGUACUGCUCCCCGAGCUUAUCACUGCGCUCGAGAGCAUCGUCGUCGGGUUCGGCCCCAUGGUGGAAGGGGAGGCAUGCACGCUUUCUUCCUCGGCCAUGACACGCGUCUUCAGCCAUCUCUAUCUUUGGGACACCAACUUCGACUUCGGCGCCUUGCUCGAGCCCGUGGACUCUGAGUCCUGCGCCGCCGCUGCUGAAGCCGUGAAAGGUCAGGUGGAGGCCGUGCUAAAGAAGUUCCUCAUUGUCGGCCCCAUGGCUGGGGCUGAAAGCAAGGAUGACGGCAACAUCAUUAAUGACGGGGCUCCCAAGGCGGGCGACGGCGACGUCCAAGGCCGAAUAAGAGGCUUGAUGGCAGCACUUCUCCCUGUUUCUGUACUGCAACAUGUAUCAUGCCUUGCGGAGGCGUAAGAACUUAUGCUUGGUACUUUUUAAGAGACAAUGUGUUUUUGUAAUGAUUUGCUAAGGUUUCGCGAUCCCUUUUCCAUUCGCUUUAGCAUCUGCAUCAGCAGGGCCCGACCCCGCGCAUACCUCAGUCGUCGUUGGGUCGUCCGGAUUGCCAGGGCGAGGCCAAGGGGUGAGGGGCUACGUGGUUAGUUAGGCUCCUGAGACGCGAUGCUCAGGAGUCCCCCUUUACGUAUGAACAGCUUUUGGAGAGGAGAUGCGAGAGUAGGUCUUAGCGUUCUGCGUCGGCAGGGCCCGAUCCCGCGCAUACCUCAGCCGCCGUUGAGUUGUCCGGAGCACCAAGACGAGGACAAGGGGUGAGGGGCUACGUGGCCAGUUAGGCUCCUGAGACGCGAUGCUCAGGAGGCCCCCUUGACGUACGAACCGACCAUCGUACCUUUCCUUGUCGGGCUCUAGCUCGGGAGGGGUGUGCGAAGACCAGGUCUGUGGGACCUAGCAGGGUGGCGUACACCAGGCGUGACAUGAGCGUAGCCCCCAUGCCCAACCCCCUCGCGCUACUCUCCCGAGCGAAAGCAGCGCGGUGAGGCUAGGCAUUGAGCACGGAGGCUCCCUGAGGUUGCUGCAGGGCGGUGAGGCCGCCCUUAGUUGUUUAUCACACUGGUACUUCCGCUCUUGCACGGGCAUAGCCGCUCCUCGGCAGUGUCGACUGCUAGCGCGGAGCAUGGUGCUUCCACUGGUAUGUGGGGGGGGCUCCCUCUAAGGGGAGCCCCCAGGGCGUGUGCAGCCCCGCCCUGACACAUGGCUUGCAUGGCAGGGCUGGAGGAGGUGUGUCUGGGCACUCGUGAGCCAGAGCGGGACUCAUGAGGCCCUACCUCAAGGUGGGUUGCGCCUGAACUUGAUUGGGAACACUGGUGAUAGUCCUGCAAGAUGGUCAGGCAACCUGCACCGAGUGAAUCUCCUGAGGUUAUCGCAUGAGAAGGCCAGACACCAAUGCCCCAGGAGGUGACGUGAACAGGACUGGCCCGCCAGAUAGAGCUCAACCGUUGGGUUUAUCGACGCUGCAGGGACGGACCCGAGCACAGACGCCGUGCCCAGUCUUCUCAUGCGACGGUCCUGAAGAAAGACAGUCAGUGCGCGGCUCCCAUGGUGAUGAGGCACCGGGUCGCGCGCCCUCACUUGUUCGUCUGCAAUUAGAUCAUGCAAGAAUAAGGCACCAAGGGCCACGGGAGGUGACGUGCACGGGAGCUACCCCGCGAGCCAGAGCUCACCCUCUUGGGUUUAGCGAUGCUGCAGGGACGAACCCGAGCAUAGACGUCGUGCCAGUCCUUAAUCAUGAGGCGGUCGCGGGUGGGCUUGCAAGGGCGCGGGACAUUCAUGGUGACGAAGCGCCGGUCAGGCAAUGAUAACCAUAAGGCAACUCGUGGAAGACGGUUAGCCAGCUCUGAUAAAUGCAAGAAGGAUACAUGCCACAGGGACGGACCCGCAUGGCUUGGGGAUAUUGUAGCCCGAGGGGUGCCCCAAACUGAAUGAACUAAAAGAUGUCACCUGGCACCGUUGCUGAAGAGGUGUCGGAGUAGCAGAAGGUGUGCACUGCAGAAGUCGCUCCUCAUGAGUCGCCCUAGCCCUAAACCUCGGGAGGCUUGGGAGGCCCGGGGGGCUCAUGAGGAUCCGUUGCCAUCUCCGCCUGGAUCGCCUGACGCUUGGCCUCUUGAUUCGCUAGGACGCCCCGCAUGUGGAGCUGGCAUGCAGCAGCUGUGUUCAGCAAACCGAAGGGCAUGCAGAUGUAGCUAUGAGGGGGCCUCGCAUCGGCCAACACGGGACAGCCAGAAGAGCUCCUGAGACGCGGCCCUGUUGAGCCCUAGGAUGUCAACGCAGACGCACAGCUUCUCGUCCUCGCCUAGGCGAGAAGCCGCGCCUGGCGGUGGGCGGCGAUCGCCCCUCAUGACCCUUGCCUCCUGAAUCUCUUUGGCUGCCUUGUCGAAGAACUCCUGAGCGCCAGGCGCCUUGCGCCCAGCGCUCUCUCCAUGAAAGCGUGCACUGAAGCAUGCCUCCACAUGGUGCCCGAGUGCCUCCCUCAUGACGUUAGCCAGGUCAGAGGCCCUCCAGAGGAGAGGCCCCGAGCCCAGCCUGAGAGGGGCACCGGGCGCACCUUCCUAUGCGAGAGGGGAAGGCACCCCGUCCACAAACGCCAGGCUGGAGGCUACCCCGCCGGAUGCCCCAUCCUCCUGAGGUCCCUGGCGGAGCAGCUGCUUCUUCUUCUUGGGAACGACCUCAGGAGGGAGGAAGGCACCCUCGUCGUCAGGGUUCUCGACCGCUGCAUCCUGGUAGGCGCGCUCGAGGGAGCACACUGCGUCCUUUUCUUCGCAAGCGACUAUGGUGAUGCUGCAGUUCCCUGGCAUCUUGAGGAUAUUGUAGUCGUUGUGCGUUGCCACCAUGAACUUAGCAAGAGCUGGGUACCCGACGAUGGCAUUGUAUGGUAGGCGAAUGUAGGCGAUGUCGAAGUCGAUGAGCUCGGUGCGGUAAUUGUCGCGCUUGCCAAAGGUGAUGGGGAGGCGGACCUGCCCGAUCGGAUGCAUGGAGCCGUCGGUCACUCCUGAGAAGGGCUUGGGAGGCUGAAGCUGGUGAUACGACACUUGAAUCCUAUUGAACAUUUGGACAGAGAGAACAUUGAGCCCUGCACCGCCAUCAAUGAGCGUCUUGGUGACGAGCACAUUGCUGAUGAUGGGCGAGCAAAGCAUUGGGAGCGCGCCAGCUGUGGUCGUGCACUUGAGUUUGAGGAGUCGAAGGUGAUGACGUACUUGGAGCACCUGAGCGGGCGCGUCUCGAGCUUUGGAAGGGCUGCAUUCACCUCACGCGCGAACUGCUUGAAGAUGCGAUGAGAGGCUGGGGCCUGGGAGCCGCCCAGGAUGCAGGCGAUGGCACGAGGCUCUUGGAAGCCCCCAACCCCCUCGUCCUGAUGGUGGUCUUCGUUCCUUCUUGGCGGCGGCGGCGGCGGCGGAGGAAGACCAACGUUGCCCUGAGGCGGAUCCUCACGAAGCUGAUCCCUCCACGCACCCUCGCGAGGCUGGCUCUGCCGGCGGUCCUCCCGAGGCUGGUCGCGCCACUCCUGACGAUGGUCACGAUCGUCCCAGCGUCCUCCACCUUGGCCUCCUCCACGACCGUAGCCUCGAUCGUUGCGCUUGGGGCGACGACCGAGGCGCCCGUCGGGGAUUGCCCUGAGCUCCUGGCAGUCGUUGGUGUUGUGGUUGUGCACGUUGUGGAAGACGCAGAAUGGGCAGCUGCCCUUGGAUAACUCUGGGUGAUCACAGAUGCGCUGUAACGCCCCGGAUACAACUUUCCAUAUUCGUAACUCCAACUCUUGCCUUUUCCGGAGAUGCGAUAUGUUAUUUCCUUCGUGGUUGGGGUUUUGUCUUUUGUUUUGCAUUGUGUUCAUGUCAUGCAUGUCAUCUCAUCGCAUCAUUCGCAUUGCAUUCGCAUGUUUUCAUUAAACUUGCAUCCAUUUCUAGUUCCGGCUUCUCCUCGAUGCCUUUGUUGUUGCCUCUUUCGAGACCAACCGUUCUUUUGUUGUCCAACCGUUUGAGCCUCUCUGCACAUCCACCAACCACCUCCGCAACCUAGUCUGAAAACUUCUCCCGGACCCGACCCGGGUUGUCAUGACCAAUGGGUCCGGAUCAUCUCCUAACAUCUAUAAAACAUCUCCGUUUUUUUAAUUGGACUUCCUACACAUAUUUUUUCUCAACCGUCCGAUUACGAUCGUAGGGAUGCUCUAACCUAAAUUCAUCUGAUAUAAAUAUCGGGGCAACCCUAGAUCUAGCCGUCCCAUCCACCCAGUCUCAUCCGCGCUGCCACCGCUCUCUUUCUUCCCCUCGGGAUCCAUCCCCACCAACCGCAGCCUCCGACCAGAUCCCUGGUUUUCCGCGCAGCCGCCCGAGCACAUCUCGAUGGAUCGAGCGCUUCGCCUCGAAGCACAACAUCCCCUGCUCAUGCCCCGAGCCUCUCGUUGUCCAGGAGCACGAGCUCCAUCGCAGCGCUGCCGCCAGCCGGAGCAGCCGGUCAUCCCCGUCGUUGCCGAACCUCGCCGCUCCUCCCCUUUUCUUUGACUUCCUUCCUCUGGUUUUUCUCUGCUCUCAACACCUCGUCUCUCUCUUUCUCUGAUCACAGGAACAAACCGGCCCUGUAGCCGCUGACCUCGUCGGCAACAGCCGACGUCAUGGACGCCAACCGCAAAGCUGUCGCCCUCUUCGUCAGCCUGGAGCCCCGCUCGUCAUCGCCCGCUCGCGCCUGAACCAAGGACCCCGCCGCCCUCCAGCUUCCCCGUAGCCCCGCAGACGCCUCCUGCCCGAGUCGUCCCGUCCUCCACCACCACCCACGCGCUGCCGUCCAGGACCCCGGCAGGUCGCACCUCGCGCCGGUUGGAGCUCCGCAGGUCGGUGCCCCUUCCAAUCGGACCUCCUCCUCCAUUCCCUCCCUUUCCCUCCGGUCUCUAACCUCUCAUUCCCUCUCUCUGUUCUCCUUGUAGCGUUGUCGCCUCCUUCAUGUGCGUCAUGCGCGAAAACCGACAAGGCUCCAGCGCCAUGGCCUUCCCCACUUCUGCCCGAGCGCCUCCAGGACCUCGUCUGCCCCGCCGCGUCGCCGAAUCCGGCCACCAGGACCCUCCAGCGCCGCCACUUCUUUCCUCAUGCUGUCGCGCCCCUUCUUCCUCUGCUUCGAGGACGAGCCAGGCGACCGCGUUGACUUCUCGUCGCCAGCCAGAUCCACCAAGCCCAGCCGGCCUCUUCUGCUUCCAGCCGGGCCUCGGCCCAUGGUGAGCCUCCAGCCUAUCCCUCGCCCCAGCGCACAUGUUAGCUUGCGCCCACCAGAUUCGGCCCAACAUGUUUUUUUUUCAGAUCCGUGAAUUUAGACAUUAUCCAGAGAAUGCCGUUUUACAGAAAAACCCCCGUUCUUCAUGCAUUUAAUAACCCACAAACCGUGCAUCGGAUUAAAAUGUUUUAAACAUGUAAAAUGCUUAGAAUUUUGUGUAGAUUAAUAAUUUGCAACUUUCAUCCAUGUUUAAAAUGUUUAAAAUGAUGUUUGCAUUUAAUUUGCUAAUUGCCAUGUUAAAAUGAUUUAAUUCAUAACUAAAUAACCGUAGCUCGGUUUUAAAUGUUCUUUAUAUGUAAAUGGGGUGGGAAAAUGCCUAGAUUAACAUGGUGCACUUUGUUUUAUUGUUUAACAACUUUAAAAUAUGUUUUAGGGCAGAACAGUAGCUAAUUCAAAAUAUGCAUAUGGGGAUUUUCCGGAAUUGUUGUUUGUUGUUCCGGCCUCAUUUAAACUUGACUAAAUAGUUAGUUUACUUUUGAUUCACCCCUUGCCAUGUUUAACAACAUUUAGUAUUGAUGAGUAGCAUAACCGAGAGAGAACUAAAUAAUUGAUGUGGAGUUUUGUCAAUAUGCAACUCAUUGCAUAUUAAGCUCCACUUAAUUUGUAGUAUUGUUUGUUGCACUUUGCCAUGCCAUGCCUCAUUAAACUGUACAUGCAUCAUACUUGAUUGUGCAUCAUGUCAUGUUUAUGUGAUGGUUGUUUACUAUGUUGCUUGCUUCUUUCCGGUGUUGCUUUUUAGUUUCGGUAACGUUGCGUUCGUGAGGAUUCGUUCGACUACGUUGGUUCGUCUACUUCAUGGACUCGUUCUUCUUCCUAGCAGGAUUUCAGGCAAGAUGACCGCUACCCUGGAUCUCACUACUAUCAUUGCUAUGCUAGUUGCUUCGUUCUAUCGCUUUGCUGCGCUACCUAUCAAUUGCUCUUCAAGCCUCCCAAAUUGCCAUGUCAGCCUCUAACCUUUGACACCCUUCCUAGCAAACUGUUGUUUGGCUAUGUUACCGCUUUGCUCAGCCCCUCUUAUAGUGUUGCUAGUUGCAGGUGAAGUUGAAGAUUGCUCCAUUAUGGACAGGAUUAUGUUGGGAUAUCACAAUAUCUCUUAUUUUAUUAAUGCAUCUAUAUACUUGGUAAAGGGUGGAAGGCUCGGCCUUAUGCCUGGUGUUUUGUUCCACUCUUGCCGCCCUAGUUUCCGUCAUACCGGUGUUAUGUUCCCGGAUUUUGCGUUCCUUACGCGGUCGGGUGAUUUAUGGGACCCCCUCGACAGUUCGCUUUGAAUAAAACUCCUCCAGCAAGGUCCAACCUUGGUUUUACCAUUUUCCUCACCUAGCCCUUUUUCCCUUGGGUUUCCGGAGCCCGAGGGUCGUCUUUAUUUACCCCCCGGGCCAGUUCUCCUCCGAGUGCUGGUCCAAACCGAGCGAUGUACGGCGCCCCCUGGGCAACUAGGGUCUAUGCCAACCCGACGUCUGGCUCAUCCAGUGUGCCCUGAGAACGAGAUAUGUGCAGCUCCUAUCGGGAUUUGUCGGCACAUCGGGCGGCUUUGCUGGUCUUGUUUUACCAUUGUCGAAAUGUCUUGUAAACCGGGAUUCCGAGACUGACCGGGUCUUCCUGGGAGAAGGAAUAUCCUUCGUUGAUCGCGAGAGCUUAUCAUGGGCUCAGUUGGGACACCCCUACAGGGUAUAAACUUUCGAGAGUCGUGCCCGCGGUUAUGUGGCAGAUGGGAAUUUGUUAAUGUCCGGUUGUAGAUAACUUGACACCAGAUCCGAAUUAAAACGCAUCAACCGUGUAUGUAGCCAUGAUGGUCUCUUCUCGGCGGAGUCCGGGAAGUGAACACGGUUUCUGUGUUAUGAUUGACGUAAGUAGGAGUUCAGGAUCACCUCUUGAUCAUUACUAGCUUCACGACCGUUCCUUUGCUUCUCUUCUCGCUCUUAUUGCGUAUGUUAGCCACCAUACUUGCUUAGCCGCUGCUGCAACCUCACCACUUUACCCCUUCCUUUCCCAUUAAGCUUUGCUAGUCUUGAUACCCAUGGUAAUGGGAUUGCUGAGUCCUCGUGGCUCACAGAUUACUACAACAACAGUUGCAGGUGCAGGAUUAUGCGAUGAUCUUGACGCGAGAGGGAUGUUACUUGUUUUGGACUUCUUCUUCUGCUUCUUCUCCGAUCAGGGGAUAGGUUCCAGGUCGGCAGCCUGGGCUAGCAGGGUGGAUGUCGUUCGAGUUUCUGUUUGUGUUUCAUCCGUAGUAGGAUGCUGCUCUUAUGUAUGAUGAUGUUGUAUUCAUGUGGCAUUGUAUGCCUCUUGUAUGUAUCCCCAUCUAUUAUGUAAUGUUGAUGUAAUGAUAUCCACCUUGCAAAAGUGUAACGCCCCAGACACACCCGUCGGUGGUCGUUACUCCUGGCGAGAUCUAGACUGGCCCCACAGAUCAAUACUAGUCUUUUAUGUGCACUUUUGCAAACCGUGCAUCCGAUUCCGGUGAUCUUUAUAUCGAUUUCAACCGAAAUCAUCUCAUCUUUCCAGCGGCAUACUUGGUUUGCCAAGUUGAUGCCUGGUUCAUCAUUUUCCUUCCGGAGCACACAUAUGCAUUGCAUAUCACAUCUCGCAUAGCAUGUCAUGUAUUGCAUCAUAUUGCUUGUGCAUUGCUCCUUGUUUGAUUGUUGUUCCAUUGCUUGUGUUCUUGCUUUGGGUAGAGCCGGGAGACGAGUACGUGAACGAGGAACCUGUUGAGAACGCCUACGAGGAUCAAGCCUUCGACAACUCUGAGAACCUUGCAGGCAAGAUGACCAUACCUUCGAUAUCACUUGUAUCUUUGCUUGCUAGAUGCUCGAUCUUUUGCUAUGCCUAUGCUACGUUACCUACCACUUGAUAUAUCAUGCCACCCAUAUUGCCAUGUCAAACCUCUAACCAUCCUUUCCUAGCAAACCGUUGUUUGGCUAUGUCACCGCUUUUGCUCAGCCCCUCUUAUAGUGUUACUAGUUGCAGGUGAAGAUGAAGUUUGUUCCUUGUUGGAACAUGGAUAUUUUGGGAUAUCACAAUAUCUCUUAUUAAAUUAAUGCAUCUAUAUACUUGGUAAAGGGUGGAAGGCUCGGCCUUAUGCCCGGUGACUUGUUCCACUCUUGCCGCCCUAGUUUCCGUCAUACCGGUGUUAUGUUCCUUGAUUUUGCGUUCCUUACGCGGUUGGGUGAUUUAUGGGACCCCCGUGACCGUUCACUUUGAAUAAAACUCCUCCAGCAAGGCCCAACCUUGGUUUUACCAUUUGCCACCUAUACCUUUUUCCCCUGGAUUUUCGCGAGCCCGAGGGUCAUCUUUAUUUUAGCCCCCCNNNNNNNNNNNNNNNNNNNNNNNNNNNNNNNNNNNNNNNNNNNNNNNNNNNNNNNNNNNNNNNNNNNNNNNNNNNNNNNNNNNNNNNNNNNNNNNNNNNNNNNNNNNNNNNNNNNNNNNNNNNNNNNNNNNNNNNNNNNNNNNNNNNNNNNNNNNNNNNNNNNNNNNNNNNNNNNNNNNNNNNNNNNNNNNNNNNNNNNNNNNNNNNNNNNNNNNNNNNNNNNNNNNNNNNNNNNNNNNNNNNNNNNNNNNNNNNNNNNNNNNNNNNNNNNNNNNNNNNNNNNNNNNNNNNNNNNNNNNNNNNNNNNNNNNNNNNNNNNNNNNNNNNNNNNNNNNNNNNNNNNNNNNNNNNNNNNNNNNGGCCUGGUUUUACUCAUAGCUUGACUUAUCCGGAUGUGCCCUGAGAACGAGAUAUGUGCAGCUCCUAUCGGGAUUUGUCGGCACAUUCGGGCGGCUUUGCUGGUCUUGUUUUACCAUUGUCGAAAUGUCAUGCGAACCGGGAUUCCGAGACUGAUCGGGUCUUCCCGGGAGAAGGUUUAUCCUUCGUUGACCGUGAGAGCUUAUGAUGGGCUAAGUUGGGACACCCCUGCAGGGUAUUAUCUUUCGAAAGCCAUGCCCGCGGUUAUGAGGCAGAUGGGAAUUUGUUAAUGUCCGGUUGUAGAAAACCCGAAGUUGACCUUAAUUAAAAUACAUCAAUCGCGUGUGUAACCGUGAUGGUCUCUUCUCGGCGGAGUCCGGGAAGUGAACACGGUGUUGGAGUUAUGUUUGGCGUAGGUUGCUCUAGGAUCACUUCUUGAUCACUACUAGCUUCACGACCGUGCCUUGCUUCUCUUCUCGCUCUCUUUUGCGAAUGUAGCCACCAUAUAUGCUAGUCGCUUGCUGCAGCUCCACCUCACAAUUCUGUCCUACCUAUAAGCUUAAAUAGUCUUGAUCUCACGGGUGUGAGAUUGCUGAGUCCCCGUGGCUCACAGAUUCUACCAAAACAGAUGCAGGUACCGAUGAUACCAGCGCAAGUGGCGCAAUUGAGCUCAAGUGGGAGUUUGAUGAGGACCGUGAUCGUUACUAUGUUUCAUUUCCAGACGAUCAGUAGUGGAGCCCAGUUGGGGACGAUCGGGGAUCUGUGUGGCAUUUGGGGUAGUCUUCUUUUAUUUUGGUUCCGUAGUCGGACCUUGAGUGUAAUCUGAAUGAUGGAUGUUUAUUUAUGUAUUGUGUGAAGUGGCGACUGUAAGCCAACUAUGUAUCUCUUUCCCUUAUGUAUUACAUGGGUUGUGUGAAGAUUACCUCACUUGCGACAUUGCUUUCAAUGCGGUUAUGCCUCUAAGUCGUGCUUCGACACGUGGGAGAUAUAGCCGCAUCGAGGGCGUUACAAAAAGCGUCUUCAAGAUGCGCUUCUAUCCUUGGUGGGACCUUCGAGUUCCUUUAGGAUAGGGUCGCAUCUUGGGCGUGACAUGCGCUUCAUCUCUGGCUCGGCUGCGAGCACGGCCGGUCCCUUGCGCUUCACGUCCUUGGCCUUGGUCUUCUUGUCUUCUGGGUCUACAUCGGGGAUCUCGAGGAGGGAGAGGCGUCCCUCCUCAGCUCUCGCGCACUUGGUUGCCAUGUUGAACAUCUCCAGGGCCGUGCAUUGGUCUUCGUGUAUGGCGAGCUCCUCCUUCAUCUUGAUGUCACGGACGCCGUCGGUGAAUGCCGAGACGAUGGCUUCGUCCGACACCUUGGGAAUCUUUGAGAUGAACGAUGUUGAAGCGCUAGAUGUACUUCUGCAGGGUCUCUUCUGGUUGCUGCUUGACACAUCGCAGGUCACCCGUGGCCGGCGGGCGGUCGUGAGUGCCCUGGAAGUUGGUGAUGAAACGUUCUCGCAUCUCGUCCCAGGAGGAGACCGAUCCUACGGGCAGGUUCAGGAGCCAAGAGCGCGCGCCGUCCUUGAGGGCCAUGGAGAAACAGUUCGCCAUGACCUUCUCGUCGCCGCUGGCCGCCUCAAUGCUCAGCUCAUAGAGCUGCAGGAACUCAGCGAGGUCGGCGGCGCCGUCGUAGCGUGGAGGCAGGUCAGGCUUGAACUUCCCUGGACAGACGACGCUGCGCAACUCCGGAGUGAAUGCGCGGCACCCCGUUGUGGUCACGAGAGCCCGCCGUGGAGGUGGAGCCUGGUCUUGGCGUUCGCGCACCUUCACCACAGGCGGCGCACGGUCUAGAUGUGGCGCCGGUAGCGCGCGCGCAUAUUCUUGUGGCCGUUGGACCACCUGGUAGCUUGCUUCAUUGCGCGCGGGCGCCUGACACUGCGGAUCACGCCGAGGCGCCACCCGCCUUGGCUCGAUGAUGGCGUCUUGCCUUGGAGGCGGGGGAGGCGCCCCGUGAGCUACAUCUCCCGUAGCAGGCGACGGUUGAGGCAGUGAGCCAGCUGGUGCGGCAGAAUCCUGAGCGGCGGUGACAAGCUCGGCGAUACGGUCGAGCCAGUCCUUGUAGAGGUCGUCGACCUGGCAGUAGCACAGGAGCUCGCGUGCCAUGAGUAGAGCAGCCUGCGCGUUCGCCGGGCCACGACGAGCGUGAGAGGACGAAGCAGCUGGAGUCAGCGUCAGAGUGGCGGUGCACCCAUCGCGGCGCAUAGAUGGAUGCAGUGAAGAGGCUUGUUGCUCGUGGCCUGCGGGGCCCGUGGUGGCGUUCGCCACCGGCGAUGGGGGUCGGCGAGGGCAGCCGUCGCCCGCCAGCACUGUCUGAGCGACGCGGGUGGCAAGGGCGGCCCGGCGCUCAGCACGAGCUCGGCGCGCGUCAUCCAUGGAAGCGGUGGAGCGGUGGCGAGUCGAUCGACGGAAGAGAAGCUCCGACGCACCCCUACCUGGCGCACCAAAUGUCAGAUUUCGGGUUCCGCAAACCCUACUCUUGCUUUGUGGUGGAUUUGCCUCGAGGGGUUGAGGGUGAACUAGUAUAGUGGAGAACAACCUCAGGAGGUGUGUUCUUGGGCUCUAGUGAGCUGGUGAGGGUGGAGCGGAUGUCGUCCCAUCUCCCUCCUUUGGUGGUGGCUAGGUCCUAUUUAUAGUGGUCUUGGUCCUCUUCCCGAAUGGAGGCGGGAAGGGAUCCCACAAUGGCCAAUUUUAAAGGGAGACAACAAGUACAUCUUAUCCUGACUAAAGUGCUCUUCGCCUGCAAAAGCCUGUGGUCGUGACGCUGCGGUGGGCUCGACGAUGACCUCCGUCCUGCCUGGCGGUCUUGAUCUUGUUGCAUGGGAAUGGAAACCUUUGACUGCUUCCUCGGGACUCCGCACCUGCUGCUUGCCUCCUUUGCACGAAAGAGGACACUAGUACACUGCGCCCGCUGGCGCCCGCCUUGACGCNNNNNNNNNNNNNNNNNNNNNNNNNNNNNNNNNNNNNNNNNNNNNNNNNNNNNNNNNNNNNNNNNNNNNNNNNNNNNNNNNNNNNNNNNNNNNNNNNNNNNNNNNNNNNNNNNNNNNNNNNNNNNNNNNNNNNNNNNNNNNNNNNNNNNNNNNNNNNNNNNNNNNNNNNNNNNNNNNNNNNNNNNNNNNNNNNNNCGAUCGUCAUUGCUCACGUCACCCGAACCUCGCAAGGUGAGUCUUGCAUAGAAAUCUCCGCUCCUCAGGAGCCAGCAUGAGGAGGCUGAUCCCCUUGAAGGUCUUGGUGCCGUCCGCUUCGCGAGGCUUGGCCCCUCGUGAGGGUCUUGGGUUGUCGAUGUCGAAACUGGGCCGCACCAGGUCGUCGGUGGAGCCACGCCAUGGGCCGUAGGCAGGCAAGUCUGGGUACCCCCGUAUCCAAAACACCGACACUGACCCGACGUUAUUUUCUGUUACCCAGAGGUUGUUGUCCCAUUGGGAGCAGGGGUGAGACCUCCGUGAGAAAGAAAGAAGAAGAACAAUAAGAGAAACAGAUCUCGAUCCUCGAUCUGCAAGCUCACGGGCUACACUGGUGGCCACUACGCCAACUUCAGCUUUGUGUAUAAUACAAGGGCGCGACCUCGUUGAGGGUAAAAGACCCAGUUUUGCAUUGAUUUUUCCGUGUUUUUGUUUCUGUUUUGUCUUUCUUUUUUCAUUUGUUUCUCUCUGUUUCUUUCUUUGUAUUUGCCAUCUUUUUACUUUCUUUCUUGUUCUUAUGUUUUAGUCAGAUUACUCCUUUUUUCUUCCUUUUUCGUCUUCUUCUCUUUUUUGUUUUCUUUUCUUUUUUGUUCACCUGUUUUUUCGUUUUCAUUUGGUUUUUCUUUGUUUCUUUCAUUGUUUUUAUCAUUUUUGGGUUUUCUUGGUUUGCAUUCUACAUUUUUCGUAUAUGUCAUGAAGAUUUUUCUAAUGCACGUUAAUACUUUUUAAUAUGACGUUAUUAUUAUCUAGGACAUGGUUAAUAAUUUUUCUAGUCAUAUUUAAAUACUUUAUAAAUGCUGGAUUUACAUUUUCUAAUAAUAGUUAAUAUUUUUAAUACACAUUUUAAAACAUUUUCAAAUGCUUGAUUAAAAAAUUCAAAAACAAGAUUAACAUUUUUAAUAAAAGGUCAAUAUUUUACCUAUACCCUCUUCACAAGAAUGCAAAUGCUUCAGUAACACUUGUCAAAUACAAGAUUAACAUUUUUUAAUACACGCUCAACAUUUUUUCUAUACACACUUUUAAAAAAAAUUCAAUGCUUGUUAACAUCUUUCGAAUACAAGAUUAACAUUUUUUAAUACAUAGUCAAAAAAAUUCCUACAAACUCUUUUAAACAUUUUCGACUGCAAGAUUAACAUUUUUCUGAAUGCAUGGUAAAAAAAAUUGUAUCCACAUUUAAAAUUUUCAAAUGCUUGAUUAAACAUUUUUAUAUACUUCUCCAACAUUUUUAAAAUUUCUUGAUUAAUAUUUUCAUAUAAAAUGAUCAAAAGGUUACAUCAUUUUUUAAUACAUGGUCAACAUUUUUUCUAUAUAAAUUCAACAUUUUUAAGCACUUGAUUAACAUUUUCCAAAUACUUGUUUAAAAUAUUCUAAAUACAUGAUCAACUUUUUUCACACCCAUUGUACAUUUUUUAAUACAUUGUUCGUAUAUGUGAUUAACAUUUUUUCAUACACAUUUAACAUUUUUGAAAUGCACUAUUGACAUUUUUUAGAACAUUUCUGAAAAAUAUAUUUUGUAGUAUAUAUAUUUAGAAUUUUUGGAGUGUAAACAAAAGUAAGAAAAUAAAUCAGAAAAAGAAAGCAAAAGGUCAACAAAAAAAAGACGAAAGCCAAUUAUUUGUUCAUGCCCUGGAAUUGGUCAUGCCAAUUAUUUGUUAGGGCAAGAUUGAGCUCAAUCCGAACGGGAGCGCCUAUACAGCGCGAUACUCGCCNNNNNNNNNNNNNNNNNNNNNNNNNNNNNNNNNNNNNNNNNNNNNNNNNNNNNNNNNNNNNNNNNNNNNNNNNNNNNNNNNNNNNNNNNNNNNNNNNNNNNNNNNNNNNNNNNNNNNNNNNNNNNNNNNNNNNNNNNNNNNNNNNNNNNNNNNNNNNNNNNNNNNNNNNNNNNNNNNNNNNNNNNNNNNNNNNNNNNNNNNNNNNNNNNNNNNNNNNNNNNNNNNNNNNNNNNNNNNNNNNNNNNNNNNNNNNNNNNNNNNNNNNNNNNNNNNNNNNNNNNUUUCAGCUUAAUUUCAGUUUCAAAAAAAUAGGAUUUCAGAAAAAGUUAGAAGUUGUCCAAUUAUUUGUGAAUUCAAAAGGUUGUUCCCUAUUUGAAAUUUCUUCAGGAAAUGAUAAAUUCUCAAGAAUUCAAAAAAUGUUCACAAUUUCGAAAAUAAUGUUCAUGUGCAAAAAAUAUUUAUAAAUUUCUAGAAAAUGUUCACCAUAUUCAAAAAAUGAGCAGGAAUUUUGAAAAAUGUUCCCCAAAUUCACAAAAUGUUCGCAAUUUCAAGAACUAUGAAGGAACUAAAAAAUGUUCGUCAAAAACAAAAAAAGCUCGGAAUUUCAAAAAAUGUUCAGAAAUUUCAGAAAAUAUUCGCCAUUUACAGAAAAAUUUACACAAUUUCAAGGAUUGUUCGUGAUUUUGAAAAAAAAAACCAUGAUUAUAUAAAACAUUUGACAGGUUUAAAAACUGUUCAUGAUUUCAUAAAAUUGUUUACUUUUUCAAAACAAUAUUCACGAAUUUGUAAAAAAAUAUUCAGCAAUUUGAAGAAUGUUCAUAAUUUCGAAAAAAAAUCGCAAUUUUAAGGAAGUUUGUUCGUAAAAUUGAUACAUGGCCGAACUUUUUUCAGAAAAGGUGAAAAUAAGGAAAAAGUAAAAAAAACAGAACAUUAAAGAAAAGAAAAAAUAAAAGAGUUAAUUGGAAAAGUUAAACAGAAAAAGGAAAUAAAAAACGGAAGAAAUAAACAAGAAAAAACCGGUUCUGGGAAGGUUCUAGAACCUUCCCAAAACCGGUGGGGAGGAAUCCCUAUAUGGGCCGGUCCAACGGACGCUGGGGGAGGGGAAGAGACCUCCUAUAAUCCGCACUCUGUGGGAAAGUGUCGUGGCUUCGCACAGGCGGCCUCCGGCUGGGCUGGCCCAGUACCGCCAGCGGACUUGUAUUGUAGCUCAAAAAAAACGACUUUGCAUGAAAUCGAACCAGGGAUCUCGUGCUGCAAAAUAGAAUUUGCGACCAGCUGAGCUAGCGAUCUUUUCUAGUAAGAUAGCAGCGUCAAUCUUUAAGAACCAACACACAGGGCAGUUCCGAAUUAUUUUUGUAAUUUCGAAUUCAUUUUUUUAACAAAAAAUGAGUAUUUUCUGACACGCGAAUACCUUUCAAAUUUCAGAAUGGUUUUUUAUAAACAGAAAUGUUUAAGAAAAUAAUUGACAUUUUUCGUAAUCAGGAACAAUUUUUUAAACGAGAAUUUUUUUUCAAAUUUCAAAAUAAAACUGGGGAAAUACAAACAUUUUAAACUCCUGACAAAAUAUGCAAAACAUGAACUUUUUUAUUGAAAUUUCUGAACAAUUUUUGACAAGGGAGUUUUUUUUUGAAACUUCAGAAAACGAAAACAUGAACAUUUUUUGAAACCGGAACAUUUUUUGAAAACUUGUGAAAUUUUGGAGCAGAAAUUAUUCCGAACUUUUUUUGUGAGAACACAAACAAUUUUUUGAAUAAGUGAAAUUUUUUUGAAAAAUGUAUGCGAACAUUGUUUUUGGAAAAAAUGAUCGUCUUGGAAUUUUUAUCAUUUUUAGAAGCAAGAACAUUUUUUGAAAGUCACGAACAUUUUUUUAACUCCCGAACAUUUUUUGAAAAUUUUGAACAAAAGCAUUCGCAACAUUUUAACCAAAACAAGAACAUUUUUUGAAAAUAAUGAACUUUUUCGAAUUUAUGAACAAUUUUUUAAAACGACUAUUUUUUAAAUUUUGAACAUUUUUAAAGGCAUGAACAUUUUCAAAAUUUAAGAGCAAUUUUGGAACAUGAACUUAGUUUAAAAAAGAUAAAAUAACCUUGAAAAGGAAAAAAUAAAAAUAAUAGAAAAAAAAGAAUAAAAGAAUAGAAAAAGAGGAAAAAGAAACAAAAACUAAAAAAAGAAAACAGAAAAACCAGCAAAAAAACAAAAAACCCGGUGUGGGGAACCUUCUAGAAGGUUCCCAAAACCGGCUGGCUGUUGCAAUUGUACACUCAACUGGGCCGACCCAUCACAUCGCUGCUCAGUCGCUCGCGUAUGCGAAGCGCCGGCAGUUUGACGCAAAGAGCUUCAAAUAGGAUUUCCCGAAGGGGAACGCGCCAAGGGAACUCCUAUUGGACACUCGCUGCGGCAAGCAGUCGGCAUUUCACACACGAGCAGCUUGGCUGGGCCGGCCCAUAUUGCGGGUGCGGCACAUUCGUAGGUUAAAAAUCGCGAAAAAGGAAAAAGGGUACUGGAAUCGAACCCAAGACUUCCUAUUGCUAAGCGCGAUGAGCUAGCCGCCCCAACUAGCUACUUCUUAUGGUAAAUUGGCAGCGCGAACCUAAAGAAAUUAACGGUAGCGAGAAAACAUAAAAUCUGAAUACGCAAAAUUACGAUGAACCAAGGUGUGAGCGAGGCACCUCUCAAUACAACUAGGUAGUCAAAAAAGGUAGCCCAACAAAUAUGAACUAUAAACCGCGACAAAGGCUAUAAUUAAAAAAAUUCAAACGUGAAUUCUUUUGGCAAAAAGUAAAUAUUUUCUGAAACGCACCCAUUUUAUAAUUUGUGAACAAAAUUUUAAAAAUUAGAACAUUGUAUGAAACCGAAAACAUGUUUUUGGAAUAAAAAAGGAAGAAAACUGAAAUUGCGAACAUUUUGUUUAAAUGCGACCACUUCAAAAUUUGUGAACAAUAAUUUUAAAAUUCGAACAUUUUCGUAAUUUCAUACGAGAACAUUUUUCAAAUUUGCGAACACUUUUUUGAAAAACAGAAUAGAAUUGAAAACCCAAACAUUUCGAAUUUCCCAAAACAUCUUUCGAAGACAUGAACAUUUUUGGAAUUUGUGAACAAAUUAUUUAAAGCACGAACGAUUUUGAAUCUUGAGAACAAAUUUGGAAGCGCCAACUAUUUUUUCAACCACGGACAUUUUUUGAAUCUUGAGAACAAAUUUUGAAAUGGAAAACAAUUUUGAAAUAUUCCGAACAAAUUUGGAAGCGCGAACAAUUUUUUAAAGCACGAACAUUUUUUCAAUCUUGAGAACAAAUUUUGAAACGAAGAACAAUUUUGAAAAAUCCCAAACAAAUUUGGAAGCGCGAACAUUUUCUUUAAAAAGUGAACAAAAUAUUGAAAUCUGCUACAUUUUUUGAAUUUCGAAAGUUUUGAACUUUUCUGUGUAACGAGAACAUUUUUUGAAUUUUGAGAACAUUUUUUCAAAAGCUGAACAUUUUCUGAAAACAUGAACAAAAUUUCAAAUUUUCGAUCUUUUUGAAGAAAAAAGAGAAGAAAAGAAAAAGAAAUAACAAAGAAAAUCCUUUUUUUGUAAAACUGCAAACAUGUUCUGAAAAAGAAAAAGAAACUUGAAAAAUAAAAGGUAACAAAAAAGAAAAAAUGAAAAAGAAACAGAAAACGAAAAAACAAUCAGGAAAGUGUAAAAAAAUGGAAAACCAAUAAAAGAAAAAAAACGGUUCAUGGAACCUUCUAGAAGGUUCAUAAAACCGGAGUGGGCAGUUUGUUUGCUAUGUACGUAAGUGGGCCGGUCCAAAAGCAUCGCUCGGUCGCUCGCUGUGUGCGAACCGCCGGCAGUUUGCCGCAAUGAGCGGCCAAUAGGAUUUUCUACGCGCCAACUCGCUAGCGAGCGACCUAUGCGCCAUAAAGGGAUCGCCAAUCCAAACAGCCCAGUUGCCGCGCCAUGGGCGCCAUCAAGCUCAGCUGGCACGCACUAUGGGCCGGCCCAGUUAACCUCAGCUCGCUCGUUUAAUUCCAAACUUCUAGGUCGGUGGCUCACCUGGUUCGACCGGUUGACCAAUAACUUAUUGACGGUUGAAGAGUCAAACCGUUAACCAUUCACUUUUUAAAAAGUUCAAAUUUUUAAGAAACAGAAAUAAAUAUGUUAGCAAAAUUAACAAAAAUCAUAAAUUUCAAAAAGAACGUGCCUUUGAAAAUUCAUGAUUUGUCUUUUUAAAAUCCAUGAAAUAUGGGGAAAAUGUUCACAAUUUUGAAAUAAAAUCAUUAAUUCGAAAAAUUUCAUGAAAUUUGGGGAAAAAAGUUCGUGAAUUUGACUACAAGUGACACGGAUUUGGGAAAAAAAAUCACGCAUUUAAAAAAAUCAAUUUUGAAUUAAAAUUUUCAUUUAUUAGAAUAAAGUUCACUGGAUUUUGAAAAAAAAGUCACGGAUUUGAAAGAAGUUCAUCGACUUUGAUAAAAGAAUUCACAAAUUUGAAAAACAUUCAUCAAUUUUGAAAAAGUGCCACGAAUUUGGAAAAAAUGUGAACAAAUAAAGUUAACGAAUUUGAAAAAAGAUCACCUAAUUUUGAAAAAAGGUUCGCGGAUUUGUGAAAAGUAUGUUGAUUGUGAUAAAAAUAAAUUUCAAAAAUUUGAAUGAAGUUAAUCAAUUUGAUAAAGUUCCCAAUUUGAAUAAAGUUCCAAAUUUUAUUAUUUUUCUAUGCAUCUUAGAAAAUAAAAAGAAAAAAGAAAAAAGAAAAAAGUAAACAAAAAAUUAACAACCCGAGCGAAAAAAACAGAUGAAAAAUUGGACAAACAAGAAAAGUCUAGAAGGCGCAGAAUAAGAAGCAACAGAAGUAUUAGAAAGCAUAGUGUGUGAGCCGUCCGAGUUGGUUACUGAAUUUGGAAGAAGACGGUGAGGUUCUAAGUUUGAACCUCACGACCCGCGUGACCUUUUGAAGGUUGAAAAAGAAGAAAAAUGGGCCGAGCCCAGGACACAGAGGGUGUACGCCGGUUUAUUCAUGUGCCUUAAAGUGGAGCAGGGGAAGGGAAUGCUCUUUUGCUGCUGACUAUCUUGUAUGGGCUUCUUCGAUCCCGACAGGUGGGGCACAAUCAGGGCAAGUUUGAUGAGGAUAAUGGUAUGUCAGAGGAUGAUAUCGAUCCAGGUGCGGCGACCAAGUGUAACGAGCUUAAAAAAAUUCAGAACGCCGCACCCCAUGCCUAGUCAGGAUCCACCUUGUGAUGCUACCGAUGCAUCGAACUCCCCGACAUAUUUUAAAUGUUCAGAACUUUUUUAAAUAAAAUAGCACAUUUACACAAAAUAAAUGUAUGUUGUCAUAAAAUUUCAAAUUAAAAUUUUAAAAUAGUGUAUGUUGUCUCAAAAACUCAAACUAAAAUUCAAAACAUAGCUCAAAAAACAAAAUGACAAAUUUGACAAUAAAUAGUACACCCCUCAACUCUAGCCCUAGUCUAAUUUACACCCCCAACUCCAAUAUCAUCUAGUUUACACCCCACAACUCUCAAAACCAGCUAGAAUUCAACCCUCCCCUCCCUGUUGACCGGUUUUGACCUGUUGACUGGGUGAACAGUAAAUUUAAAAGGAAUAAAAAAUUUAAAGAAAACAUGUUUAACCGAGUGAACAGUAAAUUCACAAGGAUAUAAAUAAAAAAUUCAAAAAAUAAAUUUGUUUUUUUAUUUUUUAUUUUGUUUGGUGAACAGUAGAUUCAGAAAAAUAAUAAAAAACAAAAAAAGACAAAUGUGACGUCUGUGAAACAGUUAACAAUACAUACUGUUCGGGACAAUCUUUUUUGUUGAGAGACCACUCAAAUAUCCAAACAAGCUGAAAAAUCGGCGCGGACAUCACGCAUUGAAAAUCAUCCAUGCAAAAAUAAUUCCGUUUUUUUUGAAAAAUUUAGUAUUUUUUUGAAUUUACUAUUCAGCCGGUAAAAAAUCAAAAAUGUUUGUUGAAUUUUAUUUCCAACUUUUUUAAAUUUACUGUUCACCCAUCGACAAACAAAAUUAUUUUUUGAUUAUUUUAGUUAUUGUUCAGCCAGUCAACGGGUCAAAUCUGGUCAACUGUGUCAAAACUGGUCAAUAUGGAGGCGAGGUUGAAUUUUGGCCGGUUUUGAGAGUUAGGGGGUGUAAACUAGACGGUAUUGAACUUGGGGGUGUAUAUUAGACUAGGUCUAGAGUUAAGGGGUGUAAUAUGCACUUCUCUCCUUUAGAUUUGACCCCUUGUCACAUUGAUGUCUAAUUAAUCACCUUUGUAUCUCGAGCAGUGUUUUGAAUUUUGAUAUAAAAUCUUAUGAUAAUAUACAUCGAUGUUGCAUCAAUAUGCUAGAUUUUAGAAGAAAAGAAACCCUCGGGUUUUCGGGGCAUUGCAUUCUCACCCAUCUCUUCAUACUCAAGCGACGUUCUCUCUUCUACUUCGUUGACUCUCGCUUUCGCGGUUGCCUCUCUAAGGCGGACACUAUCCUAUCAAUGCAUUUUGGCAUCCCACACCUUUAUUUUUUUGCGAGAAACUUUCAGUCUAUUCAUUUUCAAUCAUGGUGGUUCAAAGAAUAACAGUGGUAAUAAAAACUUAGCCCCCUUUCGUACAACCUGUUCUCUCUUUGUGAAAGGCCUCUGAUUUCAUGAUCUAAUUUGAAGAACUGGCUUAAGAUCGUAGCUCUAGUUGAAAAAAUCCCCCACUCAAGUUAGGCCCUGGAAAACCAACCAAAGAAUGGAAGGAAUGCGCGAUGGAGGCCCUCGUAAAUUAUAAUUUGAACUAUAGCCAGGGCAAAUCUCUUAAUAUCGGAGGUUGGUUUCUAGGCAGGUGCAUAGGAGCCGUCAAAGGAAAGGCGAGAAGCCUUGGCUUUGAUGCACCCCGAUUUAUACAAAAAGGAUCAGAGGUCAAAUUAGUUAACGAAUUAUGAUAUUUGUGAAACAUACAUAAUGUGCUACCCCUCCGUUCCAUAAUGUAAGACUUUUUUUGAUACUACAAUAGUCAAAAAAAUAUGUUACAUUAUGAAACGGAGGGAGUAGAUUUUUAAACAAGGGAACUUCAAUGAAGCCAGAUUCUAUUUUUUAAACAAGGAAUUUCAAUGAAGCCAGAUUCUAUUUUUGCAAAUGCUGCAGCGACUUCUUUGACAGGAAUUCAUCAAUAAAAAAAGUGGAAGAGCAUGAAGCUUCAUUCCCUUGCAAGCUGAUAUGGCGCCUGGCAUUCCACAUUCAAAACAAGCAAUCUCGGGCCGCAGCUUCUAAGAAUCUCAGCUAGCAGGUUUUGCAGCGACCCUCCCCGAGAGGAUAACUAAGGGCGUGUUUGGUUGCCCGCAUAAGAUCCAACCAGGCCCGCGCGUGAAGGAUUCGGCCUGUUUGGUAGCCUGCAUACAUUAUUGGGCCUACAUCGCAUGCUUCUUAAAGCAUCUCAGGGCCUGGCUCACUGAAAACGCACGAAUCGGCAGUUUCUCUAGGGACAGGCCCGAGCGGUGCACGUGGGCGGGCGCGGCUGCACGCGCGCGGCCACGCUCGAGAAGCCGCGUUGCUUCCCGAAGCACCGGCAGUUAUUAGCCUCACCGCCCCUCACCGCUCCCUCUCCCCACUCUUCCCCACUCUUCCAACUCUCACCGGCGGCGGCGGAUUGGAACAGAGGAAGAAGACCACCGGACUCCAUCACCAGCGACGGCGGAUCAGAGCAGAGGAAGAAGACCACCAGACUCCAUCAAUGGUGGUAAGCACUUCUCUCUCUUCGACAUGAACACUUGAUUCGAUCCACGGCGAUAGAUUUGAUCCACGGCGGACGAGAAUGGGGAACAGAGGUAGCUAAGCAUAGGGGUAAUUCAUACUAGUUCAUAGCAGUUCAUACGAGUUCAUACAUAGCAGUUCAUACAUGCAAGAUCGGUAGAUUUCGCGAUUGGGGGAUAGGGGAAUAGGGGGAAAGGGGGUACAGAACGGACACCGGCUGACCGUGGCGGCCGUCACCGGCGUGCGGAGCGGCUGGUCGAGCCGCUGGCCUUCAUCUUCUUAUUCAUCGCCGUGCGGUCCGGCGGGUCAUCCUCGGCGGAGUCGAGGUCGGUCUGCCAAGUAGGACGGACUGGCUUCGGUGCCCUAACCGCCUCUUCUUCCUCCUCCUUAGACUCCCCGCCAAUGACCGCCGACGGCGCGAUACCCGUCCCCAGUACACUGCGGCACGGCGGUCAUUAGGAGCCCAGUAGGUCUUGUACUUGCACCACUUCUUCCUCUGUUUAGGGUCGUCGGAGACGGCCUGAUUCAUGGCCCAGCAAAUGAUGUCAACUGCCAUCGCACCCUUCGCUGGGUCAGGAAUCAGUGUCUUCAGCUCAUCUUUAGUGGCCUUCAUGAGCACGACAUUGGAUUCGUUCUGCAUGUCCAGCAUGGAGCCGAAGUUCGAGCACACCUCCAUGGUGUUCUCGAACUUGGUCCGAUCACCAGCCGUCCACCCGAGAAAGAAGGCCCUCCAGCCAAUACCCCAAGGGAAGGGGUUGCCGUUGGAGCUGGAGCUAGAGCUCAUGGCGAUAGGGAGGAGGAAGGUUGACAGUGAGAGAAGAGAGGGGGUGGGUAAAUAGUGGUGGGUAGGGUGAGUAAAUAUAGGGGGUGGAGAGGAGGAGAAGAGUGACAGUCAUGUCGUUUUAACUACAAGCUCUUGAAUUAGCCAUGAACUCUGUGCAAUGCCUGAUUCCAUGACUUGUGUGCAGAUCGAGGAUAGCAAUGAGAUGGGCACGGAGGUACUCUCGGCCGUUGAUAGCAAGGGCAAGCAGCCCCUUCACCCAAUGCCUGACGAGGUUGAGCUACCGCCCACCACCGAGGAAGACCCGAAAACGCGUGAGGGUGGCGACGACGAGGGCAUGGAGGAGCCCCUAGCAACAAGUGCCGCAACUACGGCCACUACCAUCAAGAGGAUGACCCAACUCACUUCCGCAAGGUCAUCCUUGCACCGAAGCUUGAGUGCAUCCCCAUGCCCCUGGACUUCACCAAGCACUUCGUCGCGGUGCCGACGGAGUUCAAGCUCAGGAAGAACACCGACUGCUCCUGGAAGGUAACGGUCAAGCUGAUGAACGGCAGGGUGACCCUAGAUCAGGGUUGGGCCACCUACGCAGCCGUUCAUCAGAUCAACAUCGGCUACAUGGUGAUGUUCAAGCUCCUCACUCCCGACACCCUCAAGGUCAUCAUCUUCGACGACGAUAGCAUUGAGGUCAUCAACAAGUGCGGGAAGCACAACGAAGCCUUCGCCGCCAAGGAGUAGGGCCGGGGCACCUUCUUUUUAAUUACUAUCGAGUCUGCUUUGAACUGUUUAUGGUUUAUGCGUUGAAAUGUUAUAUCUGUGGUACUGCUUAUAUCUGAAUUAUGCUAGUUGAUGCUCUGUUUAUACUCUGUUGUGCUUAUGAUGUGUGAUGCCAAAGUGUGGUGGUAACCUCACCAACUAGCCAAAUAGAUUACCACACAUCAGGCCUUGCAUAUAAUAAAACACCAUGCCUUGGGUUUGUGGACUAACAUGCAGGCAACCAAACACCAGGCAGUGUGGUUCAGCCCAUGCAGGUAAGAGGGCAUGCAGGCAACCAAACAACAUGCAUAUGGUGCAUUUGAGGCUGCAUUUGCAUAGCCAGGUUGGAUGGAGAAAUUUAUGCAAUGCGGGUACUGUAGCACACGGCAACCAAACACGCCUUAGGAAGCUCACUCUAAUUAGACCAGCUGCAAUACGUUGGAUGUUAGGAUCCUCCUAGCAUGUACACGUACAGAGGCUGCCCCUUGGACCAGCCCAUGGACUUGGCCCUCGGUGCAGCUACUUAAGCAUGGUGUACAGAAGGAGAGGGUAUCCAGUGGAUCACGAACGAACCGACGACGGCUCUUUCCUCCUACCUUCUUCCCCCUGUUGCAAGCUUCCUCUGUUCUUCUCAUCCAUUGUGUAAUUCCUCUGUAAUCACUACUCUAUAUUGCUACUCGUGAGAGAGAUCGAUCUAUACAAGCUAGCUACCAUCACCUCUCUUACAUCUGGUAUCAGAGACCAGCCACCACUCCUUCCCUAUGCGUUUCGCCAAGCUCGUCGGCAUCGGGCAGCCAUGGAUCCAUGGAUGCAGGCGUAUCUCGAGCGGAUCGACACCAUGCUCGAUGCCUACACAGACGCCACCAGGUCCCUCACCGAGAAAGUGGACGCUCUGGUCGUCGUCUGGCGGCCAGACCUGGAGAAGAGGUCCUCCCACACCGCCGUCGUCCACGGUCCACCGGCGCCGACCUCGGCGCUCGAGACCACUACUGAGGCGUCUGAACCCGUCCCUAACAUCUACUACUCCACCACCAAGGCCCAGGAGAUCCCCACGGUCGCCCAUGAUGCAACUCCGAUAUGCAUUCCGAUGGUGCCUGUCACCUGUUCGACGGAUUGCCCGACCCAGAUCGACGCCAUCGACAGCGCCGACGAAGUCCAUGACGCCGCCAGCGUCGCAACAGAGGUUCGCAACACUACAACCGCACUCGGCCCCGAGCUCGCGGUCGACCUCUGCAACACCUGUGGUCACUAUGGCAAGUUCGACGGCCUCAACAUCCCCGUGAAGGCCAGCAUCAGCCCGCCGCCCCACGUCCAGGAUGCAUUCCCAAAUUCCACAAUCAGCAAUUGUCGUGCCGAUGUUGCCGGGACGGACGAGUACGCACUCGUGGAGGCCACUCCAGACGUCGCCAUUGAGCUUGCCAUCCUCCCAGGCGUCUCCUCCUUCAUGAACAAACUAUUCUGGAAGCAUGACAUGGACGUCUCGCCGCCCACAAGGCACAAAGGGCUGCCAAUACGGCCGACACCAUGGCCGUCAUUUUUGGUGCAUCAUAGUGCAAAGGGGAACGAGAUUCGACCCACUCCGUGGCUAUCGUUUUCUUGCUCUCAUGAAGGUAUGACUCUGAAUCAUGAAACUCUGCUGCCUCAUGUUACAUGUGUGAUGAAGAAAUUACUUGCUAGAGGAUGCACUGAUUUCACACUCGGAAAGACUGGUUUACCCAGAUUUCACGUUGAUAAUUCCGCGUAUAGUUCUAAGCAAGUUGGUGAUCUUUUGGUGCACCGACCGCUUGUGAUACUGAAGCAUAGGGGCUGCCUAAAACCUUUGAGCAGCAAGACUGAAGUACCUUGUUGGUGUGAUCACUUCAUCAGCAGAAGUCCACAAAUAUCCCAGGCAAUGCAUUGCCAACUAGUAAAUGAGCUGAAACCUUCUUGGCUGCUGAAUUAUUUAUCUGUUGUCCUGAAUUCUUUCUCAACAUUCUCAAGAUAUUUGCCAAGGGUAGAGCAGGUGCCCAGUAUUUUUCUGAAGGUUGUUUCCAGGAUCCGUAUGGUGCCAAUAGAUAUUCUUAUUCUGAGCAAUCGGUUAAUCCUAUUACCUCUCUCAUGGUUGUCCACUGUUGUGGCCUGAUUCCCGUGGAGGAGCACUUCAAUUGUGUGCAAAAUACCGAGUUGCAGUUUUCCUAUUUACUAGCUGGAAGAACAUAUACUGAUAAAUGGUUAAGUCAAAAAGGUUCCGAGGGAAUUGAGUGCUUGGAUAUCUUGUUGAUCAGUCUACAGUGUAUUGACGACCGCCUAGCAGAAAUUAUGUUCGAUGAGAUUGCGCUGCAGCUUGCUACACAUUGCAAGGAAUUUGGCAUUGCAGGAGAGGUGUUGAACAGCUAUGUUUCUCCUGUUGCUUCAGUGGAGCACCCACCCUGUACUUUUGGGCAGCUUAUCCUAUUUGUGUCAAUGCACUGGAACAAUUCAUGUCGGAAGGGAUUCAAAAGAAGUGGUCAUACUGCAAUCAGCUUACACGUACAAGAGUAAUUCACUAGUGUGUGAAACUGCUAGUUCAGUUAAAGGGUUGACUGGAUUGAAAUCUGAGGAUGUCGGGUCUAACUCAAUAACAUUCUCAAGGAGGGAGGGGUGUCAUCGCUGUCGCAGCCCGCUUCGCGCAAAGCUCCAUCGACCACAAGUACUACAUUGACUUUAACAAUGACUACUUCCUCGACAGUUCCUUCGGUGGGAUCGCAAUCGUCCAUAACUACUACUCCCAUGUUGUUAAAGCCAUCUCUGCCUUUAGCUGCCGCUACGACUUUGAGCCAGUCAAGGACCAUCGAGUGCAAUGGGACCCGGGCGAUUUUCGGUGGCACCGGCUUGGGGUCAAGCCGGAUUUCAAGGAGGGAGGGAUGUUAGGAGCCUCCUAGCCUGUACACGUACAAGGGCUGCCCCUUGGACCAGCCCAUGGACUUGGCCCUCGGUGCAGCUACUUAAGCGUGGUGUACAGAAGGAGAGGGUAUCCAGUGGAUCACGAACGAACCGACGACGGCUCUUUCCUCCUACCUUCUUCCCCCUGUUGCAAGCUUCCUCUGUUCUUCUCCUCCAUUGUGUAAUUCCUCUGUAAUCACUACUCUAUAUUGCUACUCGUGAGAGAGAUCGAUCUAUACAAGCUAGCUACCAUCACCUCUCUUACAUCUGGUAUCAGAGACCAGCCACCACUCCUUCCCUAUGCGUUUCGCCAAGCUCGUCGGCAUCGGGCAGCCAUGGAUCCAUGGAUGCAGGCGUAUCUCGAGCGGAUCGACACCAUGCUCGACGCCUACAUCGACGCCACCAGGUCCCUCACCGAGAAAGUGGAUGCCCUGGUCGUCGCCUGGCGGCCAGACCUGGAGAAGAGGUCCUCCCACACCACCGUCGUCCACGGUCCACCAGCGCCGACCUCGGCGCUCGAGACCACUACUGAGGCAUCCGAACCCGUCCCUAACAUCUACUACUCUACCACCAAGGCGCAGGAGAACCCCACGGUCGCCCAUGAUGCAACUCCGAUAUGCAUUCCGAUGGUGCCUGUCACCUGUUCGACGGAUUGCUCGACCCAGGUCGACGCCAUCGAGAGCGCCGACGAAGUCCAUGACGCCACCACCGUCGCAAUGGAGCUUCACAACACUACAACUGCACUCGGCCCCGAGCUUGCGGUCGACCUCUGCAACACCAUGGCGACCACCAAGGUAGCCACCUGUGGUCACUACGGCAAGUUCGACGGCCUCAACAUCCCCGUGAAGGCCAGCAUCAGCCCGCCGCCCCACGUCCAGGAUGCAUUUCCAAAUUAUUCCACAAUCAGCAACUCCCGCGCCGAUGUUGCCGGGACGGAUGAGUACGCACUCGUGGAGGCCACUGCAGACGUCACCAUUGAGCUUGCCAUCCUCCCAGGCGUCUCCUCCUUCAUGAACAAGCUAUUCCGGAAGCAUGACAUGGACGUCUCGCCGCCCGCAAGGCACAAAGGGCUGCCAAUACGGCCGACACCAUGGCCGUCAUUUCUGGUGCAUCAUACUGCAAAGGGGAAUGAGAUUCGACCCACUCCGUGGCCAUCGUUUUCUUGCUCUCAUGAAGGUAUGACUCUGAAUCAUGAAACUCUGCUGCCUCAUGUUACAUGUGUGAUGAAGAAAUUACUUGCUAGAGGAUGUAGUGAUUUCACACUCGGAAAGACUGGUUUACCCAGAUUUCACGUUGAUAAUUCCGCGUAUAGUUCUAAGCAAGUUGGUGAUCUUUUGGUGCGCCGACCGCUUGUGAGACUUAAGCAUAGGGGCUGCCUAAAACCUUUGAGCAGCAACACUGAAGUACCUUGUUGGUUUGAUUACUUCAUCAGCAGAAGUCCACAAUACCCCAGGCAAUGUAUUGCCAACUAGAAAAGGAGCUGAAACCUUCUUGGCUGCUGAAUUAUUUAUCUGUUGUCCUGAAUUCUUUCUCAACAUUCUCAGGAUAUUUGCCAAGGGUAGAGCAGGUGCCCAAUAUUUUUCUGAAGGUUGUUUGCAGGAUCCGUAUGGUGCCAAUAGAUAUUCUUAUUCUGAGCCAACCGGUUAACCCUAUUACCUCUCUCAUGGUUGUCCACUGAUGUGACCUGAUUCCCGUGGAGGAGCACUUCAAUUGUGUGCAAAAUACCGAGUUGCAGUUUUGCUAUUCACUGGCUGGAAGAACAUAUACUGAUAAACGGUUAAGUCAAAAUGGUUCCGAGGGAAUUGAGUGCUUGGAUAUCUUGUUGAUCAGUCUACAAUGUAUUGACGACCGCCUAGCAGAAAUUAUGUUCGAUGAGAUUGCGCUGCAGGUUGCUAUACAUUGCAAGGAAUUUGGCAUUGCGGGAGAGGUGUUGGGCAGCUAUGUUUUUCCUAUUGCUUCAGUGGAGCACCCACCCUGUACUUUUGGGCAGCUUAUCCUAUUUGUGUCAAUGCACUGGAACAAUUCAUGUCGGAAGGGAUUCAAAAGAAGUGGUCAUACUGCAAUCAGCUUACUCAUUGGCAAUGCAUGGCGACGGUGUUCCAAUCUCCUUGAAAAUUGCAUAAUGAUCCUCCGAGGUCUAUUAUGGUGCUUGUGGUUUGUGAGAGAGUACAAUGAAGAUUGUUGUUUCACUAAGCAGCCAUUACAUGAUGGUAAACAGGCUUUCGACACUAUGUGCAUGUUCUAUUAGUACGGCUCUUGUACUACACCUAUCUUGCGACAAUGGAUGCACAUCUAUUUCAGAGCAUGCAGAGAAUGGGUUCCCUGAGCACAGAAAGUUCGAGCAUUAUUUUUCUUCAGUCAAUGCAACUUCAGCCAUAUGUGCUAGUCUGCUGCGUUAUCUUCUCAGUGCAGUCCUCUUAUGAAUUAUAUGAGCAUUGUGUACUGGAGCGUGCUGUCAUAUUUCUGGGUGUGACAAAAUGCAGGGGGCAAAUCAGAUUAUGAGCAUGUUAGUGGUAUGGAUUUUCUGAGUGAAGAUGAAUUUAAGGGGAAUGGUCGUGUGGAGAUGCUCAGAUUCAGGAGUAAUUCACUAGUGUGUGAAACUGCUAGUUCAGUUAAAGAGUUGACUGGAUUGAAAUCUGAGGAUGUCGGGUCUAACUCAAGAACAUUCUCAAGGAGGGAGGGGUGUCAUCGCUGUCGCAGCCCGCUUCGCGCAAAGCUCCAUCGACCACAAGUACUACAUUGACUUCAACAAUGACUACUUCCUCGACAGUUCCUUCGGUGGGAUCGCAAUCGUCCAUGACUACUACUCCCAUGUUGUUAAAGCCAUCUCUGCCUUCAGCUGCCGCUACGACUUUGAGCCAGUCAAGGACCAUCGAGUGCAAUGGGACCCGGGCGAUUUUCGGUGGCACCGGCUUGGGGUCAAGCCGGAUUUCAAGGAGGGAGGGAUGUUAGGAGCCUCCUAGCCUGUACACGUACAGGGGUUGCCCCUUGGACCAGCCCAUGGACUUGGCCCUCGGUGCAGCUACUUAAGCGUGGUGUACAGAAGGAGAGGGUAUCCAGUGGAUCACGGACGAACCGACGACGACUCUUUCCUCCUACCUUCUUUCCCCUGUUGCAAGCUUCCUUUGUUCUUCUCCUCCAUUGUGUAAUUCCUCUGUAAUCACUACUCUGUAUUGCUACUUGUGAGAGAGAUCGAUCUAUACAAGCUAGCUACCAUCACCUCUCUUACAUCUGGUAUCAGAGACCAGCCACCACUCCUUCCCUACGCGUUUCGCCAAGCUCGUCGGCAUCGGGUAGCCAUGGAUCCAUGGAUGCAGGCGUAUCUCGAGCGGAUCGACACCAUGCUCGACGCCUACACCGACGCCACCAGGUCCCUCAUCGAGAAAGUGGACGCACUGGUCGUCACCUGGCGGCCAGACCUGGAGAAGAGGUCCUCCCACACCGCCGUCGUCCACGGUCCACCAGCGCCGACCUCGGCGCUCGAGACCACUACUGAGGCGUCCGAACCUGUCUCUGGCAUCUACUACUCCACCACCAAGGCCCAGGAGAUCCCCACGGUCGCCCAUGAUGCAACUCCGAUAUGCAUUCCGAUGGUGCCUGUCACCUGUUCGACGGAUUGCUCGACCCAGGUCGACGCCAUCGACAACGCCGACGAAGUCCAUGACGCCGCCACCGUCGCAACGGAGGUACGCAACACUACAACAGCACUCGGCCCCGAGCUCGCGGUCGACCUCUGCAAGACCAUGGCGACCACCAAGGUAGCCACCUGUGGUCACUACGGCAAGCUCGACGGCCUCAACAUCCCCGUGAAGGCCAGCAUCAGCCCGCCGCACCACGUCCAGGAUGCAUUCCCAAAUUAUUCCACAAUCAGCAACUGUCGCGCCGAUGUUGCCGGGACGGAUGAGUACGAACUCGUGGAGGCCACUCCAGGCGUCGCCAUUGAGCUUGCCAUCCUCCCAGGCGUCUCCUCCUUCAUGAACAAGCUAUUCCGGAAGCAUGACAUGGACGUCUCGCCGCCCACAAGGCACAAAGGGCAGCCAAUACGGCCGACACCAUGGCCGUCAUUUCUGGUGCAUCAUAGUGCAAAGGGGAAUGAGAUUCGACCCACUCCGUGGCCAUCGUUUUCUUGCUCUCAUGAAGGUAUGACUCUGAAUCAUGAAACUCUGCUGCCUCAUGUUACAUGUGAGAUGAAGAUUACUUGCUAGAGGAUGCAGUGAUUUCACACUCGGAAAGACUGGUUUACCCAGAUUUCACGUUGAUAAUUCCGCGUAUAGUUCUAAGCAAGUUGGUGAUCUUUUGGUGCGCCGACCGCUUGUGAUACUGAAGCAUAGGGGCUGCCUAAAACCUUUGAGCAGCAACACUGAAGUACCUUGUUGGUUUGAUUACUUCAUCAGCAGAAGUCCACAAAUACCCCAAGCAAUGUGUUGCCAACUAGAAAAGGAGCUGAAACCUUCUUGGCUGCUGAAUUAUUUAUCUGUUGUCCUGAAUUCUUUCUCAACAUUCUCAGGAUAUUUGCCAAGGGUAGAGCAGGUGCCCAGUAUUUUUCUGAAUGUUGUUUGCAGGAUCCGUAUGGUGCCAAUAGAUAUUCUUAUUCCGAGCCAAUCGGUUAAUCCUAUUACCUCUCUCAUGGUUGUCCACUGUUGUGACCUGAUUCCCGUGGAGGAGCACUUCAAUUAUGUGCAAAAUACCGAGUUGCAGUUUUGCUACCCACCCUGUACUUUUGGGCAACCUAUCCUAUUUGUGUCAAUGCACUGGAACAAUUCAUGUCGGAAGGGAUUCAAAAGAAGUGGUCAUACUGCAAUCAGCUUACACAUUGGCAAUGCAUGGCGACGGUGUUCCAAUCUCCUUGAAAAUUGCAUAAGGAUCCUCCGAGGUCAAUUAUGGUGCUUGUGGUCUGUGAGACAGUGCAAUGAAGAUUGUUGUUUCACUAAGCAGCCAUUACAUGAAAGUAAACAGGCUUUCGACACUAUGUGCAUGUUCUAUUAGUACGGCUCUUGUACUACAGUAUUCCUAUCUUGCAACAAUGGAUGCACAUCUAUUUCAGAGCAUGCAGAGAAUGGGUUCCCUGAGCACAGAAAGUUCGAGCAUUAUUUUUCUUCAGUCAAUGCAACUUCAGCCAUAUGCGCUAGUCUGCUGCGUUAUCUUCUCAGUGCAGUCCUUUUAUGAAUUACUAGUAAUUUGCCCGUGUGUUGCUAUGGAAUAAAAUAGAUGUAUAUGAAUAUAUUACAAAAAAAUCAUUGCAUUUUGUGGAAUCCCUACCACAUACUCGUUGGGUUCUGUUUCUCUUAAUUUGUUUAUCUCCUCUUCCAUUCCCUCACAUUUGUUCUCUCCGGUCACCAACUCUUCCUCUAGCCCCUCCAUCACUUCCUCCAACUUUGAUGAAUCUCAUCCAUGGAUGUUUAGAGCUGAAGAAUGGUGACACAUUAAGUGACAACGUGGGUUUCACUUUUUAGAUGCCACUUUCUUUGAACCCCUAAACACAAACACAUAUUAUUUCUAGCCUCGGUUUCUUUUCCUCCCUAGCAUUUUCCACCUUAGCCUUUUAGACACCUAAUUUGUUUUGUCCCCCUUUACCACGGUGACAAUUUGAAUUCAUAUGGUUAAAAACAUAAAAAUCACAUAUGCUCUUAAAUGCAAUGGCAAAAAGUAAUCUGGUGAGCUCUCUCUAAAUCAAAAUGUCCAAGACAAAACUGGACACCGUGUACAUGUACUGUAGAUCAGUAGUGUAGUUACUUAGAACUUGGACAAUAUUCUUGAUAAUUUUUGCAACAAGAAGUUGAGGGCCACUAUGGACUAAUUCUGUAUAGUAUAUAAUGUUACAGAUAUGACUGUGAUGUUGUGAAAAUAAAGUGAAUAGUUUCAAUAGUCAACAUGCUGUAAAGUAUCCUCUUAAGUUGAGGCCCUACCGCUGCUAUGAGGCAAAUUAGUAAAUUUACACGCUUGAUUGCAAAUGGAACAACGGCACAUACUUUGUGGUGCUUAAAUAAGCUAGGGUGAUGUAGUGUCAAUUAAAGAGUGGAAGGUGAUUAUUUUCUAACAAUAUAGGAUGAAAGCACAAGACAUUUUGAGAUCCUUGGAUUCACACGGAACAUAACAAAAGUAACACACAGAUCAAUCAAAUACUAUAUCUUUAAACAAAACAAAACCAGUAAUUAGUUUUCGACCAUACAUUGUACAUUACAGCGACAAACAUUAGUUCCAAAAUGACACCCAAUUCAACAGAUAUGUAGCAGCUUAAUGAGCCAUGUUACAAUAAUCAAGAACCAAAAUAGACACUUCUUUCCAUCUAUGCAUUCUUGCUGGCAAGAGUCACAGCUCAAGUCUUCUUUCUCCUAAGUGCAUUUCUUGCUUCUUUGUCUUAGAUUGGAUCUUUCAGUACUACAGAGGAACAAUGCAAGCACAAAACAUUCGAGCAAGAAUAUCUGAAAGUGCGUCAUCUACCGUCCUUGGUUCAAAAGGUCUAGACAAAAGGCUCCAACAUCAUGCCAUACUACUAAAGCUUGCUCCUGAUCCAUGAGUGUUUUACUAAGAUCGUUGUCGAUCCUGCAAAAGUAUUUAUACUUAAAUUUGGCAUAAAUGUGUUCCUUGCAUUACCUCUGAUCCAUCUGACGCCAGCUGCAAUAGAGCAGUGCUAUCCAGACGACAUUAUUUGGACGAUUUGCAGCCGACGAUUGAAUCCAGCCGUGCAAUCUUGUUCACGGCAGAGCAACGGCCGGUGGAUUCUUUAAUCGUGCACAGAUCGUCCAAAAGUUUAUCGUGUGUGAAGCAGUUUCGGCUGCAAUAUUUGGACCAAAGUACCCCUUGCUAAAAACAGUAGUAUGCAGAUCGUGCUCUACUUGAAGACAAAACGAUGAUUAAUAUAUAUAAAUGAUGCUAUGGAUACAUGAUACAAUUAGAUUAUCUAUAACGAAUAAACCAGCACCAUCCUUACCAACUUCAUGCUUUACUCUCAGCAUGGUAACUACAACGAUGGUACACGCCUCAACACUUAUCGGCCAAGUGGUUUGAUUAUUGUCACUAACUAAUUUCUGAACUUAUCUGUAUACUAACUGUUUGAAGUAAGCACUAAAAAGUACAUGCUGCUCAUGUUCAGGGAGAUGACGUACUUUAGAGAACCCAUACAUAACAGACAAAGUUUCAAAACGUACAAGAAGUCCAAACAUCAUGGAUAAAAUUAGAAUCCAAGAUUCUUGUCUCGUGCACACAUUCAUCUACAACCACGAGCUGCAGUUCACUUAAUUAUGAAGUAUGAACUAACUCAUCAAGGACUCAGUUAAGCAUCAGCAGGAGUAAGACAGAGGAGGUGGAAAUGCGCUCGGAUGGAAGCAAAUCAGAGCAGAGCACGACGUACUGUCCACAUGUUUGUCGACAUGGUGGCAUUGCGCUCCUGAGGAUCCGGUGCAGCUCUGGAGCGAGAGCGCCGACAUGGGGUGUGACCUCCAUGCGGUCUGGUGAUGGCAGGUGGGCAGUGGGCAUGCCCGCAGGGUGUGCGGCCUCCAGACAGUCGCAAGUACGGCGAACGAGCACGCUUGAAGAGGUUGCGGCUUCCGCGAUUCAUUGACGGUGAGCUAGUAGUACUGGCAGCGGUAGUGGCCACCACGCGGCACGGGUGACAGCGAGCGAGCAGGGCAUCAGACACAGAGCGUGAUGGACAGAAAGAAAGACACAGGAAGGGAGAGGGAUGAAGAAGCUGGGAGAAUUGGGGCGGUGUACAUGACGAUCUGAAUUUUGAACUAAGAUUGGGAACACCCAUGUCAGGGGAAGGGGUAUUGGGGGAGGUUGGCGGCAUGGGGGAAGCUGGCGGCAGCAAGACACAUUAGAGGGAGGCCGUGAGCAGGGGAGGUAAGAAGGCUUGGUUGCCUGGCUGCCGGUACGUGGAGCUCGGCGAGGAGGAAGGAGAGGUCGUGUGCGGCGGGGCUCCUACAUCAGAGUCUCGUGUGAGGAAGCAGGAGAGUCCUCGCGGGACUCAAGGGGCGGAUGGCGCCGGCGGCGUAGUUGCCGAUCGUCGGAGGAGAAGGGGUAGGGUUGGAGGAGAAGGUGGUGGGCGGCGGGUCUGCUGCAUCGGAGGAGAAGGCAUGAGAGGAGUCGCAGACUCGGCGGAAGGACGGCACCAGCGGCGUACUUGCCGAUGUCGGCGUCGUAGGAGACGAGGUAGGGGGAGGAGGAGACGACGGGGAGGUGCGUGUGGCGGUGGCCGGUGAGGUUCCUAUGGCAAAGAGGAGGGACGGAGCGCCNNNNNNNNNNNNNNNNNNNNNNNNNNNNNNNNNNNNNNNNNNNNNNNNNNNNNNNNNNNNNNNNNNNNNNNNNNNNNNNNNNNNNNNNNNNNNNNNNNNNNNNNNNNNNNNNNNNNNNNNNNNNNNNNNNNNNNNNNNNNNNNNNNNNNNNNNNNNNNNNNNNNNNNNNNNNNNNNNNNNNNNNNNNNNNNNNNNNNNNNNNNNNNNNNNNNNNNNNNNNNNNNNNNNNNNNNNNNNNNNNNNNNNNNNNNNNNNNNCAAAUGUGAAGUGGGGUUGGCUCCUAUGCGUUGGAUGCAGAUCAAACGGCCCAAAAAGAUAGAUGGCAGGCACACCAUCACCAUCAACUCAGAUUUUUAUAGGAGUAGAGAUAGAGAUAUGAGCAUCGUGUACUGGAGCGUGCUGUCAUAUUUUUGGGUGUGACAAAAUGCAGGGGGCAAAUCAGAUUAUGAGCAUGUUAGUAGUAUGGAUUUUCUGAGUGAAGAUGAAUUUAAGGGGAAUGAUCGUGUGGAGAUGCUCAGAUUCAGGAGUAAUUCACUAGUGUGUGAAACUGCUAGUUCAGUUAAAGGGUUGACUGGAUUGAAAUCCGAGGAUGUCGGGUCUAACUCAAGAACAUUCUCAAGGAGGGAGGGGUGUCAUCGUUGUCGCAACCCACAUCGCGCAAAGCUCCAUCGACCACACAACGACUACUUCCUCGACAGUUCCUUCGAUGGGAUCGCAAUCGUCCAUGACUACUACUCCCAUGUUGUUAAAGCCAUCUCUGCCUUCAACUGCCGCUAUGACUUUGAGCCAGUCAAGGACCAUCGAGUGCAAUGGGACCCGGGCGGUUUUCGGUGGCGCCGGCUUGGGGUCAAGCCGGAUUUCAAGGAGGGAGGGAUGUUAGGAGCCUCUACACAUACAGGGGCUGCCCCUUGGACCAGCCCAUGGACUGCCCUCGAUGCAGCUACUUAAGCAUGGUGUACAGAAGGAGAGAGUAUCCAGUGGAUCACGAACGAACCGACGACGGCUCUUUCCUCCUACCUUCUUCCCCCUGUUGCAAGCUUCCUCUGUAAUCACUACUACCUCCGUUCGGGUUUAUUAAUCCCCAUUGUAUUUCGUGCCAAAUUUUGACCAUAGAUCAAACUAACAAAAUGUUCACGCAUGUCACCAAACAUUAUAUUUUUGAAAACUAUGUUCAAAUACGAAUCCAAUGAGAUAAUUUUUCUUGACAUGCAUUAACAUUUUGUUAGUUAAAUCUUUAGUCAAAAUUUGGCACAAACUACAAAGGGGACCUAUAAACCAGGAGGGAGGUAGUACUCUAUUGCUACUCGUGAGAGAGAUCAAUCUAUACAAGCUAGCUACCAUCACCUCUCUUACAUUGGGUUUCAAUAAUCUGCUGCACAAAAUCUGGUUUUUGAAAGCUUUAUCCUGAGGGACCCUUAAAGCCAUUGCAGCAACACAAUUCUGGCGCAUGCUGCACAAAAUCUGGUUUUGGAAGCUGAGCCCAAGGGACACUUCACACCAUUACGUCCUAACUCGAACACAGUUCUGGCUCUCAACAAGGAUCGCAGCAUCAAACAUCUCAACCAACGAGAACCUCAAACAAGGCAAAAGCAGAAAUCCAAGCCACGGACGAGGCGAAAAGCCAGACAGAAAGGGAGUUGAGUACUGGACUGAACGAUUUAUAUAUUCUUCACAAACCACAACCAAAAAAGAGUACUUGAUUAGCAACUCCAUUACAGAUACUAGAGGUUGAUGCGGAAAACAGAAGGUAACUCAUGUCCAACUAACAUGAACCAGGCGUCGUCUGGCGACACCAUCCACAUUUAUUCUUCGCAUAGACAAAGCAGGGACACCUCUGACCAGGCGCCACAAACGAAAGCAGAACGCUCUACUGAGUCUUGGCCAUGUGGCGGAUCAGGUCGACAACGCGGUUGCUGCAGAGGAAUAAGAUUCAAG